RNAcentral lists this long non-coding RNA (92669 nucleotides) under Citrus sinensis (sweet orange). Its description in RNAcentral is "long non-coding RNA (CSIN_LNC003292)". Lineage: Eukaryota; Viridiplantae; Streptophyta; Magnoliopsida; Sapindales; Rutaceae. The record is from RNAcentral.
AAUGACGUAAACGCCGGCCGGCUUCCGGGAUACGGUCUAACCACAAAUAUAAUCAACGGUGGAAUUGAAUGUGGCUACGUUGGGAAUGACGCUGUACGUAACCGUAUUGGGUUCUUUACCACUUUCUGUGGCAAGUUUGGGAUUCAGCCUGGUGACAAUCUUGAUUGCUCCAACCAACGGCCUUAUGGCCUUAAUCUGAUGGCACAAUCUAUGUGAUCAUCAUGAUCAACGUUUUAGUAAAAUAAGCUUAAUAAAAGCUACUUAAUAAAAACUUUAGAUGUCACACUUGUAGGUGGACAACUAAACUGUUACGCUCUUAUUGUAAGUAAAUUAAAUAAGACUGAUCCAACAUGGAUCAAUGAGUCUUCUCCAUCUUUCAUCGUUUGAUUAUUUUAACAUGACAAUUAUUUGCAACGCAAAAAGUGCCGUUGACACUUAUCCUGCCUAUACAGAUAAAGGCAAUAUCCAAUUCUGUAAGCCACAUGCAUAUUCAACGGCAUUGCUAUUCAUCAUCAUGAUGCUCAUUGUGGUACAGAUUAUAAAAUUUUGAUUAGGUCUGCUAUCCAACGUGGCUUGUCUCUCACUUGGAGGAAAUGCCUGGCAAACGAGUCAUGCAUGCAUCAAAUCAUUAUGAAGUUAGUACGCGUAUUGCUGCAGAAAUCACCCUACUACAAAGACAGCUAGAACAUUUUUGGAUACCUAAGCCCUGGGAAGUUAGUCUACCAUGUGGAUCUCAAUAAUAGAUAAUACUUUAUCAUCUAGUAGGCGACAAUAGGAAACUUCACAACAAUGAUUUCUAUUUUAAAAUUGGAUACAAUUUGCCAUAAACAAAAAUAAGGGGUUCUCUAAGAUGUUUGAACCAAUGAUUUAAUGGGGAAAAGAAUCUGAAGAAUUUACAGUUAAGUUUCACCUGUUCAUCCUACGCAUUCAUUUAUUUUUACUUCAAAGAAGGCGAAAUGAUAAUCAAGUAUCAUCUAGCAAUAUUUAAGAGUGAAAGCAACCGAUACUGAGAUGGAAGAAAGGUGAUAUACCAGACAAACAAUUUGUUUUUUGUAUAUAAUUUCAUUUCUAUAGGAUGAUACAGGUAUAUUUCAAUCAUUUACAAGUAUGACAAUAAAAUUUGUAAUCUAAUUGUUGAGGAUGUUGAGAAAGGAGACUCUAGCUUUGAUCAAACGCCUAGACAAGGAUCAAAGGCCUUCUUCAAGAUCUUGGAUGCUGGACUCCAAUUCUUUCAGCUGGUUUUGCAAAUAAACAGUGUUAACAGAUUUGAGUGUCAAUGCGGCAUCCACCUUCUCAAACUCAUUCGUUUCUAUCUUGACUUCCUCACAAGCUAUUCUUUUGGGGCGGAUGAGUUUGGAAGCCAAUACAAACCCACUUAGCUUUGAUGGAAUCCCAGCACCCGAGAUAAAGGACAGCAAGGAUCCAAAUGCAGCUAAGGUUACUGCUUCAACCUCUUUCAACGCGCUAACAUGUUCCUCAUUGAUUAGAGAAGAGCAUUUGUUUCCCAUGCCUUACAAACAAUAACCAAAAUAGCACACGUAAACAACACAGUUUAUAAAUGAUUCUAUCCAUAACUGAUUUUAUGUAAUAUUCAUUUGUGUAUGCAGGCGAGCAGAUCAACACAGAACAAAAGGAAGACUACCAGAAAUGAUCAAAUCUAGGAAGUUGCUGUGUUAUCGUAAUAUCACACUAUAAUUAAAAAUGACAGCACAUUAAUUCAGAAUUAACAAACUUCAAAGUGAAAGCAAAAACAGGCAUGUACCUCUAAAAACAACAUUGUGAGGAGUUUUAGUACAAUGCUGUUGAAGAAUGUUAGCAUCAUCAUAUGCAGGCGGUGAAUUACUGAAUUCUGCAACAGUGAACAACUUUUGAUAAGCUUAACGCAGAAAAGGAAAAAGAGAGGGCGAAGGAGAGAGAGAAGUGCACAUAAAAUAUGAAAAAACAGUGAUAGAUAUUGAACAAGAAGUAUAACUUCAUGCACCUGAAAUAUCAAUUUGUAUAUCAGAUGCUCCAGAGAAGUCCCUGAGUCUAACAUGAUAAACAAAUCAGAUUAUAGUCAAAUGGCAAUCAAACUAAAAAGCAAUAGUCCAAAGAAACAUACAGCUCAUCAGUGCUAAAAUUCAUCUCAGGAUCAUUAAGGCAUUCGGAAAUCCACCCCUCUAAUGACUGAUCUGUACCAUCACAACUAGAGGCAGAUACACCUGCUAAGAUAUGUCACAAUAUGAUUAGAGAACUCGAAAAUAGACAUUCAAGUUCUUGACUGUAUCAUAAUGUAGUUGCAAAAUACAAACCUGAAAACUCAGUAGUCCACUGAGAUGCUUCAGGUAAUACUUCUUCGACUGACUCCCCCCUCUCCUACACAGAAUGAAGAACAUAAAUAUUAGCAAUGUUGAAAGGACAAGCAAGGAGCAAUUUAGACAUAUGAUCAAAUAACUAAAACGUGCUCCAUAAUAUAAAGACAUGAUGCUAUUACAGAAUGAUCACAAAGAAGAGAUGUGGCCCGCACUGACAUUUGAUUUAAGGAACGGAGAUGGCAUUUCAUCACUGCAUAGGGAAGAAUCUACCACUUGAGUGUCAAAUUGUAACAUUCGUCGCCUCUUUAUUUGGGAAUAAGUCUCCCUACAAUCUUUUGGUUCCUUGCUCAUAUUACCUGAAAUCAACUCUCUCAAAUAAAAAAAAAACAUUGUCCAACCAGCAUGAUCUUUCAACGCAAGAAAAAGAAAUUGUGAGAGUCAAUGAAUGCUAGCAAAACAAGCCCCUACCGUUAUGAGUGGCAUGGUAAGCCAAAUCCCCACAUGCCUUAACCGGGGUUGUUUCAUCAUCAAGCAUGUAGGAAAGAUCCUCCCCAUUCAGAGCCACUUCAUUCCAUUGUGACCCAGACAUGUCUGCUAAAAUAAAAAAAUGACACAUACCCAGAUAUCACCACUCUCAUUCUACACGCCAAGCUUGGCCAAAAUCACUAGUUUCUGUAAAACACUUGAAUAACAUGCAAACUACACAUCGAGUCCUUUCCAAUUCCAAGACUUACGAUAACCAGUUUAACAAUCACCAAAUACACUUCCAAUGCACGAUAUAUAAACAAAUUUUUAGAAAUACAAGUCAUGAAAUUUCUCCGAUAAAAAAAAAAAAAUUCCAAUUUGUAUUGAGUCAGCCAUUGUGAAUAAGCUUUCUAAAUUCUAAUAGCAUUUGAGUCAAUUAUAAAAAACAAUAUACCAGAUUAAAUUUACUAAAAGAUUAAAAAAACAAAACAAUAGAAAAUCAAAUUACACACGAAACCCUAGAUUGUCUAUUUCAAGCAAAGUAUGUAACUUAUAAUAAAAUUAAAUGCAGAUUUGAGAACCCAAAAAUACCACAAUUGAAUUAGAGAGUGUUAUUAGUUAGGGUUUUAAUGAGAAUGAAAAACACUGAGGAAACCGGGAACGUGCAGGAUAAAAAGCAUUACCAGUGGAAGCGUAAGAUAGAGAACGGCAAGUUAAAGUGCGCCUCGAGGAAUAGAGACACAGAGAGAGAGACGAGCACCCCAAGCACUGUAAGUAACUGGGAGUGGAAAAUAAAGGGGUCGUUUGAUUUUGUCGUCUUCUACUUCCUCCUCUUUGUUAGUUUUUGUUUUUUUUUUUUAAAUGAGUGUGGCAACGUGAAUCACCCAAUUUUUUUUAUGGGUCCCGUUACCUUACAAAAUAUGUAACAAACAUUAAAGAAAUUGACAAACAAAUCAACAACAUUAUAAUUUGGAUUUUACCGAUUGAAGCGGUCUGUAGCCGGUUGAAAAAAGUAAGUCGAAAGAUGAAUAAUUUCUCCUAUAGCGUGUGCAACCCAAAGCGACAUGAUUUCUUUGAACUCUCAGGCUGAGGAAACUUCCUACUUGCGCAUAUCCGCCCGCCCUGAGCGAGAAAACGAACAGAUCGAGGUCGGAAUGGGAUCCGGUGUUUUCACGUCUCACCGUAGUGCCCGGUUUGGCGGUUCAGCUUGCUUCUAUGGCUCACGCAUGAACAGCAACACUCAUGCAGAUUGACAUGGAUGAUCCUUGGGGUUACUUUUUUUAUUUUUAUUAAGAGCUUUAUCCGAUUUGCUGCCAAACGCUUCAAAAAGAGAGUUUUUGCUGUCCAUUUGAAGCCGGUGAAAGAUGCAGUCUCAUGUGAAAGAUGCAGUUUCAUGUCCUGCUCGUAUUGGAUGCAAAAAAUCGAAAGUUUAAUUAGAUUCAUUCUAGUUUUUUUCCUGAGUUGAUUAAAAAGACUGGACAUAACUUAUGGAUUUUAUGCAUUAUGCUGCCUCUUCAUCAAAUAACUCAAAAAUGAAUCCUUUGUAAUUUUGAUGUGGACUAAUUGGGGAGCAAGAAAGGGUGUGCUUUUUAAAAGAUGAAGAUGCAAAGAAGGUUUUUUCUAAAGCCAAAGCCACUUCACCGUUUGUGCUGAGAGUAGUCAUCAAUGAGGUAUUAAUUUUUAACUCCAUUGAUGCAAGCUCCAAGGAACUUUUCAUGGUCGCCUGCCCCUGAAUAUUUGUAUAAAUUAAAUCUUGAAGAUGUAAUGUUUGAUCAUAAAUCAAGGGGCAGGAGUUGGUGCUAUUAUAAAAAAAAAAAAAAAAAAUUUCAUAGUUGCUGUGAAAACCAGCUUUAAUGGCACUGAAUCGAAUUACAAAAAGGAAAAUUUCUUGCCUCCUGAAUCGAAUUCAAACAGUAACCCUUGCUUUGACCCGGUGGCCCAAGCGGUUUUCUUUCACCAGUUUUCCCAGUUUCCCAUCACUUCUUUUUUUCUGUUCAUUUCAUUCCCAUUCGUUCGAUUUUAGUGUUCACAUCUAACGGCCCUCAUUCAUGCAAUGUUUGUUACAUGAUGAUGUAACUUAACCUGACCUUUUUUACAUUCUAUUUAUAAAAAUAAAUUCAUUAUUAAAAAUUAAAAAUAUCAAAAUUACUUUUUGCUAACUAUUUUUUAUUUUGUAAUUACAUAUUCUCUCUCUACUUUUAUAUUAUAUAAAUUAAAUUCCCAACUUUACAUUUUUUUAAAUUUAUUUUUUUGACAUUUCUUAGUAUAUUCUAAUCUAUAUUCAUACUUUAUGUAUGCAAAAUAUUUUUUUCUUGAUACUUACUAACUUUUGUGUUUAGUAAAAAUUAAUUUAUUGAUAUUCAUUAAUUUUCAUUACUUAUAAAAUUUGUUAAUAUUCAUUUUAAAAUAGUGGAUUUUUUAAACUAAUGAUAUCAAUUACUUGCGGUUAAAAUAAUAUAUAUAAAUAAAUUGAUGGAAUUUAUGAAAUUGAAAAGAAAAAGAGAAGAAAUAGUUAAUUAAGUAAUUUUUUUAAAAAUCAUUCAAAUAAUAUAAUUUUUAAGAGGGGGCUAUUUGAACACACCAGUUUUCUCUCUACAUUCUUUUUCUAAUUGAGAAUUUUAUUAUCUAAAUAGUUUUCAAUAAAAUUACUUAAUUAACUCUUUCUUCUCUUUCUCAUCUCAAGUUCACAAAUUCCCAUCAAUCCAUUGAGAUAUAUUUUUUUAGUCACAAAUAAUUGAUAUCACAAACUAGGGAAAACAAAAUCCACAGUUUAAAUUAAAUGUCAACAAAAUUUUAUGAGUCAUGAAAGUCAAUAAAUAUCAAGAAAUUAAAUUUUAAUAAACAGGAAAUUAAUGAACAUCAAGAAAAAGUUUUUAUAUAUAAAAAGUAUGAAAUAGAGGUCAUGAUCUAUUAGAAAAGACCAAAAAUGAAUUUAAAAAAUAGUGAAACUUGAGUCUUUAGUUUAUAAAAUGUGAGAAUUUGCAAUUGUCAGGUAUAGAGAGAGAUUCAUGAAAGGUAAUCUUGAUAUUUUCAAAUAGUCCCAUCUAAUAUUUGAUUGGAAAGCGCGUGUGGACAGAAAAUUAGCGGACUCAAAUAGCCCCACUCUUUCUUUAAUUUCGCAUUGACCCCGAUUAUUUUGUGAUUUUCUCCUUUUAGUCAAUAUUAAUUGUUGUUACUGGAUUUUCCCCUGAGACCUAGAGCGAGCCCAUAACGUUCAUGCUCGAGGACUUCCCUGCCCCGAGAACCAAGCCCAAUAAUCUUGAGGCCUUUGCAGGUUUAUCCAGGAAAGGUGCCUCUGCUAGGAUAAGAAAAGUCAAUUCGGGUUGUGAGUCGAUCCUCAGCCUAGUAAGUGAUGACAGCGUACAGUAAUGAUCUUUGACAAACACCAAAAGAUCGAUUAAUAUGAAAAUGACGAUGUGCUCGUUUUGCAUUUGUUAUUCUUCAGUCACAUCCUCUUUUGCUUCUGUCUGCCUUUACAACAACAAUUUACCAUCAACCUUCAAGCAUUUUUGCACAAACAGCCAAAAAAACACCAAAUAUCAUCGCCCCACUUGCCCUUGUUUAGUUUUUUUCAAGCUCACAGCCAAUCUCAGUACACUGGGAUAAAGACUAGAAGCAGAGAACAGCCGCUGCCAGCUCUAGAAGAUGUGAAAUAAAGAAGACCAUCAAAAUCCUUAAUUAUUGCUUGUCUAUGUCAAGGUUUUAAAGAUAAACAAUCUUGAUAGGCUUUCUUACGUAAGACAUAUAGAUCCAACGAAAAUUAGAUGAAACGUUUAGACACAAGACUUUUAACUUUGAUAUCGUAUAAAGAGUAUAUUUAUAAUAUAAUCUAUUGUUUGGCACAUCGUCUCUGAGUCUCAAUAAAAAAUUUUUAAGUUUUUCGUUGCUAGCUUCUUAAAUUUUCAUGUAUUAUACAUAAUAUAUUAUGAGUGAGGAGUCAUAAACUAAUGAAUAUGGAAACUUAGGAUAAAAAGUUUGAGAUUUUUUUAAAUAAUUUAUGUAGGUAUUUUAUUUUAUAGAAGUCCAUGGACUUACUCAAAUGCUAACUAAGACUUGAGGGUUGCCUAAACUUUUAUAUACCUAACCAAAAAUUUAUUAUCAAACAAUGUGAGAUAUUAUCCCUAACCCUUAACGGUGUGGAGUACAAUCCUUAAUAACAUAUUCCUUUGAAGAAAUUAAAAGAAAAAAAACUUAGUUCGGUAUUUCAAAAAGGGGAGAUUGCCAAAUUCUCUUUAUUGUUAUUGAUAUAUAUCAUUUACCCUCUUAACGGUUUUUAUAAUAGCCAAUAACCCCUUAACAACAUUAGUUUAUAAUAUUAUUCAUAUUUUCAAAUACACUUUUAUUUUUAUUUAUUAUAAAUUAAAUAAAUCAUAUGAAUAGAAACUGAAUAAAAAAUAAGUAUUAAAAACAAUAAAUAUAUGUUUUGAUGUGAACAAAAAAAUUAGUAAUAAAAUUUUUUCUUGUACUUUUUUAUUUUCUAAACAUUUUCUUCUAAUAAAUAUUUUGUAAAUUAUAAAAUUAAAUGUAAAAAGUACAAUAACAAUAUUUUAUUAUUUAUUUUAUAAUAAUUUUUUAUUUAUCAUUCAAGUUUUCUUAUAAUAAUUUUUUUAUAAAAUAAAAAGUAUAAGAAAAAUAAUUUAUUAUUAAUUUUUAUAUCAAAAUAUAUAUUUCUUAUUUUUAAUACUUAAUUUUUUAUUUUAAUUUCUAUUCAUAUGAUUUAUUUAAUCUAAAAUAAAUAUGAAUAAGAGUGUAAUUAAAAAUAAGGAUAAUAUUAUAAAUUUAUACAAUUAAGAGAGUUAUUAGUUAUUAUAAAAAUAAUAAGAGACAAAUGUUAUAUAUCGAUUACAGUAUUGGGAAAAUUAGCAACCUCUCUUCAAAAAACCUUGACAUAUACGUUCUAUAAAUAUAACCCUCUAGCCAAAGCUGUGACAUACACCAAGCAGAGGAUAAUUGAUAUCAUAACUGUUGCUUUCAAAAUGAGGCUUAUUGGGUCCUUACUAAUUUUCUCUCUAGUUUUAUCUUUUGUACUAGGAGGCUCAGCACAGAACUGUGGAAGCGGCGUUGUGUACGGUGGACGUGAUACCGGCCAUGGGACGCAUGGCGGUGAACUGGGCAAGAUCAUCUCAAGGGAGAUGUUUGAUGACUUGCUUGAGUAUAGAAAUGAUGAACGAUGCCCUGCCAGAGGCUUCUACACUUAUGAUGCUUUUAUAGAGGCAGCCCAAGCUUUUCCAGGCUUUGGUAACUCUGGAAAUGAAACCAUGCGUAAAAGAGAAAUCGCUGCCUUUUUUGCCCAAACUGGCCAUGAAACUACUGGUUUGUUUCAAUUCCUGAUCAGCUUAAUUAAAUUUAAAGAUUCCUUUUUCCGGUGCACUAACAAGCAAUGUGCAAGUAUUAAAUUAUAAAUAAACAGCAUCACCCAAUCUCCAAUCGAUAUUUUAAUUUGUUACUAAUCAAUUUUUGCGGUUAAUAAACUUACAGGGGGAUGGCCCGAUGCACCUGGUGGCGAAUAUGCUUGGGGAUAUUGCUUUAUAAGCGAAGUUAGCCCUCCGUCCGACUACUGUGAUCCUAACUAUCCAUGUCGAGGGAAGUACUAUGGCCGAGGUCCAAUUCAACUCUCUUGGUAGGCUGAACAUUUUGAAUUAGUAUAUCAUUGUCUGAUCUGAAUGAGAAAGUCUUGGCCUCUUUAAUUAAAAACUUGUUAAAUGUGUAUUUACAUUCUGUCGAACAUUAAUUAUUAACUAAUUUGUUGGUGUUUAGGAAUUACAAUUACUUACGGUGCGGAGAAGGCCUAGGGCUAGGAGAGGAGUUGUUGAACAAUCCAGACCUUCUUGCUACUGAUCCAGUACUAUCAUUCAAGUCAGCAAUCUGGUUCUGGAUGACUGCACAGCCACCAAAGCCAUCGUGCCACGAAGUCAUUAUCGACGAAUGGAAACCAUCAGCAAAUGACGUAAACGCCGGCCGGCUUCCGGGAUACGGUCUAACCACAAAUAUAAUCAACGGUGGAAUUGAAUGUGGCUAAGGUGGGAAUGCCGCUGUACGUAACCGUAUUGGGUUCUUUACCACUUUCUGUGGCAAGUUUGGGAUUCAGCCUGGUGACAGUCUUGAUUGCUACAACCAACGACCUUAUGGCCUUAAUCUGAUGGCACAAUCUAUGUGAUCAUCAUGAUCAACGUUUUAGUAAAAUAAGCUUAAUAAAAGCUACUUAAUAAAAACUUUAGAUGUCACACUUGUAGGUGGACAACUAAAUUGUUAGUUUGUUACGCUCUUAUUGUAAGUAAAUUAAAUAAGACUGAUCCAACAUGGAUCAAUGAGUCUUCACCAUCUUUCAUCGUUUGAUUAUUUUUUUGAGUUUUUUUGUUAAAAUUUUGUACGUUUGUGGUUAGUUAUUUUAACAAAAUAAUUAGUCGAGAAAGGUAAAUGUUUUGGGGGUGAGAAAUACCACGAUCAGGCACACGAGGAGAAUGUGCUCCCUCUGCCUAGAAUGACUCCUUGAGGAAGAUUAGACCCGAUGAAGUGUGUGGCUGGUCACACGAGUAGAGUUGGCUCGAGACAUGCAAGGAGGGACCAGAACCAAGUCAAUUCGAAGACUUGGUCAAAGGUCAACCCGUGGGUUUCCUCCAAAGAAUUUGGGCACAAAGCUCACUCACCAGCAGUUACACUGCCCAUUCGCCCAUGGUUAUGUAAUCAACCCAUCAACGAAGUCGAGGGAGAAGAGGCUAAUAAUUCUGGUUGGAUAUGAAAGCUUCAGAGAACAGAGUUAAGGGAGUUAGACAACUUUUCAUUUAAUUUUCUCAUACUCUCAAUCUAUUCACAAUUUUAUCUUCUCUAUCAUUCUUUCUUUCUGAAAUAAAACCUUUCUUUUAUUUAGAGCAGUUUAAUUACGCCAUGGGAAUCGUGACCUAAGUUUUUCUAGGCAAACCCAAAUCGCUGACUUGAGCGUCGGAGGGAUUACGGUGGAAAAACCUCUAGCAUCUCCUGACUAGUUGUUGUGAACACAUGUGUUCUUGGAGGAAGUAUUUGAGGUCACAUGAACUUGUUCGAUAGUGGGGAAGCUAGGGGCAGAUCCAGGAUUUUAAAGUACCCCGAGCUAAAUUUUUUAUAAAAAAAAGUUAUAUUGUAAAGUGAACAUAAAAUUUUAUAAGAAAAAAAUAAAAUACACAUAAUAAGAUGAGAACAUUAGAAAUCUUACACUAAAUAAUAAUUACUUUAAAUAAAAUAAUUAUAUAAAAAUAAAAAAUAAAAAUAUAAUUCAAAACAAAAAUAUAACUAAAGUUGUAUUUUUCGCAACUUCAAACAAUAAAAUUCAUCAAUUAUGGAUUUUGGAUCAAUAGUAUCUGCAAUUUCUCUUUCAGCAUAGACAACCAUACAAUUAGAAAGAAACUCAUUUUCUAUUUUAUUGCAAAGUGAUGUCUUGAUAAGGCUCAUGGUUGAAAAUGCAUGCUCUGUUUGUGGCUGCAAAUGAAAGGAGUUUCUUGACUUGGAUUUAUCGGACACAUUAUACCUAUAAAUUACCAUAACAUGAAACUACAUAAGAAUUAAUAAAUUAACUAAUAAUUACAAGCUUAAUUAGCAUGCUUAAAUAAAUUAAACAAUUCAAUUUUUUUCAUCUUUUCUAUUUCUAAAAAAUAUUAUUAGUAAAAAAAUGAGAUGAAGAUUACACGAAAUUGCAGAUACUAUUAUUAGUAAACAAUUCACACUUGACUAACAUGCAAACAACACAUUGAGUCCUUGCCAAUUCCAAGACUUGCGAUAACCAGUUGCACAAUAUAUAAACAAAUUUUUAGAAAUACAAAUCAUGAAAUUUCUCCCCAAAAAUUAAAAAAAAAAAUCCAAUUUGUAUUGAGCCAGCCAUUGUGAUUAAGCUUUCUAAAUUCUAAUAGCAUUUGAGUGAAUUUUAAAAAACGAUAUACCAGAUUAAACUUACUAAAAUAUUAAAAAAAUAGAAAAUCAAAUUACAUACGAAACCCUAGAUUGUUACUUCAAUCAAAAUAAGUACCUUCUAAUAAUUUUAAAUGCAGAUUUGAGAACUCAAAAAUACCACAAUUGAAUUCGAGUGUUAUUAAUUAGGGUUUUAAUGAGAAUGAAAAACACUGAGGAAACUGGGAACGUGCAGGAUAAAAAGCAUUACCAGUGGAAGCGUAAGAUAGAGAACGGCAAGUUAACGUGCGCCUCGAGGAAUAGAGAUAGAGAGAGAGAGAGACGAGCACCCCAAGCACUGUAAGUAACUGGGAGUGGAGAAAUGGCACGAGUGGAAAAUAAAGGGGUCGUUUGGUUUUGUCGUCUUCUACUUUUGUUUUGUGUUUUUUUUUUUUUUUUAAAUGAGCGUGGGUAUCUGAAUCAUCCAAUUUUUUUUUAUAUUCUAUUUAUAAAAAUAAAUUCAUUAUUAAAAAUUAAAAAUAUCAAAAUUACUUUUUACUAAUUAUUUUUUAUUUUAUAAUUACAUAUUCUCUCUCUACUUUCACAUUCUAUAAAUAAUUUUUAAGUAAUUUUUUACAAAUCAUUCAGAUAAUAUAAUUUUUAAGAGUGAGGUUAUUUGAAUCCACCAAUUUCAUCUCUAUAUCUUUUUCUAAUUGAGAAUUUUAUUAUCUAAAUAGUUUUUAAUAAAAUUACUUAAUUAACCCUUUCUUCUCUUUCUUAUUUCAAUUUCACAAAUUCUCAUUAAUUCAUUGAGAUGUAUUCUUUUAACUGCAACUAGGAAAAAUAAAAUCCACAGUUAAAAUUGAAUGUCAACAAAUUUUUAUGAGUCAUGAAAGUUAAUGAAUAUUAAGAAAUUAAUUUUUAGUAAACACAAAAGUUAAUGAAUAUCAAGAAAAAGUUCUUAUAUAUAGAAAGCAUGAAAUAAAGGUUAUGAUCUACUAGAAAAGACCAAAAAUGAAUUCAAAAGAUAGUAAAAUUGAGUUUUUAAUUUAUAGAAUGUGAGAAUAAAAAGAGAAUAUGCAAUUGUAAGGUAUAGAGAAAGAUUAAUCGAGGAUAAUCUUGAUAUUUUCAAAUUUUAAAAUUUUAAUAAUGAAUUUAUUAUUUUUUAAAAAUAGGUAUAGAGAGAAAUUUGGUGGGAUCAAAUAGUCCCACCUAAUAUUUAAUUAGAAAGAUGGUGUAAGGAGAAAGUUGGCAGAUUCAAAUAGCCCUACUCUUUCUUUAAUUUUGCAUUGACCCCGGUUAUUUUAUGAUUUUCUCCUUUUAGUCAAUAUUAAUUGUUGUUACUGGAUUUUCCCCUGAGACCUAGAGCGAGCCCAUAAUGUUCAUGCUCGUGGACUUCCCUGCCCCGAGAACCAAGCCCAAUAAUCUUGAGGCCCUUGCAGGUUUAUCCAAGAAAGGUGCCUCUGUCAGGAUAAGAAAAGUGAAUUUGGGGUUUUGAGUCGAUUUUCAGCCUAAUAACAGCGGACGGUCAUGAUCUUUGACAAACAUCAAAAGAUCGAUUAAUAUGAAAAAAUCCAUCACAAUAACCAUGUGUAUGAGUGUGAGUGUGAGUGUGAGUGUGAGCGUGAGCGUGAGUUAUUUUAAUUUCUAGGCAUUUAUUGAAUGAAAUUGACGAUUGCUCGUUUUGAAUGUGUUAUUUUUCAGUCACAUCCUAUUUUUGCUUCUAUCUGUCUUUACGACAAAAUUUUAUCAUCAACCUGCAAGCAAUCAUGCACAAGCAGCCAAAAAAAAACCUAUUAUCAUCGCCCCACUGGCUCUUAUUUUCAAGCUCAAAACCAAUCUCAGUACAUUGGGAUAAGGCGAGAUGCAGAGAACAGCCACUGCCAGCUCUAGAAGAUGUGAAAUAAAGAAGACCAUCAAAAUCCUUAAUUAUCGCUUGUCUAUAUCAUGGUUUUAAAGACAAACAAUCUUGAUGGGCUCUCUUACAUAAGACGUAUAGAUCCAAUGAAAACUAGAUCGAAACGUUUAGACACAAGACUUUUGCUUUGAUAUCAUAUAAAGAGUAUAUUUAUAAUACAAUGUAUUAUUGUUUGGCACAUUGUCUCUAAGUCUCAAUAAAAAAAUUUAAGUUUUUCGUUGUUAAGUUCUUAAAUUUCAUGUAUUAUACAUAAUAUAUUAUGAGUUGGGAGUCAUAAACUCAUGAAUAUGGAAACUCAGGAUAAAAAGUUUGAGUUUUUUUUUAAAUAAUUUAUUUAGGUAUUUUUUUUAUAGAAGUCCAUGGACUUACUCAAAUGCUAACUAAGUCUUGAGGGUUGCCUAAGCCUUUAUAUACCUAACCAAAAAUUUAUUAUCAAACAAUGUGAGAUAUUAUCUCUAACCCUCAACGGUGUGGAGUACAAUCUUUAAUGACAUAUUCCUUUGAAGAAAUUUAAAAAAAAAAAAAACUUGGUUAGGUAUUUCAAAAAGGGGAGAUUGCCAAAUUCUCUUUAUUAUAAUUAAUAUAUAUCAUUUACUCCCUUAACUGUUUUUAUAAUAGCCAAUAACUCCUUAACAACAUUAGUUUAUAAUAUUAUCCUUAUUUUCAAAUACACUUUUAUUUUUAUUUAUUAUAAAUUAAAUAAAUCAUAUGAAUAGAAACUGAAUAAAAAAUAAGUAUUAAAAACAAUAAAUAUAUGUUUUGAUGUGAACAAAAAAAUUAGUAAUAAAAUUUUUUCUUGUACUUUUUUAUUUUCUAAACAUUUUCUUCUAAUAAAUAUUUUGUAAAUUAUAAAAUUAAAUGUAAAAAGUACAAUAACAAUAUUUUAUUAUUUAUUUUAUAAUACUAUUUUAAUUUCCAUUCAUGUAAUUUAUUUAAUCUAUAAUAAAUAUGAAUGAGAGUGUGAUUGAAAAUAAGGGAAAUAUUAUAAAUUUAUAUUAUUAAGAGAGUUAUUAGUUAUUAUAAAAAUAAUAAGAGAUAAAUAAUAUAUAUUUAUUACAGUAUAGGAACCUCUCUUCAAAAAACCUUGACACAUACGUUCUAUAAAUAUAACCCUCUAGCCAAAGCUGUGACAUACACCAAGCAGAGGAUAAUUGAUAUCAUAACUGUUGCUUUCAAAAUGAGGCUUAUUGGGUCCUUACUAAUUUUCUCUCUGGUUUUAUCUUUUGUACUAGGAGGCUCAGCACAGAACUGUGGAAGCGGCGUUGUGUGCCCAGGAGGGGAGUGUUGUAGUCGAUUUGGUUGGUGUGGCCUAACAACAGACUACUGUUGUGAAGGCUGCCAAAGUAACUGUAAUCAGGUUGUUUGCGGUGAAUGUGAUCCCGACGACGGGACGGCUGGCGAUGGCGGUGAACUGGGCAAGAUCAUCUCAAGGAAGAUGUUUGAAGACUUGCUUGAGUAUAGAAAUGAUAAACGAUGCCCUGCCAGAUGCUUCUACACUUAUGAUGCUUUUAUAGAGGCAGCCAAAGCUUUUCCAGCCUUUGGUAAUUCUGGAAAUGAAACCAUGCGUAAAAGAGAAAUUGCUGCCUUUUUUGCCCAAACUGGCCAUGAAACUACUGGUUUGUUUCAAUUCCUGAUCAGCUUAAUUAAAUUUAAAGACUCCUUUUUCCGGUGCACUAACAAGUAAUUAAAUUUUAAUUUGUUACUAAUCAAUUUUUGUGGUUAAUAAACUUACAGGGGGAUGGCCCGAUGCACCUGGUGGCGAAUAUGCUUGGGGAUAUUGCUUUAAUAGGGAAGUUGGUGCUGCGUCGUCCGACUACUGUGAUCCUAACUAUCCAUGUCGAGGGAAGUACUAUGGCCGAGGUCCAAUUCAACUCACUUGGUAGGCUGAACAUUUUGAAUUAGUAUAUCAUUGUCUGAUCUGAAUGAGAAAGUCUUGCCCUCUUGAAUUGAAAACUUGUUAAAUGUGCAUUUACAUUCUAUCCAACAUUAAUUAUUCACUAACUUCUUGGUGUACAGGAAUUGCAAUUACUUAAGGUGCGGAGAAGCCUUGGGGGUGGACUUGUUGAACAAUCCAGACCUACUUGCCACUGAUCCAGUACUAUCAUUCAAGUCAGCAAUCUGGUUCUGGAUGACUGCACAGCCACCAAAGCCAUCGUGCCACGAAGUCAUUAUCGACGAAUGGAAACCAUCAGCAAAUGACGUAAACGCCGGCCGGCUUCCGGGAUACGGUCUAACCACAAAUAUAAUCAACGGUGGAAUUGAAUGUGGCUACGUUGGGAAUGACGCUGUACGUAACCGUAUUGGGUUCUUUACCACUUUCUGUGGCAAGUUUGGGAUUCAGCCUGGUGACAAUCUUGAUUGCUCCAACCAACGGCCUUAUGGCCUUAAUCUGAUGGCACAAUCUAUGUGAUCAUCAUGAUCAACGUUUUAGUAAAAUAAGCUUAAUAAAAGCUACUUAAUAAAAACUUUAGAUGUCACACUUGUAGGUGGACAACUAAACUGUUACGCUCUUAUUGUAAGUAAAUUAAAUAAGACUGAUCCAACAUGGAUCAAUGAGUCUUCUCCAUCUUUCAUCGUUUGAUUAUUUUUUUGAGUUUUUUUGGUAAAAUUUUGUACGUUUGUGGUUAGUUAUUUUAACAAAAUAAUUAGUCGAGAAAGGUAAAUGUUUUGGGGGUGAGAAAUACCACGAUCAGGCACACGAGCAGAAUGUGCUCCCUCUGCCUAGAAUGACUCCUUGAGGAAGAUUAGAUCCGAUGAAGUGUGUGGCUGGUCACACGAGUAGAGUUGGCUCGAGACAUGCGAGAAGGGACCAGAACCAAGUCAAAUCGAAGACUUGGUCAAAGGUCAACCCGUGGGUUUCCUCCAAAGAAUUUGGGCACAAAGCUCACUCACCAGCAGUUAUGCUGCCCAUUUGCCUACGGUAGUGAUGUCAAUGGGGCGGGUUCGGGAGAUCAUGAUCCUCGAACCCGAACCCGAUUUAGAAGCUAUCCCUCAAACCUGUCGCAUACCCAAAAAUUAUAUCCCCAAAAAUUCCCGAAUUGAGCGGGGAUUAAAGCAGGGACCCGAUCCCUAUUUCUUUAAAUAAUAAUUUCUAAAUAUUUCAAUUUCUUUUUUUUAAAAAAAAUUAAUAAUUCUAACAACCUCUAUAUUUAGAAAUAAAAUUACAAAUGAUCAAAUUUCAUAUUAGAAAUAAAAUUACAUGUGAUCAAAAUUUUAACAACCUACACAUAAAUAAAAACAUAAUAAAUCUAAACCUUCAACAUAAUUACAAAUGAUCUAAUUUUAUAUGACAAAUCAAAAUAAUUUUAAGUAUUCAACAUAAACUUGUAGCCAUCACCAUUCAUGCACGUUCUAAGAUUCUUGAUAAACCUAUAGCAACAUAAACAAAAAAUAAAUAAAAAAUAAAAUCAUAUUUUAACAAUUCAACUUAAUAAAUACUUGACAAAAUAAUAUAAACUAAAACUAUAUGAGUUACUCAUGCACUUCAAAGUGAACAAAAUUUGGAUUCAUUACAACAGAGUAAAUAACUUUUUUUAGUUAUUUUUUUAUUUUGAACUAAAACUUUAUGCUUGUAUUCAAAAACAUAUUUCCAAAAAAAUAAUAAUAAAAACUAACCAAAUGCAAUUUUUAAGAAUUCCCUGUUUUCAAUAAUAAUAACAAUAAUACCAAAUAGUUGGAUCCACCUAUGUUGCAACUGUUGCAACAUACAACAGUAUUUGUCUUCACUUAAAGAUACCGUUGGAUGUAAAGUAACUGAAUCUAACGGUUCGAAUUAGAUAAGCUUUAAAUGAGGUCUUGACUGGCAACCGCUGAAAUCGGUUAUGUAUUUAUGUAAUAGGGAGUAAUGGUUUCAUGAAAUGCAUCCAAAAGAGAACAGCUCUGUUUUAUGUAACGCAUCACGGUUGAGAAUUAAUCUGGAGGCUCGUAAAUAGAAAGAAGACGAUCGUAAACUCUUAGGAGGAAAAGAUUUCAUUGAUUCACUUGUGUUGCAACCAAUUAUGUAUAUCAAUUGACGAUCGUAAUUACAACUACUCUUUUUUGUAUUCUCUCUGCUAGUAGGCCAACCAAUCAUGUACGGACAAUAUUGGGGUUAUGAAUUGUUUAACUUCUGUUAAUGACCUGCACCUGGUUGAUGAAAAAAAGACUUGCUUGCUUAUCAAAGGAAGCACGUUACUGGGCUUUGCGGACGCGCCCCCUUAAAAUGAUUUAUAAACUCACCAAAACAAGGUAUAUGUUGAUGAAAACAAAUAAAUUUCCUUUUGCAUUUUAUUAUGAAUUACCGAUUUUUGUUUUUUUUUUAAAUUUUUGGUGAAGUACUACUAUGUUUUGACAGAAUUCCCCCACUUUUCAUAUGGAUUUCUUAUGUGACAUGCAUGGGAAUUAAUGAACAGAUGCAUUUCUGUGCACGUGACUUGGUUGAUACAAUGUUCAAGUGUAUGAUAUGAUGCACAUGUUAUCAUGAUUUGCUGAUUAAACAUUUCUAAUAGUGAUUCACUCUCGUACUGAGUACAGACAUUUGACACAGUUUUGUAAUUUCAGAUUUAUGAUGAAUUGAUUAAUGAUUAUUUUUCAUUAUCAUGGUUUGAUGAUUGCACGCUUUCGAAGAUGAUUUUGGCUUCCUCAUGCUACUAUGUUUCCUUAAUUUUUAUCCUUGUAGAUACUUAGAAUCAAGUGCUUAUGUGCAACACAUACUGAAAUGCACACAAACCGAGGAAUUCCCAGUUGGUUACUAGAUCGUGAAGAAUCAUAAACGCUAUUUUUUUUUUUCAAUAGUCAUGACCUCAUAGAUGCAUAUUCUACUAGAUCAAUGGUUAAUAUCAUUCAGUUGGUGCAAAAUGAGCAUGUACUUUAUAAAAUUCAAUGUAAUAAUGUAAGUCCCAAUUAUAUAUAUCUGAUUGUAAAUAUCAGUGUAAUAUCUCUGCUACAAUAGCAGUUGUUGUAAAUAUCUGUGUAAUGCAGUAAUCUGAUGAUUAAUCAGUAUUCAAAAAAAUAGUCAUGACCUCAGAGAUGCAUAUUCUACUAGAUCAAUGGUUAGUAUCAUUCAGUUGGUGCAAAUUUGAUGCAGAAGAUCUUCCACCAUGACCUAUUGAAAAGAAUAUAUUCUGUAUUCUUUUCAAUACAGAAUAUUUGCCAAUGGAAUAUGUGCAUCGUGCAGUUGGAUUGGAUAUUGGCUUUUUUUAUUUUCUGGCUCCCAACUUCAUAUUAUGUAAUUGCCUUAACACAUGAUAUCCUGGGAAGUUUUGAAUUACAUUGUACUCUGAGAUGAAAAUAUUCCAUUUGUCUUAAUAGCGACUAGAGGCAUAACUUUACUCCAUUCAAGAAUGGAAUAAUACAAAUUCUCAUAAUGCAAUAGAAUCAUGUUAUAUGUUAUUAUUAUAUGUUAUAUUACAGAAGUUAUAAUAAUAAUUACUAUUCUUUUUCUCUUUUUGAUUAUCUAUUUGUUGCGGUUAGCAAGAUUCAGAAUUUGGCAUCCCUAACCCUUAAACUAAAGCAAUACAUUUUUUUAAUUUACUUUUAUACUUGAACUCACCUUCAGAAUAAAACUUAACUUUUUCUUCUUUUUUUAAUUUUGGGAAUUGCGUGCUGCGUCUGCUCCAAGGCCACAACAACAGCUCAAACGAACGCCAUAUUCAUACUAUUUUCACAUAAUGAGAUGUGCUAUUUCGUUAUCUUCCAGCACUGCCAAAUAUUCUUUCCAGUUGGUUGCCACAUCCACAUCUUUGCUUUCACGAUCAGAAUCUCUUUUUGGUUUAAUUAACAUCGUUCCUCACUUUGCACACAGCCAAAUUGAAACUUCGCAAUUGCAAUAUCUGAGGGAUGUAAAAGAUAUCGAUGAUCGGAAUUUCCAAGGGGUGGAAAAUAUUUAGAUGCCCACAAUUUCUACAGUGUAGAAUAAUUUCCGAUGAUUGCUCCAAAACAGUCAAUAGCAAUGUGAUUGUGGACCCUUAUUUUAAUAUAUUGUUUUGUACAGAUUCUUUUACCAACCGGCUCUUCCAUUUACCCAUUUUUUAAUUUCAACCGUCAGAUUCGUACACUUUUAAUCGAACGGUAUCUCCAAAUGAAGACAAAUGGUGUUGUAUGUUGCAACAGUUGCAACAUAGGUGAGUCCCAAAUAGUAUAUCAGACAGGUCGUAUAUCUAUAAACCAAUACUGAACCAUCCAUUAAUGAAAAUAAGAAUAAUAUUGAUUGGAAGUUUAGAGUUAAUAUUGAAACAAGAUCAAGAAAAUCAACAGUUCUACAAGAGUAUGAUCCAACAAUAACCUUCAUUUACUAGCCUCCUAUCUUCAAUUUCUUGUAAAACUUCAAAAACAGGUUCACGAAAAAAAUCAAGCAAAAUUCCCUCUCAAGAACAGGAAAAGAUGAAAGAACAUUUAUUUUAUAUGAAAUCCUCCGAAGCAAUUCACUUCAGAAUAAAAUCCACAAACCCCUCUUUGUUCUUCACUUCUUGCUCCUUAAACAAGGAACAAAAAGUGGGAAAAAAAAAAAGAUUGAUAGAUAUUGUGGAUAGAGAUAACUGCAGCACAAACUCAAAAGCAAAUGAUUACAAAAUUAAUAUACCAUGCAGAAAAUAGCCACGCCUAACAAAAUUCUACAGCCCAAUACCAGCAACGAAAUAGUUUAGAUGAAGAAGAAAGAAAAUACCUCUACAAGUCUAUAUGGUCAUUCUUUAAGAGUAUUUGCAAGAAGCUGGACUCCAAAAACUUUGCAAUGAUUUCUGUGAGAGUUAAGAGCAAUUAAACAAAAAGGAGAACACCAUAAUCACAUAGGUAGUUUGUUAAUCCACAACAGAAUGGCUUCGUCAACACAUAUCCCUACACAUUAUCACUUCUAAAACAAAGCUUCCUAUAAAACAUAUAUUUGGAUAGAAGAAAAAGAAACCACUCACUCUAAUAUUGACUUUAUCGAUUGGAAAUAAGUGCAUAUAUAUAGAAACAAAAACUACAGAGAUUACUAACGGUAGGUAUACAAAACUUACACAAAUGAUCGAAACUAAUGUACAAAACAUUGUCAACAUUAGCAAUAUUGGGUAACUGAGAUUUUGACUCACCAAUUUCCUAAACAGAAGUCUACAUAAAAUUUCAUGGACUACAAGACAUUUGAUGUAUCUUUGCUUGGCUAUAUUCUGUUCAUUUUCAGCUGCUCGAAAAUCCAUAAAUGGAUCCCAUGCUCAUCACUUUGUUUGCAUAAAUCUUCCAUUAAAUUUAUAGCUGCAAGGCCAUACAGUUGCAUGCUAGUUAUAUGGAAAAUACAACAGAAGUAUAAUGGAGGGCCUAGCCUGCCAUCCGCAUGUUUAAGUCUGCAGCUACAUGAAGUUUACAUAAACCAAAACUUCGACCUUGGAAAUUAAAUAAAAAAACAUGCAUAGGAAAAAGAACUUUAGAAACAAAGAAGGUCUCAAAGGCCCACACUUGCAAAAAUCCUUUCUUAAGUUUCUUCUAUCCCACAGCAUUCAGACUCUUUCCAAAACGUAAGGCCAUUUUCCCAUAAAACAUAAUAUCCCACUUAGAGCUGGCAAAUUCAAUAAUUCGGAAGCAAUCAAGAUCUAAAUAUUUUUUUCCAUAUAACUAACUUUUUAAUGAAAGCAACAAGUCAUUUUUAAAACAAGAUCUAAUUAUUUUAAACACUCAUUUUCCAACUCAAUAGCUAAUUAAGAGUUUAAGAUCAUAAAAACCCAAAAAUCAAAAAAUUCCUUUUACCCUUCUACCGGACUGAAACUAAAUGACCCCCCUUUUUCAGUUUUUCCACAAACCAAACAGCACACCACUAAAAAAAUUAAAAAUUAAAAAACAAAAGCUUUCCUUCUCUCCCGAGAAAACAAAAAUUAAAAUUCCCAUAAUAUCAUCAUUGAAAAAGAGCAGAAGAACAGAUUAGUUUGUUAACCAAGAACAGAGUAGUUUGUUAACCCAGCACAGAACAGAACGGCGUCAUCAAGACAUAUUCCACGUUUCGCAUUAUCCAUUAUCACCCAUAAAACAAAGCUUCUUAUAAACCACUCACUCUAUUUCGUCAAAUUCUUCCUUCUCUGGUUUCAUGUUUUCCAUCUCUACUUGAAACUUUUCAUUCUUUUCUCUUUUAUUAGGCCCAAAGCAUGGCUGUCAGUAACUCAAAUCAUGGCUGCAGCCUCUGUUUCAGUGAGCUCUCCAUGGCUGCAGUUUGUGCUUAAGGCUAUGUGACUGAGAAUGAAAUCAGAAGAAGAUGAAUGAAAACACGCAAAACGUAAAAUUGACUCAAAUCAAUGAAACCAGAUGCAAUUUCAAAUAAAUAAAUAAAUAAAGAAAAAUAGGAAAAGCAAAAACCUUGCAGCAGGAGAUCCAACAGCGCGGCUGAGUGUUGGUCGCUGACGACAAACGGUGGCGACCGACCAGCUGUUAGCGACGGCGGCGACGGCGGCGGCGGCUAACGAGCUCUUAGGGUUUCUUUUGGGGGAACGAUCGAUUCAAUCCAAAUGGAUUAAAGAAUAAUCUUUUUUUAGUUUUUAUUUUUGGGUCGGGAUAGGGGACCCGAACAAUCCCCGAAUCCAAACCUGAAAUUUUUUUGGGCUUAGACCCAUACCUGAAACUGACCCGAUUUCAUUUUCAUAUUUUUCUAGGGCCCCAUACCCGCCCCAAAUUAAUCGGGGCCCCGCGGGUAUUGCUGCCAACUCUAGCCCACGGUUAUGUAAUCAACCCAUCAACGAAGUCGAGAGAGAGAAGGCUAAUAAUUCCGGUUGGAUAUAAAAACUUCAAAGAACAGAAUUAAGGGAGUUAGACAACUUUUCAUUUAAUUUUCUCAUACUCUCAAUUUAUUCACAAUUUUAUCUUCUCUAUCAUUCUUUCUUUCUGAAAUAAAACUUUUUUUUUUAUUUAGAGUAGUUGUAAUUACGCCACGGGAAUCGUGGCCCAAGUUUUUCUAGGCAAACCCAGAUCGCUGACUUGAGCGUCAGAGGGUUUACGGUGGAAAAACCUUCAGCAUCCCCUGACUAGUUAUUGUGAACACGUGUUCUUGGAGGAAGUAUUUGAGGUCACAGGAACUUGUUCGAUAGUGAGGAAGCCAGAGGUGGAUCCAAGAUUUUUAAGUACCCCAAGCUAAAUUUAAAAAAAUUAUAUUGUAAAGUGAACAUGAAAUUUUAUAAGAAAAAAAUAAAAUACACAUAAUAAGAUGAGAAAAUUAGAAAUCUUACACUAAAUAAUAAUUACUUUAAACAAAAUAAUUAUAUAAAAAUAGAAAAUAAAAAUGUAAUUCAAAACAAAAAUAUAACUAAAGUUGUACUUUUCGUAACUUCAAACAAUAGAAUUCGUCAAUUAUGGAUUCUGGAUCAAUAGUAUUUGCAAUUUCUCUUUCAGCAUAGACAACCAUACAAUUUGAAAGCAACUCAUUUUCUAUCUUAUUGCAAAGUGAUGUCUUGAUAAGGCUCAUGGCUGAAAAUGCAUGCUCUGUUGUGGCUGUAAAUGAAAGGAGAGUUUUCCUUUACUUGGAUUUAUCGAACAUUAUACCUAUAAAUUACCAUAGCAUGAAACUACAUAAAAAUUAAUUAAUUAAUUAAUAAUUACAAGCUUAAUUAGCAUGCUUAAAUAAAUUAAACAAUUCAAUUGUGUUCAUCUUUUCCAUUUAAAAAAAUAUUAUUAGUAAAAAAAUAACAAUAAUAAAUCAACUCAAACUAAUAAAUCACAAAACUAAUUACAAAAAAAAAGCCAAUCAAACAUUCAAAAUAAUAAAUUAAAAUAAUAUGUAAAAUAAAUCAAUAAAAUCUAUCUAAAAAAAUAAAUAAUUUAUGCAAGUUCUAAAAGUAUAGUAACAUACCAGUAGAAAAAUGUAUAGAUCGCAAAGAAAUUGGAAGAUGUGAACGGAUGAUGAAUUGUGAUUUGUGAAGUAAUGAAGGUGAAUUGAUGAAGAAUGAAGAAUCAUGAAGGGUUUGGAAUUUUUUUUGUUUUUUUCUAAUGAUAUCGAUAGAAGUAAAGGAAAAGUAAUAAUGAUGGAUGGCAUUUUUCGUAAUUUUAAUCAAACUAACUAUUUUUUUUUCUUUUUCUGUAUCGGGCUGCAGCCCGGUAUAGCCCACUAACAGAUCCGCCUCUGGAGGAAGCAAAACAAAACCAUCUCCCCAAUAACAAUAAAUUUAAGUGUUGACGUGAUUGUCUGAUCACUAUAUAGCUCGAUCAAAUUUCUGCAUCAACAAUAAACUUGGACAGACCUAAAUAGGUAUAUAUUCAUAUACAUAGGCGGACCUUAAAGGAGCUUCAGCCCCUCCAUUAUAUUUUUCUUCUAAAUGUGCUCCAAACCCCAUUUGAAAAAGAAAUAAAAAGAAUUUGGGCACAUAUUUUAUAUAACAAAAUAUUUGUAGUUUAAUUGUAAUAGUGUUAUUUAGUGAUUUUGGAAACUUGUGCCGCAUUUACUUGUCAGUAAUCAAAAUGGAUUAGAAUUGGAAUGAGUUGGAAAAUGAAUGAGUUGGAAUGAGAAGGGGAAAUAAGAAUUAUAAUAAAUUGUUUACUUAAACUACAAGAAUCGAAAUGGAAAUGAGUUAGAAUCUUAUUGAUGUGUUUGUUUUAUCUUGGAAUCGAAAUAGGAAUAAACUGAAUCAUUUUAAGUUACUAAAAUGCCCUUAGUUAAUUAUAGUAAUAAUAAUAAUUAUUAUUGUCGUUGUUGUUAUUGUCGUCGUCGUCGACAUUAUUUGUGAUUUUUAUUAAUAUAAAAAUGAUUAAUAAUAAUAAUAUUAAAAAUAAUAUCAUUAAUAAUUUAUUAAAAUACCCUUUGUUAAUUAUUGUCAUUUGAUGAUGAUGAUGAUAAGAAUAAUAAUUAAAAUAAUAAAUAAAUAAAUAAUAGUAAUAAAUCAUAAAUAAUAACAAUAAUAACAACAAUAAAGUUUAUAAUAAUAUAAAUAAUAAUAAAAAUAACAACAACAACAACAACUAAAUUCCAUAAUAAAAAUAAAUUUUCAGUUUUUUUCGAUUUAUAUUCAAGAACUAUAAUUAUUAAUAUAUUAUUGUUAAUAAUAUAUUAACAUAUUAAUUAAUAGUAAUAAUUAUAUUAAUUAGUUAAUAAUAAUAUAAGAAUUAAUUAUAAUAAUAAUAAUUAUUAUUAUUAUUAAAUAAUAUAUUUAAUAUAUUUAAUUAUAAUAAUAAUAAAUUAAUUAAUUAUAAAUGAGGACAAAAUGGGUAUUUUUAUUUUUUGGGGGGGAAGGGGGCAAAAUGGUCAAUCUCAAAAAUGGGAGACUCAUUCCCAACCCUCUCCUUGGGAAUAAUUCUCUCAUUCCCCCAUUCCCAAAUUAUGGUGGGCCGCAUAAUUCUAAUUUUGAUUUUUUAUUCUAUUUUAUGAAGUAAACGCUGUUAAUAAUUCUGAUUUCGAAUUCCGAUUCCCUAAUCGGUAAGUAAAUGCAACAUUGGUUCAAAUCCUAAUAGCCACAUAAUUCAGCAUUUAAGAUAAAUAAUUUAUUACAAAAUAUUUAAAACAAAUAAAAAAGCACCCCAAAUUAAAUUAAAAUCUUUUUAACUAAGCUCUCUUAAUUUUGGUGUGUGUGUCCACCAUUGUUCAUGUAUAGAUAAAAGUUUAAAAUACGCUUUCCAAUAUUUGAUUUCGCUAGGCUUCCGAGGAGGAGGAGUGGCUUUGCAUCUGGUGAGUCAUUAUUUCUUAUUAAUUUACCAUAAAUUGUAGUAGUAGUCAUGUGCCUGAUACAGAUGAACAUUUGCAUUACCAGACACUAAUUACAGAAACUCGAUAACAAGCCUAGCAUUGCUGUUUCCAAAAUGUACCAUAUACGUAUUUUAAACAAUCAAUUACGUUUACAGAUUUAACUUUUAUUUACAGGCUGAGGACUUACUAUCAAAAUAUUUUAGAUCCUGAAAAUGCGUCAGCAUUAUUGAACAAUUUUAAAUGCAAAAUGUUAACUACGGGGGGCUAUGCUUAUCAAGUGAAUUAAAUUUCAGAAUCCCAGCUUAGACCAAUGCUGAUCAAAAACUCUUGACAACUAAUUAGUAGUUCUCAGUUCAAGCUUUCUCAAUGAGCAGGAAAAAAGUCACCAAUAGGAUGACAACAAAAUCUAUCUACAGGUUACAGACCAAAAUUAUUGAAAGAAAAACUAGCUGGGCAUAUAAUAGUACUGGUCUCAAUUGAGAAUACUAGCAUAAGGGGUCAAAUUUUGUGCAAUGUUUUGAAGCCAGGGACUAAGCUGUGACCAAAUGGGAUCCUGGCUCCAAUCCGUAUUCAUUUUCGGAACUUGAAGCUCUGGCAAAUUUAUUUUCCCUUGUGGCAAUUGCAAAGAUGUGGCUGUUGACACAGUUUUCUCCUCCGUAUAAGUUCCUUGUACCAUUGACACUUCUUGUUCUUCUUGCUUGAGCAUCACAUGGGGUAGACUAAUCGGUCCCAAUAAUUCUUCUGGUUGGCCGCAAAAAGAGCUGGUAUCCAACGUCGGUGACGGUGGAGAAGGUGAAGUGAAACUUGUCUUCAUUUGAUCUUCCUCCAUUGCAGCUCUUUGUUCCAGGACCUUUAGAGAUGUUGCCUUCCUGUAUAUCUUACAAAGUACAAUAUCCUGCAUUUAAAAAUUCCUGGUGUGAGUAGAAUUCAAAUCCUAAAACAAUUCCUGAUGUGAGUAGAAUUCAAAUCCUAAAACAAGUAAUGGAAUCCCGAGAGAUUUUAAGUAUCUGGUGAAGCAACUAAAACAAAUUGAAAAAAACUCGGUACCUUGGGCAAGGGGCAACCGUCAGGAAGGCGAUAUUCGUUCAUGACCCAGUCAGUUUUGUGACCUUUUGGUGCUCUGCCUUCAUAGAAAACAAGAGUUUUCCUCAGGCCGAUUACGCGUUUCGGAUCCGAUAAGCUCACAAUUUUCCUGUCAGAACCUGUAGCUUUCCAGAAUCCAUGUUCAGUUGUCCUGUUUGGCCUUCCACCACUUCCAUGCUUCCUGUCUCUUGGGACAAAAAAGUACCACUCCCUCUCUCCAAUCUUUGACAAUCCUGUAAAACAAAACCGAGUGAAAAAAAAAAAAUUGUUUCAAUGUAACUAAAUGAAACUUUUCAGAAUUGUUUCAAUGUAACUAAAUGAAACUUUUAAAAAAAAAUUGUUUCAAUGUAACUAAAUGAAACUUUUCAGAAAUGUAACAGUAUAUAUAAUUACAUGCAUACCAGGCAACUCCCAGGGAUCAUGGUGAUAUAUGUUAAGGAAUCCGAUAAUAUCGAAAUGUGAUUUUUUUCCAAAAACAAUGUUCCUGAGAUAGAAAUUGAGAAGUUCAUCUUCUGUAGGAUGAAACCGGAACCCUGGAAGCUCAAGCUCUGGUGUCAUUUUAUCUACUAGAGAGUUCAAAUUUUGUCUGAAACUGGAAGUGUAAGUGAAUGUAAAUGCUGAUGAUACAUGUAAAUGUAAGCACGUAUUGAAAGGCUAUAUAUAAGUUAGAUAUUUUAAAGACACAGAAGACUAAGUCAUGAAAGAGCAGGGAACUUGGAAAAUGAAGUCUUGGAAAUUUUGGAACUAUGUGGGGGAUUGGAAAAUGGUGGAGUCCACACGCUUAUUAAAGUCUGCAGUGACUGAAAUUGAUUUCAUCCUGUGAUGUGGACAAGAGAACACGUUUUCGUUAGUUUUUGGUGUUUUACUUGGAAAUUCCAGGCAGUUGGGGUUUUUUUUCCAAGUAAAUUUCUGCCACAUAAUUUGAUCAAAUUUUUUGAACAAUCAAGUAUGCCAUAGGAAUUAAGAAACAUGUAAUGAGGACCUCAUGUUGAAUCACCUCUUUUCUCUCUUGUACGGGUAGGAGUUCAAGUCUCAUGGAUAUCAGAAAAAAUAUUGGUAUAUUUUCAAAUGUAAGGGUCAGCGAGUCUUGUCUGCGCAAUACUGCAAGUAAUUUCAACAUUGAAAUGGUCAUAAUGCUUAAUUUUGCAUCAUUAUGAGCUUCUAGGUUUGUAGACUCCACCUCAAUCUAUCGAGAGAAUACAUAUACAUACAUACAUACAUACAUACAUACAUAUAUAUAUUAGAUUUUAAAGCGUGGGAAAAAUUCUAGUAAGUUAUAAAACUGUGGGGUUUGAGAGACUUAAAAAUUAAAAUGCUUAAACCACAAGAUUUAUACAUUUUUUCGAACUUUUACGCACUUUAAAAUUCUAAAUUUGAAUAUAUAUAUAUAUACGUGUGUAGAAAUAUUUCAAUCUAGAAUUUUAAGAUGCGGAAACAUCUAGAAAAAUGCAUAAAUCAUGCGGCUUAAUCGUUUUAAAUUUUAAACCUUUAAAAGUAUGAGGUUUUAAAAUUUUUUCGAACUUUUCUCACACUUUAAAUCCCAGAUCAAAAAGCUACUGCGAGGUAAGUGGCAAAGGCAAAUUAGAUACUUCCAUUGUUGGUGGGUAUUGAUUACUAAAACAAAAGUGGACCUACGUGACAAACUUAUUGGUGCAUCUCUGGUUAGGCUAGUCGUUCCUUAAAAAACUUACGUCCUCUCCAACUCUAUUAUGAGCUAAUUCGAAACUCAAAUCCUUGUUUUUGUUUUAAUAGAUUUUAUCGAUUAAACGAAUCGCUACUUAUGAAAAGCAUUUCAAUAUUUUAUUUCAAUGUGAGUAUGCCCAGGUUGGUCUAAUCUCAACAAGGCUCGAUCUUAAUUUCUUCACUUAAAAAAUUAGAAAAUGAGAAGAACUCAAUCAAAUAAAAAAGGAUUUAAACGUACGAACUAUUUGAAUAAACUUGGUAGAACAGCUGUACAAUAUGUUGACAUAUUUAAUUUUUAAAUGGAUUUAACCUUCAAAGCAUGUUCGAGAAACUCGAAGGUAGAAGAGAUUGGUGAACAUAUAAUGACACUGAGAACCCCUCUUUCGUUUUUUUUGGGACAAUAUGUUUUCUUUAAUAAUAAAUUAUCUUAAAAUGAAAUUCUCCACGGGAAAUAAAGUAUCUUACUUAUACCAUAUGAAUAUGGUUUCAACCUCAAGCUUAUUUUAACAAUCAAAAUAAGAUCUUCCUAAAAAAGUUUACUAAUUAACACUUUUACUCUAUCACCAACUCAGAAGGGAAUGCCUGUUUAAUGAAUAAAUUAAAGAAUCGCAUAAUUGGUGCAAAUCAUAGUUUUAAAAGAAUAAAUAAUUUGGAAAGUGAAUGUGAUCGAUGUAUCCAUCAGAUAUACUGCAUUGGGUCAAUUUGUUUAUAUUUCUCAAAGUCUUCUAGUACAGCGACCACAACCAACAAGAUAAUGCUACAAAAUUUCAAAAGCAACUCCGCGUUGUCAGCAAUGUUUUGUUUUGUUACAUUUAGAAAUCAAAAAAUUAAUAAUAUUUUUCAUGGUUUUGAUUAGUGAUUUGACUUGGAAGUCUUCUCCGAAGACUUAAAAAAAAGAAGUCUUCCCAUUCUAUCUUAAGGUGAAUGAUAAUUGAUUGUCAUAUGUUUAGCCGUAGACUUUCUAUUUUAUUCGAGUAAUUCUCUCUAUUUAAGUCUUUGCCCUCCCCCCCCAAAAAAAAGUUAAUAUUCUCUCGAGUUUUAUUUAUUUUAAACUAAAUCAAUUCAUUUAUAUAAUAUAUAACUGUCAAUUAUCAUAAUGCAUGUGAUUCAGGUUUGUAUAUCUUUUUUAGAUAUAUAAUUAACUAAUGUUUACAAAGUUUAAUUUAAUUAUGUUCGAGGAAUUAAAUUUUAUUUCGAACAGAUGUGGGAUGCCCUCUUGAUUUUAAGCUUCUAUUAGUUUGAGCAAAGAUGGCGAAUAUAAUGAAUCUUUACCUGGACAGUAAAAUAUAUACACAUUACACAAAACUUUUGAAAACUUCAGAAAAAUUCGGAUCAGAAGAAAGUAGAACAUAUUCUUCUUCUAUCCUUCUUAUUUAUUAUUCCGGGGAAAAAAAAAUUCUAAGUUUUCUUCCAAUUUAUUGUCGUUACUUUUAAACUCUAAUUUUGGUUGAAUUGAAAUAACAAAACGGUAGCUUCUAAGAAAUUUCCAUGCAAUUUCUUGGAGUCUUCAUUAUUCCUGUUGCUCUUGGCAAAUGGCAAUGUUACUUUCUGGAACUCAUAUCAUGAUACUGCCGGUGGCUUUUUCAUUAAAAAGUGCAGUUACUGGUAUUAAAGAAAACACGGUUUCCCUUUCUCGAGCCCUAAUCAAAGUUCACGGUUUCUAUUUUAUAAUAUCAUGGAUCAAAGCAACUGUGUAUUAAAUUAAUUUCAAUUCAAUCGACAAUCGUUAUCGUAGACAUUUCGCGUUGUGUUUCCUUUGCCCUCAAUCCUCACGACAUUGAUCUUGUGAUUGUAUUUAGGACAAGGUGAUUUGCAUGGGUUAGAAUUGGAAGCGAAAGGGGAUUUUUGGAUGGGCCAAGCUAGCUCAUGUUGAUGCGCAAAUUGUGUCGAAUCCACCAACUAAAUUGCCGCUUAGGAGCCCCAUAUUUUCAACCUUGAAAAACCAUUUCACAUGUCGACGAAAAUGACACAUUGGCAACAGAGAAAAUGAUGGCAGCUUCCCCCCCCCCCNNNNNNNNNNNNNNNNNNNNNNNNNNNNNNNNNNNNNNNNNNNNNNNNNNNNNNNNNNNNNNNNNNNNNNNNNNNNNNNNNNNNNNNNNNNNNNNNNNNNNNNNNNNNNNNNNNNNNNNNNNNNNNNNNNNNNNNNNNNNNNNNNNNNNNNGUACCGUACAUCCGCCUUGGCCGUACAGCAGUUUAAUGGAAACUAUCAUAAAUCAUGUCGUCUAAAAUUUUAAAGAUUACAAGUAAAGUGGAAUGAAAAAAUUUUCAUCCUUUAAGAAAAAAAAUCAGAACAACUCAAAAUUCUCAUGAUGAAUAUCAAAAUCUUGCUUUUGCACCAUGCAUACCGAAUCCAAUUUGACAACCAUUACAGAUAAACUAAUCUUACUAGCAUGCAGCAAGGUAGCUUCUUCAGCAAAAUCAAUAUCAUUCGAAUACUACCCCACCAUUAAAAAAAAAAAAAAGCAAAUAAGGAUACAAAAAAGGAAAAGAAUAAGCCACCUCUACAAAAAUUCUCAUUGGAAAACCUAUACAAAAACCAUCCCUACAAGACCAUGAAACCUCUAUGCACCAAAAUUAAAGUUGAUAUAACAACUUCCAAUACUCUUCCAAUCUAAACGCCGGAGUGGUCUUAUCAAGAGAUCCAUUGGAAAGAGCCUUGAAGAGUUGAAGAAAAAUUUAAAAAGAAACUUAAAGAUAGGAAUGAAAAUGAAAAGACAUUGGUCGAAGAUGGGAAUUCCCUCCCCAGCCAGAAACGGUUGUUGGAUCUGAGUGAUAGAGGAUGAAAAAGAUAGGGACUUUCGUUGGUUGAUUUACUUACCAAUGCGGCUAAGCUUUCGGAAUUGAAGAUUUGGAAUCACGACAAAAAGAAGUUGAGAAUUUGAUAAUUAUGUCGUAAUUUCCCAAUUUCAUAAACUGUUUUUAGCUUUAAUUUAAUUUUAGGAACAAAGUAGAUAAAAGUGUUUAAUUAGUGAUUGAUGGUAAAGUAAUUUUAUAAGUUACGAAUCUAACAUCCACUAGAUGAGUAAUAUAUAGUAUAGAGACUCAAGUGAAGAUUCAAAUAUUGGAAUGUCUAAUAUUAUUGAUUUUAGGAAAAAGCCCUUCAAUAUAGUCAAAAUAAAUAAAUAAAUGUGAAACAUGCAUUACUAUACAAUUUGAACCUGUCGUUCAGUGAAAUAUAUUUGAACCUCGUAUGCUUGGUAGAAUAACUUAAUCGUAUGGGCAAAGUAAUAUAUUUCUUAGUACGAAUGUGCGGAGCACCUAACGAGAAGAGCACACAUUUAAUCACUUGCAAUAUCAUCUCAUGACAUCAUAAAUCAUAUAACAUAUGUACAUUUAAUCAUAUCAUGUUACUAAAUCAUUCAAGCAAACAUCAAUACAUCACAGAAUACAUAAUAGUAAUAAUAGUAAUUUACUCACAGAUCCUGGUUCAUUUGCUAGUUCAUUGGGGCUCCUGUUGAUUCUUAUAUAUUUUGAUUUCUCCUAAAACAUAAGGUUAAAAAAAAAAAAACUAUCAGAACUAAUAUAAAAACUAAUUGUCCAAUUCCAUUUCCAGUAACUUUUCAACUUUGGCUUCCUUUUCCACUCUCAUUUUUCAAUUUCCUCUUGUUUCUUUUCUUUUCUUUUUCUUCCCUUUUCUCUCGGUUUCUCUCUUUCAAUUGUUCUGCCUGGGCUUUUAAUUUUGUGAAACAAUGAGACCUGAUUCAAUUUAUUCACAUUAUAUAUGCUCACCGAAGCCAAGCAAGCAUGAUAAGCACACAAGUAAAGCAUGCAUGUGGUUUAAAUGAAGUAAACAGCUUGCUGUUUCUUUGAUCAUUAGCCAUUUGCGGCCUUGUAAGCAUGCAAGUGCGUUAGAAUUCAACACUAUUUGAAUGAACAUUAAAAGAUUUCUUGAAUUCCUCACGAAGGAUGGUAAUAGACACCACCCGCAACGGGUUUGUCAUCAUCAAACCUACACCUGCAUAAAAUUUAAAUUACCAAACUCACUCAUAACUCGUUGCGGGUUUUGACAAUUACCAAACCCAUAAUGGUACUUGACGGAUUUUUUGCGGGUUUCUACAUUUAAAAUCACAAAUGUUCAAUAUGUAAAUUUAUAAUAAUAGCCUAACAUUUCAAAUAAUAUAUUCAAUUCUAAAUUUAACUAAUGUAAAUGGAAAAUUAAAAUUUCAACAUCAAUCCAAUACAAAUUCUCAAAUUUAAGUAUUAAAUACACAAAUCUAAAAAAAAAGAGCCACAAACUAGUAUCUAAAAAUAACAAUUAUCAUUUUAUAUAAGAGUAAUGAUACAGCCACAAACUUUUGUACAAACUUAUUUUGUACAAACUGAUGUGGCAUGAUAAGAUUGGUUGAAUUAAAUGAGUAAUGAUACAGCCACAAACUCUUGUACAAAUUUAUUUUGUACAAACUGACGUGGCAUUAAUUCAUUAAUCAUUCAACACAAACUUCAACAGAAAAUCUUCAUUUCAUUCAUCACCAUUAGCACCCAUCCAACAAGAUUCCUAUAAUAAUAAUUAAGAUUAAUAUUUUCUAAAGGAUAAUAAUUUUUAAAUACUAAUCCAAAGAACAAAAUUAUAAUAAUGAAAUAAUUCAUGCAUUAAGCUAAAGAAUAAUAGUUCAUACAAAAAUUCAUGCAUUAAGUUAAAGCCUGUUAGGACCUAGGCACUUUGCAACUUACACAAAUAUUUGCACUUUACAUUAUUUAUUUUAUAUAUAUUUUUAUUUAAAUAUUUUUUAAUUAAAAUUAAAUUAAAGGUUUUUAAAAAAAGCUACAUGUUGGCAGAUACCCAUAUGGGUAUCCGCUGGAUAUUUAACUAAUACUAAAUUCACUUAUAACUUAAUACAUAUUUCAAUUUAUAAUACCAAAUAUACCCGCAACCCACAAAAUAACCUGCAGUGGACCGAUUUGGACGGAUUUAUUGAUACCAUUGUCCUCUCUUUUCCUCACCCUCCCCGCCUUGUAGCCUUGUAUAUACAUAAUUACAUAUCAUAGGUCUUUUCAGCCCAGACUUGCUUAAGGUCAGAGACCCUUACGACAAUUGACUUACCACAAGAAGAGAAGAAAGAAAUUAAAGUAGAAUUGACUUGCAACUAAGAGUGUACGAGAAUCGAAGACCUCAUGAGAUUGAAAAUUUACAUCUGUUGACGGCCCAAAUGUAUCAGUUGGGCUACUUUUGUAAAAUCUAAAGCCUGCUUUAGAUAUUGGUAAUGGCCUCCCAAUAAUUUUUGUAAACACCUUCGAUUCAAAAAGAUAAUCACAGAAAAUAUUUUUUUUUUUUAAUUUUCAAGUAAAUAAGAAGUUUGAACUUUGCACAAUCAAUAACUUACUCUUAUUACCUAAUUAAUUUAAAAAAAAUUAAAAUCCCUGCAUAAAAAUAAAAUUAAUCUAAUUUUCUUAGACUUUUAAGAUAAAAGGACCAAAAUUACCAUAAAAUUAUUUUAGCUUCAGCAUUUUUUUUAAUUUUAUCCAAACGUGUAUAUUUCUAAUGAUUAUUAGUUUACAAAUAAACUAACAAAAUGUCUUUACAGCAUAAUUUCUCAUGAAAUUUUUAGGUUGUCGAACUUCUAUCACUAUGGAGAAUUAAAAAUUAUUGGCUUCAUUUUAAAAUAUUUAUAUAGGCCAUACAAUAAAUGCCUAAAUUAUUACAAUAAUUUAGGAUGAAAAUAGUUUUAAAAAAAACACACGUCCUUUUUUUUUGGGGUUGGGGGGGGCUGCUGUAACGUAAUCCGCCUUGGCCGUACAGAAGGAUAUAUCUGUUAAAUUAAGUUUAUUUUAAAAUAAAUUUAGUGGUGAAAUAAAAGAUGGCCAAAACAAAUUGAGUGGUGAAAUUAAUAGGAGAUGGGUUUGGGUAGGCGCCUGUGGGGUGGUUUGGAUUAGUGGCUUUGUCGUUGACUUGUUGGAUUGAAAGAUCCUGAACUGAUCAAGCAAGUGAUACAUGCCACUUAAAAUGUUAUAGCACAGAUAAAGAAUGGAAGAGACAGUGAAAGCUACCAAUUCCCUCACCUUUCUGAGCAGCAGUAUUGUUGUUGAAUCUUUUCACAUUUGUUAGCUACAUCCCUCAUUCAAUCUGUCUGAGGCAACCAUUCUUUCAAAACUAUUUGAGCAUCAUCAAAGCUUUUGAGUGGUUAGAAUCUUAGGCUUCUACUAUUUGAGCAUCAUCACCACCUUGACUAAUAGAACUGUUUUCCUUUUUGUGUUCCACAACUUUUGGCUUUGAUUCUGACUCACAUAGUACCACUCCACUUCAAUAUUUGUUCAAAAUUAGUGUCUGCUUUUCCUAGACGCAUCGUUGUCGAAAGAUAGGGGCAAAAAAAAAAAAGGCUGCACUAAUUUAUAAUCUGUGACCUCUAGUUUGAAGCUUUUUCUCUUUAAACAACUGGGGGAUAUUUCCACUUUCUGGGCUCAUAAUUUUCUGAAGUUUUUCUCCAAGCAAGGUCACUUGUUCCACAUUCAGGUUCACGUAACCUUGGCACCUCAAAGUCAAGUUUCGAAAAUGUUGCAAGAAAUAUUUCUUGGUUCCUGUCCCUAAAUGAUUACAAAUUAUUUGUGUUCUCCCUUAUUUUAAAUGAGUUUAGGGUGCGUUUGAGGUUAAUAGUUGUAACUUAAAAAUUACAGUGUUGAAUUAUUUGGUAGAUACUAACUGUUGUAACUUAAAAAUUAUCUUAAUAUGAUUAUUUAUUUGUAUUAUAAACUAUAUUUUUAAAAAAUACAACACCACAAUUUGAAAGCGUUAAUUUAAUGAGCUUGGUCAGCUGGUCCCUACUAUUCAGUUAAAAACGACCGCCUGCCCUUCGGCCAGUUGACCUAUAAUCAUAAGAGAUGAUAAAGCUUUCAAGGGGCGGCACUCUCUGUGUCAUUAUUGCCUUUAUCAAAGGGAAGGACCAACUAGCAGGAGAGGCCAGGCCACAACCACAAGGCUAAAAAGCCAUACAAAACUACACAAAUUUCUUAACUGGUCCCCAAUUGUUGUCACAUUGCCCCAAAAUCCUGGACAUCCCAUAAUUCUCAUGCCUCUCUCUUUCACUUGGUGAAUGUUUUAUACAUGCUAUAUCUCAACUUCUCAAGUAUGUUGCAUGUUUUGUUACAAUUUUCCAUUACAAGCCCCAAAUUUUCUGUUUUAUAACCCAUAAGUUGAUAAAUCUAAUUGAGGGUAGCCUUAGGCACAUAUGCUUUAUAUAAGUUUCUUCAAGCGAGUAGAGAAAGUAGUACUCAAGAACUCGUUAAUGAUUCUCGAGACAAAUUUAAGACCUCAAAUCAAGUUAUUAAAAUAGGCGUGUGAAAUUUGUUAGAUCAUUGUACAAAUGUUUUGAUAUAGCGAGAUAUCCUAAACUAACUAGAGAAAAUGGUAAGAAAAGACUAAAGAGGAGAAAAUUUGGGGUUUCAAAAGUUUGUCACAACAUAUCAAACGCAACACCAACUUCCAUUUUUGAAAUCUAGUUAGCAACUAUCACAUCAAAUCAAGUACAAAAUAAAUAUGAAACCUUCCUUUGGGCAAUAGAUUAAGCAAUGAAAGGCCAAGUGGGGGCGUGAAAAAUGACUCUUGCCUUAAGCAAGGUCUUUGUCAUACCAGAGUAGUAUACUGAUUAUUUGAGUAACAUUACUAAAACCAUUAAGGUUUGCCUAUUACGGAUGUGCUAUUUUUGUGAUAAUAAAAGAUGAAAAGUUUGGUCUGGGGAUUGUUGACUCAACAUUGAUUGAUCAGUUCUCUCCAUUUUUUUUCCUUGAUCUAAUUUUCCAGGUCAUCAUCUCUCUCUCUCUCUCUCUCCCCACAUUUGCUUUUCUGCAGUAGCACCAAAGCAAACAAAAGUCCAGGCCGCAGAUAAAGUUCAAAAACUCAUUGGCCCCUGCUGCAGCAUGAGCUGUAGCAGUACUCUGGUAACACUCAACCAUGAGUCCAACCAAAAACAAACACGAGUUUGGUAUAAGAAAAAGUGAGUAUAGUCCAUACACCAUAACACCUAGGCCUCAUAAAAAUUGAAUGUUGCUAAAGUGAUGCAAUUGCAUACAGCAUCAAAAUCAAUGACAGUACCUUAAAAAACUGGCAGAGGAAAGAGAGAACUUGAUAACACCAGCAAUAAGCAAUGCAUCGUGCAUGAUGCUGCGCAAAGAAAGCACACUGGAAUCUGGAUAGAGAAUAAAGCUGCUGUCUUUUGGAUUUAAGCUUCUUGUUGUUAGCCAUAAUUCCAGAUACCAAAGUACAAGCUUAAAAAUGCUUAAUGAUCACAUAAUUCAUACCCACCUAAAAAAGCUAAGCUUUUUUGCCUUCUUCGAGCUUCUUUUAACAUCCCCAAAAAAAUAAAAAGAGAGGCCCACUUUUGUCACUUUCUAGUCUCCUUUUAUCUCCCAAGUCAUUAAUUCAUUCAAACCUUACAUAUACCAUUAUACUACACUUGGUAUAUGACCCAAAGCAUCAAAAUGAUAAAAGCAAAAGACCUAAAAUCAAUUUUCCCCCAACUUUUUUCUUCAUCUUUAGAUGUCUGUCUCUCUUUUAUAGAGCGCUAGCGACCUCAGUCUGCAAAGUUGUAGCCUUGAACCCCACUUGCUGCUGUGCUUGUUGUUUGUCAACCUCCCAGCUUGCUUUGGCUAUCACUCCAUCAUGCACAGGCACGUACUCCUAAUCAAAAUUAACCAAGAUAAUUAAACAACUGUUUGAUGAAACAAAAAACAAAAAAAAAGAAAAAAAAAAGAGUGAAACAAGACAUCCCCACCUCAAGUUUUUGAACAAGUUCUUUAGCGUUUGGUGCUGAGACAAUGAUGUUGCGCUGAGAAGGCUUGAUAAAGCCAUCAUCAACGGCUUUGUCAAUGAAAGUGAGAAGAUAGUUAUAAUAACCAUCAACAUUCAAUAAACCCACCUGCUCAUAUCAUUACAAUGAACACAAAAAGUACUCAAGUUAUUUAACCAAAAGAUAGGAUUUUUACAGAUUUGGGUUUGUUUGCAACACAUACAGGCUUGUCAUGGAUACCCAGUUGAGCCCAUGUGAUUACUUCUAACAACUCCUCCAAAGUUCCAUAUCCACCUGAACAAAAGCAUAGAUCAUAACGAGAACAAAAAAGCUCCAAUGUUGUGUCUGAUGAGGGCAAAAAGGGAGAAAUAUGGGACCUGGAAGGGCAAUAAAACAAUCAGAGUGGCGGGCCAUUUCUGCUUUCCUUUGAUGCAUGUCUGCUACCGGCCUCACUUCUCCAACCGUUUCACCAGUUAUCUUUGUUAAACAUCAUCAUAUUAGUUAAAGGGCCAAAAUUUACACCCGAGAAUCAAAUAUUCAAAAAACCGGGAAAAAAAGGAUUUUCCCAAUACCUCUUUGUUCAUCAAAGUUCUUGGAAUGAUCCUAGAGUGAACAUUAGCCCCCCCAGCCCAAAAAAAAAAAAAAAAAUACUCAAGGGUUAGCUGAUGUGAUGAGAUGGAUAAAGAAAAAAAAAAGUCGCAUAACGAUGAAAAAGCAGUUUCUUUCAUGAACGUUUACCCAAUAACAUUUCCUCCACCAUGAUGAACAGCUUUAGAAACCAACCCCAUCAACCCAAUGCUACCACCACCAUAGACAAGAUCCAGCCUCCUAGCAACCUUUGCACAUACCAAAAAAAAUGAAAAGAAAGUACACAAUGUUAGAGAGAAGAAGAAAGUGUUAAGCCUUGAAUAUUGUUUGUGAAUAGGUGACAAGGGUACCAGCUCAUGUGCUAAGUCAAUGGCAGCAUCACUAUAGCAAUUUCUCUUGCCAGUGCUGCUGCCACAAAACACACAAACCCUCUUGAAUCUCGAAUUCUUCUGGAUUUUCCCCUCCAUUUCCAUUGUUUUCAACAAAGAUUUUUGCUUUAGUGGGUUUUGUUUUGUUUUGUAUUCCCACACUACAGAAAGGGGUUUGAGAAAAUCUUUUAACUUUUCUUGUUUCACAAGGAUAAAGCUCAAUGGUACAGGCCACUAUUUAUAGACUCCAAAAAUAUUUUAAUACGCAUAUUCAAAAUAUUGACUUUCUUUUUGUUGAGUUGAAAAAGCUAAUAAAUAUGGAGGAUAAAAGACUUAACAGUGAUGCUUCUUCUUUUUUUCUUUUUUUUUUUUAAGAAAAGCGAUGCUUAGAUAUAAACAACUGUUGUGUUUUAUAAAGAUUUUUCUUAAAUUGUUAUAAAAAUCUUAAAAAGAGAGAAAUGUGGAUAGAGAUGAUGAAGUAAGACAAAAAGGCCAAAGAGGGAGACAAAAUAGGAGCUCCUGCACAAUUAUCCCAUGGCUUACACGUGUCUUAACAUGUUGCCAGAAUCAAGGAGUUUCAUUUAAUGACAAUAAUACUAGGCCUCGUAUACUGUUAGAAAAUACACGACAUAAGAGAUCCAGAAUCUGAAAUACGUAUUAUAGCUGAUUAGCUGGAACUAUACAAAAUCAUAAAAAUAACAGCUAAAACAGAAAUAACAACAAAGAAAUAUUAAGAUAAAUGAUGUGUUUGAAAUUGAGAUGUUGUAGUUUAAAAAGUAUAGUUAUUGUAGAAAAAAAAGUAUAAUUAUAAAAUAAAAAUUAAUAAUAUAUAAUAAAUAUAAAUUUUAAAUAAUAAUUUUAAUAAAAUUAUUAAAGAUAUAAUAGAUUUUUCAUUAUAUAAAUAAAAAAUCAUAUCAACAUAUUCUUCAAGCUACAGCAGCUAGUGUUUAUUAAAAAUUUUAGUGCUGCUGUCCAACCUCAAUCCCAAACGCACCCAAAAUACAAUAAAAGAAUGAAAAUUAUUUUUAACAUACUAAUAUCUCCUACCUUUCGGCUUUAAGAUUGUGUAAGGUUUAUUUUUUUAAAAAAUGUCAGUGUAAAAUAAUUUUAACGUACCAUCUAAUUAGUUUUAGUGAACUUCAAUUUUUUUUUUAACUCUAUCAAAUCAACUUAACAUUAAGAAAGAGCGUUUGCCACAACAAUUUACAUGUGUUUUGGGUUGUAUCUUGUUUUAAAUCUUUAAAUGAAGAGAAAUAUACCAAUUCAUAGCCAUUUGUGUGAGGCAAUGUUUACAAGGCAUGUAAAAGCUUUCGUAUAUGCUGUACGCGAAGUUGUUAUUAAUCGUGGAGAUGUUUCCAUUAUAAGAUCAAACUGUUAUAGAGGACUCGACUAGCUUAUAGAAUCAUCAUGAAUAUGGAUUCAAUUUAUUAUUAAUUUUUUAAUUAUCGUCCUAAAUCGCGUCAUCCAUCUGGCUGGAUGCUAUAAACCAGAUUCCUCGUUGCGGAAUGACGUGGCUCCAGUCCCAUUAUGAAUUUAUUUUUUCCUUAAAAUAUAAUAGGGGAUGAAAGUAUCUAUCAAGGAUACACAAGUCUAGGUUGCUUUCUAGUUAUUAAAAAACCAUUAUUAUUGCGAAAGCUUAUAAGAAAGCUGAGGUAAAAAGUUUUCACGAACUUUUUUUUAUAUUAAUAACAUUGAAUUUUAUAAUUGCAAUUAUUUAAACAAAAAACGCAAUCAUUGGUGGCUAAGUACACAUGCAAUGCCUUUUUGGUUCAAAUCAACACUAAAAUUAGUAGAAAUAGAUAAUAUAUAUACUGAUGCUUUGUCAUAUAGGCUGAAAAGUGCUAUGCUUAGCCUAACUUUGAGUGUGGAUUAUUUAUGUAUAUGGCAUGCGUGCGGAUUAAUUGAAUUGGGGCUGUGCAUGUUUGAUAUAUGAUUGGUCUUAGCGAUUCCAAUGAGCUCUUAAUCAUGACACGGCUUGUCUCGGCGGCAUGUGUAGGAUAUUAGCGUAUAGCCAUUUCUUUAUCACUCCCAAAGACGACCCAAAAAGCCUAUUUUAUCUACUUCGGCUACACCUGUAUUUUGUCCACACAACAAAGCAAUGCUCUCUUGCAAGUAAUCUCUUUGUUUGCAAGAAAAUCAUGAGAAAAAUACACCGUCUUGAAUUAGCAAAAGCAACUUAAAGUAUUUAUAGAUAGUGAACAUUAGUUAGUUUGAUUUCCAGCUAAUUUAAUCCUGUUACAAGUGCCACCCACGCCAAAGAGGUCCGAUGAUGAAGCAAUGUUCUUGAUUAGAGUUUAAGAUCCCUUUUUUCUAAUUUAUUUAAAAUCAUCCUAGGGUAGGAGUUCGACAGAAUUCCCUUACCAAUAAAUUAUUUAAAAAAAAUACAUAUGGAAAGGAAUAUAAACCAAAACCUUCAAGCAGAAGAACAACACAACUAACAAAUAGAAAAAAUAACAAAAACAUUAUGAGAACAAAUAAGAAGUUAAAAAUAAUUAAUUAAUGCAAACGCUUAGAGAACCACCUAUGAUACUUGUGACCAGUAACUAAUGGGAAACCUUUCUUCAAACUAGAGGAAUGCGGGCCAACAACACAUAAGUCGGGGUCAAGAUCAUGCCCUCCAAAACCCUACGCAAAAUAAUCAUCAUCCACAUGAUUCCCAUACGAGCUAAGCUCCUCAUCCGAUUGAAAAUAGAUAUUUGUAUAAUGGAAUUAAAACUCAUGGCCAUGGAUCGAAUAUCCUUCAUUAUAGCUCGAAAAAAAGUAGUACCAAUGGAAGCCCUCUGAAUACGUAGAUCAUCCUAAAUAGAAGAAUGAGGGUUAACUACCUCAGCACAUCCAUCUUUAUCUCUCAAAGCAAUAGGAUCCGUCAAACCAUCAUUAUCUGAGCUAUCUGCUCAGGAAUAAGAUCAAACCCAUCCUUUAAAGUGUCCUAAGAAACAUGUGGUCGAGCAUCUGCACCCUUAUUACCAUUAGGCCUCAAAGGCCAAACCUUCUCACAAUUUGUCCUUAGGUGCAUAGCAACAUUAAGCAUAGAUGUCUUGCCUUUAUCAAGAGCAACAAAUAUCUUGCACCUGGCCAAUAGGCUGUUGGGACUUCCAGAGCCUGGGAUUGAAAACAAAACAAGUAUCAGCAAAGUGCUCAAGAUGCUUACAUGAAGCACAAUAUGAAGGAACACACUUAAAAAUGGCAUCCUACCAAAAACCAUCAUUAUCCCUUGCUAAGCAACAACGGCCGCAAAACAUCAUACUCAAUCAGAACUCUAGCGAUUGAGGGCCUAUUAAUAGCAGCAGUAGCAUGGUCAACCCGUGGGAGGCUUUCCAAUAGCAUUAGCAAUAGAAAAUAAGACAUUUUUGUAACAAAUAAAAUGUAUUGGCAAAUAAGGCGAAGAAAUCUAGACAGAAACAACAUGAGAUUCUUUAGAGAUUGAAAAAAAGUAGUAGAGUUUAAGGUCUUUUUUUAUAUUGAAAUACUGUAAUUUUUAAACUAUAAAAACAGUAGGACAAAAAUUUUAAUAAAUAAAAGUUAAUAGCAUGUAGUAUAUAUGAUUUUUAAAUAAUAAUUUCAAUAAAAAUAGUAAUUAUAUAAAAUUUUCAUUAUAUAAAUGGUAGAUCAAAGUCACAUGGUUUCUAAGUUACAAUAGAUAAUAUUUACAAAAAAUUUUAGUGUUAAGCUAUAAUUAUAUAACUUCAAUACUAAAUAAGACUUUAAAUCUUGUGGGAUUCGUUCAUCUCUUAAGAAUAUCUAAACUAUGAAGUAAAUUUCAUUUUAUUAAACAACGUAGAUAUUUUUAACUCUUCUCUAUAUAUUUUAUGGAUUAAACUCAAUUUUUGAGCUAUGCUCAGCAAAUGAGCUCAUCCAUGUCUAUGCCGAGCCAUAGUUGAUUGUAUUUUAGACUCCAAAUAAUUGUAAGAUCAUUUGGAAGGGGGGGGAAGAAUACAAAAACAAAAAUCCAGAUGAGAGAGUUGAAUCCAGUCGCCAUGCAUUGUUCAUCAAAUUGCCUUUUCACGCGGAGUUGGUGGAAGCAAAGCAACAAUUUUGCCUUUAAUCAGACACUUGUCAAAAGCAAUAAGGUUUUCAAGCUGAAGUUUUACCAAUUCUACUUGAGUUUAUCCCAUCAUCUGAAUUCUUUUUGUUAUCCCAAGAAAGGAAGUGGCAUAUUAUUAUUAUUAUUAUUAAUUUGGUUUUAUUAUGAAGCUUGAGCUUUGCCCAAAGCCAGCCACACGAGCCAAACGGGUGCGUGAGAAACAUUCUCCAUUGACGGAUGAAAGAUGAAACGUUCAUUCAUUCCCUGCCCAUCCCUCACAGGAAUAAAUGUCAAGUCAUCAAUCAGGUCUUUUCACCGAUUUGUCCCAGCCAUUCAAACAACCAACCAUGCCGCUGCCUAUGCUCUUAAAGAAAGCGCCUACACCCAUUUGCCCAUUUGCAUUCACACAAGAGCACAGAUGAAAAUCAUCAUCAAUUCAAUGGAUCCUCCUGGAACAGUUGGAUGAGCCAUUAUCAUCGUGACACAAUUACAAUAGUCCUUUAUUUCGAUUCAAUUAAGAACACUUGUAUAAAUCGACAAAUUAAGUUGAAUCAAUUACUUACUUCAGUUCGACUCAUUAAUCAAGACUAAUACUUUAAAAUCUUUUUUUUUUAAUUCAAUCAAAAUUUCCUAGUUUAGGACUUCAUAAAAAAAAAAAUCCACCGAUUACUUCAAUCGUAAUUGAUGCGUUGUCAGCUCCCCUAAAUAAUCACUCACUCAAAGAUUAACUUAAAACCACACGAAAACUAAUAAUGCUUUUUGCCGAACAAGAUACAUUCAGUUAUUGGAGAAUGUGAUGUGACGUUCCUCUGUGGUGCCAGGUGGAUUCAUUUUCUUUGUCUUGAAGAUCAUUAAAUCAUUGACACUUACAAUUGGACAUCGGCUUGGAUGGAGGCUAUGCAAUUUAAAGCGAGGGGGCUACUGCACGUUCACAUCUCAUUUAAUGCUGGAACUGAUCCUACUACAGCUGCAGUGCUUUUCUUUCGAACAUGCCUCAGCAUCAAUGACCCCACCAAUUCCCAGAAUAUGCAAAAAGCUUGAUUUGUUGAUCCCGGGAUCCUCUUCCAUCGGUAAUUACUUAAAGAAGGGUACGCUUAUGCUUAUGCUUGCUUGGUGUCUUUUUUUUUUUUUUUUUUUGGUGUUUUGUGUUUUAAUGAUUUGUACAUUAUUUAUACAUCUUGAAUUUGAGCUCACGAAGCUCAAUUUUAAAGUAAAAUUUCACGGCCGUUGAAUGCAUUUUGCUAAAUUCAAGUAAUAUUGAUUUUUUUUUUUUUUUGUGUGUUUAAUUAGGAAAGUUUCUCAACCAUUUUUCUUUUGAGAGAAAAUUUUCCUUCGCCAUUACAAGUGAGCGAAAUUGAAAAGGCUGCAAAGAGAGGGUUCUUAAUUAAUUAAUGUUGGUAACUAUACAUCUUGCUUUCUAUUCUAAUUUCUAACUGUUGCUUCAAUUACAGAUUAUAUAUAUUAUUAAUUUUCUUCUGAAAGAUAUAUAUAUAUACUAUAAAUAAAUAAAGAGAAAAUUAAUUAAUUAAUUAAAGAAGGCAAGAGAUGUAACUGAUGAAAUGUGAAAAUGUUGGCAGUUGCAAUGAUUAUGCCGCGCCGUCUAUCGAUCUCAUCCAUUUAAUUGGCAUCUGCUUGAGCUGUUCCGUUGUUGAAUUUAAUUUAAUUUAAUUUAAUUUAUGGCGCUACUGAACUUUCAGGCUUCGCCUCUAAAAAAAAAGAAAGGAUCAGACAACGUAGUAAAACACGGGGACCUCUCUAGCGUAAUUUACCUAAAAUGUUAAUAUUAUUAUUAUAGAUUAAAAAACUAUAAGUUAUUAUUAUUGUACAAGGCAGCCCUUUUGCAGAAUCACGGCGAUGGAUGAUGCAGGAAAGAAUGUUUGGUUAGGCAAAGGCUCGCUCACCAGUCGUUGUUCAACACCCGGUUCACUCAUAUAUACUUACCCUACUCCUAUUAUAUAUACUACUACUACUACUACUACAUCGCCUUUGCUAUCUUUUAGGGAUUUGGUCUGCUCUGGCGUCUGUGUAAAAAGUUGAUUUGAAAACCUUUCAAUCAUAUAAAAAGCAUAUGGAUAUUGAGACACCGUUUCUCAUUAAUUAUACUUUCGUUGCCGGUGCAGCAAUAGGGAUAUGAUAAAAGAGAGGGUGGAGUGUGGGUUUUGGGAUUAGGGUUGGGUAAUUGUACCGUAAAAAAUAUAGUAGUAAAAUAUUUAAUAAAUAUUAAUUAUUAUAAUUUAAAAUUAUGUUGAUAUGAUUUUUUAUUUGUAUAAUAAAAAUUUAUUAUAUCUUUAAUAUUUUUAUUAAAAUUAUUAUUUAAAAUUUAUAUUUAUUAUAUAUUAUUAAUUUUUAUUUUAUAAUUACAUAUAUUUUUUCACGACAAUUAUACAGCACCUUAAUUUCAAACACACUCUUAGAUUCAUGCUUUUAUGAGCCUAUGGGCUCAUAACCCAUUAGCAAUACAAACACUUAAGGAUUUGAGUUUUAGUUAUUGAUGGGAUUCGAUUGGCGAUAUUCAUACUACUUAUUUCUUAUAAUUGUUGUAGGCUAUGUCUAUGAUUAUAUUGGUCCUCACAGUAACAUUUUAUUCUAAUACUAAUGUGACAUGCAAUUAUCUCGAAUUCGAUCUCUCUUUCUCAACUUACGCUUGUGACUUGUGAGAAGUGAGUAGUGGCUUAGUGUGGUCAAUAUUCUCCACGUAAACAAACACAAAUUAUUGCAUGCUAAAAGAUACAACUUGAAAAGAAACCUAACUUUGAAGUGGGUUUAUGUAUUAUUAUAAAGAUCUUUUUAUCCAAUUGCAUUUUAUAUAUGUGCUUUCAUUCGUUCAAAAGGUGUUAGAUUAUAUCUAUUCAUGGAAUUGUGGAAAAAGUGAAGGAGUGUGUAAAUAAUAUUUUGGAUCUUCAAGUUGUGUGUGGUAUGCUCCGGAUCAUUGAAUAAUCAAUAGAUUCACCUGAAAAAGAAAACUUUGAAUGAUCAAACUAGAUAUCGAAGGUACUUAGGUGGAAGCCUUUUAAUUUCUUAAUUUGUGAUUUAAAUAUUCAUAAUGGGGCAUCUUUUGGAUUGAAAGCAUGAGUGUCCCUUUGUAUUAAUUGGCGUGUUAAUCAUGGUGAAGUCCACGUAUAUGUGAUUGAUUAUCUUCUAGAUUUUGAAUGUGUAACUAAAAAUGAAUAUAUAUAUUCUUCUCUUUCACUUUAAUCGUAGAAUAUUUUGAAAUUGUUAAUGGUAUCAAAUGGAAGCUCGUGUGAAUAAUGAAAAGCAAAAUAUUAUAAAAGAGUAACUAAGCGAUUCUGCCUACCAAUAUUUACAUAAUACAUAUUCAGUUUGUCACUCAUCCACUAAGCUUCCCAUUAAAAAAUAAAAUAGGAGUUAGCUUGUUGACUUGCGAAUCAGUACCUAUAAACUUUGACUGAGUCUGAGAUUCGACAUGUAUCCGUCUUAGCUCUAGCUACCAGCCUAAUUAUAAGUAGGAGAUGAGAAAAUAUUCCCAAUUGAUUAAUACUUAUAUAUGUUCUUAAUUGUUAACUCAGAGGCUGCUAGUUGAAGCUUUGAUUUGAAAUUUGGAAUCAGAAUGUGGCCAUAUGCAGAGUUUCUUGUGUCUUUUUCACUGAAUAUUAUAACCAUGUUUUAGGUAUGUAUCAAUAUCUAUUGUUGCACAACAUGAAAGCCAAUCCGCAACAGUGAUAGUUUGAAACUUCAUCAGAGCCCGCAAAAAUGACUCGAUCAACUCUUCACUUCGCGGCUGAGGUUAUACAUUUGUAUCUUGAAAGAUAUAACUUAAAAAUUAAGUUGAUUUGAUUUUUAUACUUAUAUAAUAAAAAAAUUAUUAUAUAUUUACUAUUUUUUUUAAAUUAUUAUUUAACUGCUGUACCGUACAUCCGCCUUGGCCGUACAGCAGUAAUUAGAUUUAAUCUGAUUAUUUUUUGUCAUUUUUAAGGUAAAAUUGUAAUUUUCGUUUUGGGGGUAAAAUAGUCAUUUUUUUAAGUUUCCGUUAGUUUUCUUAACGGAUUUCAAACGGAAGUGAAAAAGUGAAACAAAAUGUAACUUUAGGUGGAUUCCAGCCAAAAAAUGAAGGAAUUGUGUAUUUUUAAAAAAUGUGUAAAAAACGGGUGAACGGUAGAUAUUUUUCCUUAAAUAUAAGGGUAAUAUUAUCUGGGUCCCUGAUCUUUUAUAGUUUCUCAAUAUUUUAUAAUAACUACAAAAAAAUAUAACUUAAAAAAAAGACAGUACUUUAAUAUCAAACAGGUCCAUGUCAAAAUUCCACACUUUUAGGCAUGCACUGAUCAGCAUCAGCUUUCAAUUUUGAUGGUGCAUUUGCAUUUCUGAUAUGUCCCUUCUACUGUUGAAAACUUUUGGUGGGUACCUUUCAAAUGGUAGUCGCAUUGUUGUUAAAUUCUGUUCACUUGAAAUGUCAACUGCCAUAAGAUUGAUGUACCUAAAGAUACAAAACCACCUUACAGCAUUAUUAAGUUGAAUUUUUUGUAAUUGGUCACAAAUUUUCAUUACAUUUAACAACUUGUGCCUUAACGUGCGAUGUGUGAUGCAAAAAAAAUUGAGAAUUAAGACAGAAACUUUGUGUUGAAUAGUGAAAAACUUGUGACGUUUAUAAAUAAAUUGUUGCAAGAUAGACGGACCCCAAAAUAAAGUCACUCCCUAAUCCAAAUAAAUAAUGCUAAGGAUUCUAAUUGAUGGUGUCAAACGAAUGGGUUAGGAUUGAAUCAGGUUUGUUUGACUUGGGUUUGAUAAAGCCCACAAGAAACAAAUUGAGCCCAUUAUAAUUGAGAUAAGGAACUAUGACGAGAGUUUUAUUUAUUUUUUUAAUUAAAAAGCCCAUGUGAAGCAAUAAUUAAUGCUACGAUGACAACAACAAAUGAAAGAAUUUGUUCAAAUGAGUUGAGCUUUUAACACCCCUCUAACCUCUUUGUGACACCCCUACUGAACUUUAAUUCCUAAAAUAUUUUCAGUUUAAUUUAUAAUUAAAAUUAAACAUCGUCCCAUGAAUUUUUUUAGUUAAAAAUAUAUAUUUUUAAAUUCAUUUUAUAAAAUAUAUACAAAACCUAUAAUUUCAUAUUAUUUUCAUCUUAUUAUAUGGUUUCUAUUUUCUAAACUCUAAACUGUCAUAACUUUAUCAAUUUUUUUAUAUUACAAUUAAAUACAAAUAUGAAUUAUGAAAUGGGGUCGGUAUAAAUUUAUUUUAGUUAAGUUUUUGUCUGAAAAUAAGAAUGAAUUAAUUUGUAUUUAGUUAUUUAGGUAAUUUCAAUUGAAGGAGAGUUUUAUAAGGAACUUUUGAGGGGUGUCAAAAGCCUACUCUACUCAAAUUGGUGUGUUUUUGUUUAGGGAGUGUAGUCAGAAUGCAGUACUGUGCUUGUAGCAGACUCUUUGAAUUGGGUUACUUGAUCCAUACGAAGGCCUUGUAGCAAAAAAAUUAAAUCUCUCUGCUCAGCCCAAAAUAAUCCCAACAAGAACCUUUGAUUUUGGGACACUUCAGUAACGGAAUCCUUAAGCCUAAUGUAAAGCGAAUUAUGUUGCUCCCAUUAACAAACGAGAGUGAGAAAGAGAGACACAGAAAUUCUGAACAAUAGGGCAUUUUAUUACUUUAGCAGCAAAAGAACAAUGUUACAUUAAAAAAGUUGAGGGGGAGAAAAAAAGAAAAAAAAAAUCUAGUAUAGACCUUUCCAAUCUAUAUGUCUUCACUUUCUAAUCCUCUAAAUUAUUUGAUUAUACUGAUUGUAUGUGAAAGAAAUCAAAUCAAAAUUUAUGUGUAUUCACAUAAAUAAGUAGUGGUGGCAAUCAAACUCUUAUCUCUUUCAUUUCCAGCUUCCAUCACCACAUUCAGAUUCGGAGCAUCCCUCUUUGGCAAUAUCAGUGAUCUGAACUCCAGAGUUGUAAAUCAUUCCAGGUUUCCAAUCAGCUGGAAGAACAUUUUUUGCCCAAAUCCACUUGCCAUCAUAGCCUGAUGUUACCACAAAUCUGAACUGCAAUGCCCCAUUUGGCACUCUACUUGUAUCCCAAACUGCCCCAUAAUUUCUGCUCAUGUAACCCCAGUUUGAAGAACCAACCUGCAAAAUUUGCAACAGCAAUCAUAAUCAUCAUCGGUUUUUGAACUACUUUUGCGCCAGGCUUUUGGGGCCGUGUAAACUAAAUGAUGUGCACUUAUCAUGUGUGUUCAUUUUUUUUUUAAAAAAAACCAACCUGAGCUACAUCCAUUGCUACCAUUUCUGUUUGACCACCCUGAUACAACACUUUAACUGCUAAAUAAUUUGGUUUUUGACUUGAUUCUUCCACACGCACAGCCAAGUUCUGGUUUUUAUAUUCACAUGGAACCCUGAAACAUCAACCCAGAAGAGCAAAUGCAUUUAUUAGUAUGAUUAGUCUACGAUAAGAUACAAAUUGGGACCGUUAUAAGCAAUUAAUGUGUGCCUGAUAUUUUGUCCCGGGGUAGGGAUAGAGGCAAAUCAUGUGGGGCAAUAUAUAUAUAAUUAUGUUGCUAUUACAUUUUUUCUUUUUAUAUGUGGCGUGUGUGACAAAACUGUGAUUAAAAUAAUAAUAAUAAUAAUAAAUAAGCUAUGCUGCAUUAACAAUUAAUAUAGAGAAGUUGAGAAUAUUUGCUUGCCUUUUGUAUUCUACAUCGACAACUCCAAGUUUUAAAAUGUCUUGGCCCUUGCCCUGGUUGGAUAAGGCCAUGAAAGCUCUGCUGCUGAUAACAAAAUCUGUUUGGUUGCUGUGAUUGAGAUCAGUCAGAAUCACUCUGGUUCCUCUGCCGCUACACAGAGUUGGGUUCUUGCAUCUCAUCUGAUCAAAACAAAUGUUGGUACCCAAAUUAAGUUCGAAAAACCAAUUUUGAUAACACAAUCAAUAACAAAAGAAUGAAAAAUGAAAUUGAAAGCUAAUAAUACAUACUUGAAAGCAUGCACCACAACCAGCUCCAUCUUUGUAAAGGGAAGGAACACCAGCAGCAAGGUGUCCACCAUUGAAGCUUAAUGCUAAUGAACCAUAUCCACAUGCCCCGGCUGCAUCAAUUUACCAAAAAAAGAUAUUACCCAUUUAAAUUCUUACAAAAAUACCAUCUGGGUCAAUGCCAAAUUUGAUUUUAAUAAAGUACGAAAGAGUGAUCAUAGUUAGUGCUUACAUGAAAGUGCAGAGGCUUGGGAGAAAUAAGCAACCUUGGUUUGGUGCACACAGCGAUCACAAGCAGUAGCAGAAGAGAAGAGAAAGAAGAGAAAGCAAAGAAACAAAACCAUUGUUUAAUGGGAAAGAUAGGAUACAAAUGCAAAAAUUUGACAAGAAAUCAAUAGAAAGGCUUGAGCUAUAUAUAGAAUUUUUGAAGCGUUUAGAAUGGACUACAGGUCAGCAUUUCCCAAGAAGCCUUUGAUGAUUUUUUUUUUUUUUAAUACAAAUCUUUAGAAUUGUUUAUUCUGCUCUGAGAAGAGAGAUGUGUAUUUGCGGAAACGCGGAGGGACAGAGAGAGAAAAAUAGUGGGGCCUGUCACCGACUCUUUGCCUGUACACCAACAGCUGUGCUCCGUGUGACAACACCACACUUGGUCUUACUGCCUCUUUUGGUAACUUCGUAUCUCCAUUUGAGUAAAUCUGUGUGUGCAUUGGAACUCUUACAUCAUAGAAUUAGUAACCCAUGAACUGAUAAAAUCGAAUGUCACUCAGGUGUCUGUGGGUUCGGAAUCAUCCAAUAUCUAUAGGCACGUAUAGCCAUUACAGUGUUAGAAAAAUUUGUAAUGUAAACCAAUUUAUGAUUACUAAUUAGUUUAAUUAACAAAUCUUGUAAUGUCAGAGUUUAGUCGGCCUCAUAAAUAAGGUUUUUUUUUUUAAUUUUAGUGGAAUGUUUAAUUUAUAGAGGGGGUUGGAGGAUCAAAUAAGAAAUUAAGAUGAUCAUACCUACUUAACAGAAAAUAAUUGACAUUUUGUGGAGUUCAUUAAAGGUGCUUACGUGUAUGGUCCCAAUAACAAAAAGGUUAAAAACCAAAGAGAUGAGCUCGGUGUGGAAAUUAAUGAUGAUUGCUUGUUAAUGAGUGGGAAGAUAAGAACAAAUUCUACACAGUUAACUCCACUUGCCGAGCAAAACAAGAAAGAAUUUCCAAAAAUUUUAACGGCAAGCCAUUCUUUCCUUCGCAGGAUUUGUUAAUUAAUUGAUCAAAUUUAAUGUUUUUUUAUCCAUUUCCUUGUGGAGUUGUUAGGAGGAAUCAAAUUAAAUUUUUUUAAAGUUAGGAGAAUAAAGUAAUGGUUCUUUUUUAAUUUAAUAUCUAUCGAAUGACCUUUUAAUAUUUCUUUGGCCAGUGUUAUGUUACGUUUAACGUAACAUACACACUCAUAGCAACAAUACUAAUGGUGGAUCCGUUACUGUUGCUGUGAGUGUGUGUACGUUACGUUAAACCUAACAUAAGGUGAUCCUAUUUCUUUUAGUCUACAAGUCAAAGCAUGCAUUUGGGUCAUUGUCAAUCUGUUGCCUUGGUGGAAGCCACUUUGCAUACACUUCGUGCAUUUGAAGCUAUUGCAUCCAGCUACCUUGACAUGGUGGGUGCACCUUUUGGGUCCAUCCCUGCCGAGCCUUGGUCCUAGGUUAACACCGCCAAUCAUGAAUUUUAGCAAAUGGAGCUUGGGACACGUUCAUAUUGGCCAUUAGUCUGGCUUCCCAUAAGUCAAGGGUUGAGAAUUCUCAGACACCAACGUUACACGUUUUAGAACACGGAUCAGUGGGAUUGUGUUGUUUAAUUGUAUUUUUAAUAUUAUAUCAUAAUUAGACAGUUUUGCUUGGUGCCUCAAAAAAUCGUAUUCUCAAAAUAUGAGAACGUCAACAUUGAAGCAAGACUGUAUAUAUGGCACAUAUGUUUAUGAAGCUCGAGUUGGAUCAACGACAUCUAUGUGCUAUUAACUCAUAAAUUAAUUUGACGUUUAAUAUUACUAAUUUGACAUUUAUGUUAUAAUUUGAAACUUCUAUUUGAUAAAUAUAACGUUUGAUAAUAUCAAUUUGAAGUCAAGCAAAUCUCUUGCAAAAGAUAGCAUGCACACAGCAAAAUAAAAAACCCGCGUGUAGGGAAAUCGGACCAGGCUGCAUGGAGAAUGAGAAAGAAUUUUAUAAUUUAUGACUGUAGUAUCAUUAAAAAAUUUAUAUUAUUACUUAAUUUUUCCAUUUUACACAAGUUCGCUGUCUAAUGUCAAUACAUAAUCCCACUAAGUCUCCGCACCCGAAACAUUCAAAUACAAAUAUAUUGUAGUUUCAAAGCAAUAAUGCUUGAUAAUGAUGAUGGGACAACUAAAAUUUUGUACAUACGUAACGCAUGGUUAUGCUGUCAUAUCAUUACAAUGUUUCAAAGCUUAAGCUUGCCCGUGUAGCAGAGUGGAGUGACCAGGAAAAUCAUUAAUCAUCCACCAUGAUAUGCAAUUAUGCACUGAUUUGUGAGCAAAUAAGAGAUCUUGAACGUGGAAGAUAAAACAAUUUGAUAAAUCAAAUCCCGUGAGAGGCCAUAAUUGCCCCCGUUGAAGAGCACCUUAUGCCGGGCGACCAAUGUUCUUGAUUGGUUGCAUCUUUUACAAAAUCUCCCUCUGAUUUUGGAAAACAGCAAAUCGUGAGCUUGCAGCUAUCAAGCAAGCCCCAUGAACUGAUGUCAUAUAUGAGAUCACGGGCUAUUGGGCUUUUAUGGCCUUUUUCAAUUGAGGUCCGUAGUUUAUUCCAAAAAUCUUCCGAGGCCUUUUCAGAGGAGAUGUGGAGCACACAGUGCACACUACUCAACCUAACAUCUAUAACUAUAAGUGAGAGUAACUUAAUGUAAAUUCAUAAUUGUCCCAAAUCUUAGCUUUUAUAUCAGUAACACACACGUGAAACAAAAAAAAUUUAAGAAAAUAGAGUAAACUAAAAUUAGGAGAUGAUCCUCAUUCAAUUUAAUUCAGUUUCCUAGAAAUCUACCAAAAACCGACCACCCAGCAUAGGAGUCACAAGUGAAAAUAUUGAAGGGUGGAAGUGGAAGAGUGUUCAGGCAAUUAAGUUGAGAAAGAAAUCAUGGUACUAGGCUACUAGCUGGAGUUUAGCAGAGUUUUAGAGAAGACUGAACAAACACUUGAAAACUAAUUAAAUUUCUUCAUAUCCAAAUGCGUUUGGUUUUCUUUAUUAGAUGAAGAAGAUGUCAUCUCUUGUAGAUCAUAUCAUCAUCAUAGUGAUAAAAAUGGCAAUAAAAUAUCGAGAUUCUUUGGCUUGUCAGAUGGCGUUUUCUAUAUUUCAAGAUCGGCUGUGUACGAGUUGUGGAUCUUUUUAAAGGGUUGGCUUGUGAUUGCGGUUCAGGGUCGUUUUUGUUUGAUCAGAAAUUAUUUAUUUUGAUUAUCCAAUUUCAGAAUACAGAUGCAGAUUUUUCGGUGUUCAUUAAAAAAAAAAGAAAAGAAAGGUUGAAUGAUCAUCAAUAUCAUCUACAAAUUGCAUGGUUGCAUCUACAAUGUACAAAGAGAAUAGUUAUGAGAGUAGUUUUGAACUUUCUUUGACAGGAAAUUAAAAUUAACUAGUUUCAAUUUGAAAAGAUGUCAAAGAAUACUACCGGAAGCUUUAUUUCCCUUUUUCCUUUUUCAGUGGGACAUAUGAAGAGUUCGAUUAAUCAGUUAUUAAGUAGAACUUGAAAACUCUUAAUUUAAUUGUACAUAUAAUUCCUAAUACUAACAGAAAACCGACUUUUAAUAUAGCUAAUAUAUAAAAACAUUUAGCUGCCCUUGUCUUCGUUAUAAGUCUACAGAAGAAGAUGUUUGAUUUUGUUUAUUAUAAGAUAAAAAUGAUGUCAUUGGCGCUGCGUUAUUCAGAUUUUAUGGAGACGAUAUUGCGGCGGCACAAAAGUCAUAAUAUUGAGGAAGCGAGAAAUUGGGAGCAACUUCCAUCAGAAUUAGUGGUCAAAAUUGUACAAAAAUUGGAUUUAGCAGAUUCUAUUCGUCUGAGUGUUGUUUGCAAACACUGGAGAUUAAUUGUGAAAGAAAAUAAACAGCGGAAUGCGCAGGUGCCAUGGUUGAUGCUUCCUCGCGAUCGCCAUGACACUAGCAAUUGCAGUAAUUUCUUGAGAUUCGUAGACAUGUCUGAUGGUGUGUUCUAUAAUAUCAAGCUUCCACCUAACAUAGUGCCAGGUGGUGGGUGGUGUUGUUGUGGAUCCUCCAAGGGUUGGCUUGCCAUUAUAAGUAUGGUUGAGAAGGGUCGUCCUAAAUCUAAAUCCAAAUCUAAAUUCGAUCCGAAAUUAUUUCUUUUUAAUCCAAUUUCAGGAAUACAAGUACCACUCCCUUCCAUAGCCACUAUUCCAUCGUUUGCAACUUUUUUGGAUAAUCUCGAAUUUGGAUAUGAUCAUAACAAUGUCACCGAGUUGGCCAACUUCAUUAAAAGAGUUGAAUUAUUACCAUCAUCAUCAUCAGCAGUUGAUGUAGAUGCUAGAAAUUGCAUAGUUGCAGCAGCUACUACAACUGCAUUGUAUAUAGACGAUGAAUUGGAAUUGGCACUGUGCAAGCCAGGAGACACGAAAUGGACCAUCUUUGAUAAAGAAACAGAAGAAGAAGACGAUGAUAAAUUCAUCUCCGACAUUUUAUUCUAUAAUGGAGAAUUGCAUGUCUUGGUGCUUUGCAAACACGAGGUAAUUUCCUUUGAAAUACAUACUAAAUAUAUCAAGGUAGGAGAUCAUGAUCAUCAAGUGAUUCUCAGAUUUAUCCCCAACAACUGGAUGAGCUUAUUACCGACUAUAGAUACGAUUUGGGUUCCAGAGGAUGAAUCUGAACACUUAGCCUGGAUUCUUCCAUAUUUGGUAGAAUCAUCGCAGGGUGAAUUGUUGAUUGUUCAUAAAAUAAUGGACACCGUGUUCAGCGAUGGUGAAGAUGAAGAAGCAGCUGAAGGUGAAGGUGUAAUGAUAUACGAAAAAUUAAUUAGAUUUGAAGUAUUCAAGAUUGAUCCGAUUAGCAGCGAUACAAUGGGGUUGACCAAAUUAAAUAGCUUGGAUAACCAAACAUUAUGUGUGUCAAAACCAAGUACUCCACUAUCUGUUCCUGUUGCACCAGGAGAUGAUGACAUCGGGAUAUUGAAAAAGAAUUGUAUCUACUUCGUGGAUGAUUCAAAUUAUGUUCCAAAUCCGUCUCGCGAAUCAGGCAUGUUUCAACUUGAAGAUGGAAGGAUUCAACGGUUUAUUCCUACCAGGAUUCCAAUUCAUUAUCCUACCAAUUGCAUGACAUGGUUCUCUCCCAAUUUAAAGAUAGCAAGUAUGAGAGAUUAAUCUUUUUUCUUUACUCACUAUUACUGUUUCCUCCCACCAUCUGUUAGACUUAUUAUUAUUUUGUACCCUAAAAAUAUACAAUAAAUAAUAAUUUAUCAAUUUCAUAAAAUUUAUUUAUUUAUUAUUUAUUUGAGCAUAAAUUGUUAGCUAACCUUUAUUUAUAAAGUAUGUGAUUAAUGUAUUGAAUGUACGAUGCUAAUGUUACAAGAUAAAAAUAGCAGGUUCACUAUAAAUAAAAAAUUACUCAUAGCUAUUAAUGAAAAAAAUUACUCAUAGCUAUUACUGAAAUGAGCAUUUGAUGAUGUAAGGUUGUAAUUUUUUUACUUCUAUUGUGAGUAAUUUUAUCUUGAUCACUAAAGUGGAGAUUUCAGCUAAAAUAUUGAGUAGAUAAUGAACUUAUAGUGAACCUGCUAUUUUUAUCCACUUGAUCACUAAAGACAUAAUACAAGAAUGUAAGUUCAUUAUCCACUUGAUCACUAAAGUGGAGAUUUCAGCUAAAACUUAUGAUUAACGGUAUUAUGUCUUUUGAGUUAUCGCGAAGUGAGAUCAAUAUAAACAAUAAAAAAAACUCAAGAGCUUGGAGAUGUAAUUUUAGGAAUCGUAAGAACAUAUAAUUUAAGGAUAGGAUCUAUACUAAGUUAUUUGUGAUACUUGAUCAUUUGAAUAUGUGGCUAGUUAUAAAUAGUAAAAUUUUCUUCCAAAUAGCAGAUUCAUCAUCAGUCUCUGGCUUUCCCCCUUAUAUUCAAGAAUAUAUAGUCCAGCAUCUUCAUUUCCAUACUAUGCAGUCGUAGUCAAUGAUGGACCUAGGAUUGUCACUUAAAAAUUAUUAUUCACUUUAGUUAUUUUGCUCGUCUUGAUGGAAGAACGUAAAAGAGAUGAAGGUCUAUUGCAAUUAGUAACAGAAUCAGAAUCUAUCUUUGAUGGUUAGAACUUGAUCUAACAAAAGUUCCAGAGAUAAGGGAACCAGGUGAAUUCUCUUAAUUUGAGAACUUAGAAAAUUGAAUGAUAAAAAAUAAGAAAAGUGAAAGAAAAAGUUUAAAGCAACAAAAUGAUUACCAUUCUCUAGAUACUCUGAGGGUCUGUAGGCAUGAUUAGGGCUGAAACAUGAAAGACGCGGACCACCAUCCUACAAGGUACAUGAAAAUAUACUCAUUCUAGAUGAGAAUGAAUGGUGAUAAGGAAGUUGAAGAAUAGUAUUAUGUGAUCAGUAAGCUUAUUUCAUAUCCUAGAAGCUGAUACCUCAUCAAAGAGAGCCUUAUAUGCAUUCAAAUCACGGUAUGGUGGAAGACCUUCAGUGUUAGAAUAAUCUAAUACUUCAGCAAUAUAAAAGGUUACUCUUAACGCAGCAGCCACUCAAUGGUUUGUUUUUCCCCUGCAAGGAAUGAAGAAAGACAAAAUGUAAUCAACCACAACACAAGAAGAAAUGUAUAUUUUCAUUCUCAAUCUGAAAGCAUAUCUAAUAGAGGAAAUUCUAAUUUUAUUAUUGACCCAAAGAGAAAUAAAAAAUAACAAUCUAUGGUAACAUCUAGCACAAUGGAUGGAGUUCAAUUCAUUCUUCAAUGAUAAAUAAGCUGAUGCUUCCAAAGCAUACUCAUAAAUUUCAAUCAAUAAACCAAUUCACCAAAUACUACCCGAGGGAUUAAUCAAAGCAUCCACUACUUCGUGUUUAAGCAUGUGAAUUGAAAAGGAAAACGUAAUUCACCCUCAGAGCACAUUUAACAGAGGCAAAGAGAAUUGUGUCCAUUAGCAUCAACCAAAUCAUGUUAUAAAUUUACAUUGCCACUUCACUGAAAGGAGAUAUAUGUCAAAACUCUACGAAACUAUCAAUCCUUAAGAUUCAACACAAACAAUUAUCAAUGUCAUAAAUUCCAAAGACGAUGAACCAAAAAGACACUCAUGGGUACACAAGUUGAAGUAUAAACAACAGAUUAAGAAUUAAUCAAACAAGAAACAGUUACCGGAAAGAGACUAACUAAUAUCAUUCGAUUAAUAAAUAAUAAUCAAUUUAUGCCGUUUAUCAAACAAUCUUGCUUCCAUUUUUGAUGCAUGCAACUUUAAUAUUUUACCAAACCAUCCAAACUUCCAAGAAUUUGGCAAAUCCAGUGAGCAACAAAACAAGAAAUAAACCAACUACAAAGAAAAAGAUUACGUACAAUGGAAUAAAAGCUUUGCAACAGUAUCACUAGGCAUGUUCUCAGCAACAAGCAACCUCUCAUCACCUUCACAGCAACACCCUAUCAAAUUUGCCAGCCUCUUAUGCCUUAACUUCCCCACAACCUGAGCCGCCUCAUAAAACAUCAGGCACAAGAAAGCCAUCACCACAUUAUUCACACAAAACAAAACCCACACAAGAGAUCAAGAAAACAGAAACCGAAAGAGAACAUCAAUUAAUGUUACCUUAAACUGUUCUAGGUCGUUGUCCAUCUUGACCACAAUCUCUAAACGAGCGAACGAGAGAGAGAGAGAGAUAUCGUAACCUAAUUCCUCCUACUCUAAAACAAAAAGAAAGAAUCUUUUAACUUCCAACCCUAAACCCUAAUAGCCUAGUUCCUCCUACUCCACGCCAGAUUAGUUCACUAAUGCAGUAAUCCUAAUUUUCGUGAAGAAAAGACAAACACUACCAAAACGGCUAUGAAGAGUAAUGUCUUCACUCUAUUUUCACGAGAAACUAGAGGAUUAAGACGUCUGUUUCUUCGCUUGACUCGUCUUCUAGACUUUUUGAUUUGUCUGACUGUUCGCAUCAUUUUGUUUUCCGGUUGAGGGAAAAUGUGUUAAGAAAAUUCUCUGAUCGGUUGAAAUGUAUCAUUAGAUCAAAGACUCCUUCCUUCUUCUUCCCUUUCUGCUUGCCUUUGCCUCGUUUUGUUUGAGCGCGCAGAACGUUGUCAAUUCUGAAAUUCAAACAAUGCCGAAAACGGCUCCGUUCUCACUUUCAAUUUCCCACUGACUUCUGCCCAAGAGUCAAACAUCAAUUCACCACCAAAUCAAUAAAUAUAAAUUUUGAUAAUUUUUCAGCGUUUAUCAAUUUACUACCAAAUCUUUACUAGAAUAUAGGGUAAAAGAAUAUUUUUCUCUUCAAUAAAAAAAUUAUUAAAUUAUUUAUCGAUAAAUAAGUGCGCUAGAAAAAAAUUAAACAAAAAAAAUGACUGAAUUAAAAAAUUAAUAGGUUUAGAGAUUGUUUGUUAAACAUCUAAAAUCUAAAAUUUUAUUAAUUUCAGAAUUUUUUAAAAUUUAAUAUUUUUAACUCAUGUAUGUGUUUCAAAUAUUUAUAAUUGAAUAGAAAAAGUAAACUUUGUGACUUAUUUAAAUGAGAAAAGAUUUAAAUGAGAAGUAAAUAUUAUAUUCUAAAAAUAUCUCUAUAAAAUAUAUUUAUUUCCUAAACUAUAAGAUCUAAUCUUUUUUUUUUUUAAUUUGCAAAGACAUAAAUGUCAAAUAACCAUAUUAAGAUGCCACUUAUAUUCAUAUAUUAAAAAAGAAAAACAAAUAUAUCAUUCAAAUAUUUAAACUCAGACUCAUUUAGAUUUCAGAAAAACUUAGACUUAUUCAGAUUUCAGAUAUAAAAAAAUAUUAUUUAGUAAUUUGAAUAAAUUAAAAUUAAAAGGAGAAAUUGAACGGGUAAAAACUAAAUUAAAAAAAUAAAAUAAUGGAGUCUUAAAACUAUAUAUAUAUUAAUUCGAAUAAAUUGAAAAUAAAGAGCAAAAUUUGACAAGUAUUAAGGCAGCAUUUGUUUUUUGUUUGGACUUUAAAUGGGUCUAAAUAUGAAAAUUUGAAAGAUAUGUUUAUUUUGUUUUUUAGUAUCUAGAUAUAAGUGGUAUCUUAUUUAUUUUUAUAAUAAAAAUCUUAAACUUGGUUGUUUGAUAUAUAUAUGUUCUUGUAAAUAAUAAUAAAAAAAGGAUUAGAUUUUAUAGUUUAGGAAAUAAGUUAUUUUAUAGAGAUAUUUGUAGAAUAUAAUAUUUACUUCUCAUUCAGACAUUUCCCAUUCAUAUGAAAAUCCCAAAAAAUUACUCUUUUUUUUUAUUUAAAUGCAAAUGUCUUAAAAUCAAAUAUAAGUUAUAAAAAAUAAACAAGCAAAUUUUAGAAAAUAUAUUAAAUUAAUAAAAUUUCAGACUUAAGAUGUUUAACAAACGAGAUCUAAGUGUCUUUGAUGAGUUCUUAUUAUUAAAAAUAUUUUGUUUUGACAUAAAAAAAAAAAAAAAACAGAUUGAUGAAAUACCUUAAAUACCCUUAUAAUGUAGCAUAUUCCUCAUCUCCUACGCCCAUUAUUGGAUCAAUCGCCAGUAGCAACAUAUCAUCAAUUUGCACAUUUAGUAUUACUAAUUUGAUAUUUUUGUAUUAUAAAUUCAGUGUUUGAUAUGAUCACGUUGGAGUCGAGCAAAUCCCUUGCAAAAGAUAGCAUAUGCUACAAAAAAUAAAAAAACUCAUGUGUAAGCGAAUCAAACCACGCUGCAUGGAGAAUAAUAAUUGUCAAUAUUUAUAUAAUGCAUAUUAUGGUAUCAUUAAAAAUUUUAUAUGAUUACUUAAUUCUCCAUUGUAAACAAGUUUGGUGUCUAAUGUUGACAGAAAAUCCCACAAAAUCUCCAUAUCAAAAGAAUUAGAAACACAAGUAUCUUGUAGUUGCAAAGCCAAUAAUGCUCGUUGAUGAUGAUGGGGCAACUAAAAUCUUAUAUACGGACGAUUAUGCUGGCAUAUCAUUGCCAAAGAUUUCGAAGCUUACAAACUUUGUUGCUUCUGGUAGAGUGAAGUGACAAGGAAAUCAUUAGCAGUCCGCCGUGACAUGCGAUUAUGCACUGAUUUGUGAACAAAUUGGAGAUUUUGAAUUUGGAAGAUGGCACAAUCUAAUAAAACAUAUCCCAUGACUGAACGUAAUAUUUGAAAUGUGGAAGAUGGGUUUUGUAAUAUUACACACUUCAAGCAACACGUCAGUGCAACUGACUGCAAUGUUUUAUUCUGAUGAAAUCCUUGGGGGCCUUUCUGGAUGCAACGUCAACCGGUAUGGUACAUUUGACUUGCUUUUAUUUGUGAAUUUUCUUGUUUUCUCGAGCACAAGCUUCUGACUUUCUGUUGCAUUUUUGUCACAUAAUGAUGAUAUGAUUUGCCUUAAGUUGUGAGACCGAAGAGGCACAAACCCACUUGCCUAACAAAACAAUUAGAAGCAAAAGAAAAAAAAAAAAAACUGAGGGGGUGUUGUUAUAUUUCCCAGAAGAAAUCAAAAUUUAAUUUACAUACUUUUACUUCACAGUACUUUUGAGCGGUCUGUAACAAAAAAUUAACAGCCCCACUCCAAAAGCAGUGAUUCUCUUAUACAUAACCAUACAAUUAAAUCUCAGAUUAACUGGUCCUUGCAAGCUUCUCCACCAUAAUCAGAAGAGAAGAGUUUCCUUCACAAGCUUCUGUUAAUAACCCAAAUCUCUUCUCAACAUCAUUUGAUGGCAGUGCUGAACCUCCAUUUUGCACUAGCAUUUGAGCUUUAGAUGGCUUGUUAUAUCGUAUAAGAUCCAACAUCAUUCUCUGCAACGACAAUGCACCAAAAACAAUCAAAAUUAACCAUAGAGCACAUUAUGUAUGUUUACAUUUGAUUUCUUGAAUCUUAGCCUACCCAUAUUAAGGGUUUUAACGUGCUCAAAAAGUUUGCAUACCUCGUGUCGCCGCUGACGCAAGUAGUCUCGCAGAAGAGAUUUUACUAGCUUAUUCCGCAGAAUUAACUUCUCACCAGCAUUCGAGAGGAAUAUAAAAGAUGAAAGGUGGUGAAGGACCAGAGUAUAUGCCAUUGAACCUCGUGUUGAAGCUCUAUCAAGAGCACCGGCAGUCCAAGACUUAACAUAAGCUUCCAAAAUUUCUUCGUUAUCCUGCACACGAAGUAACCAAUCUUAAGUUAUUUUCAUGUACGGUACUUCCUGUUAUCAUUCUCAAAUCGAAUCUUGUAAAUAACUCGAAAUGAAUAUUUAUGACCAGAACUUGCAGAUAAAGAAAGGAGCAUCUACAUGCUUAUAGAAGCAUGCUUACACAAAGUGUAAAACAAGAAAAGUUGUACAUUUAGCUAAAAAAGAAGGCAAUAGUUAGUUGACAUUACCUCAAUUGGUUCAAGGUACCCUUCAGCCUCAGCAACACAUUUAUCAAGAGAUGGCAGAAGUUCAAGAGCAUGAACAUUAGACAGUGCUUUCCAGGCAGAAAGCCGGACAGGGGCUUCAACACAUUGGUGUAAAUAAACAGCAACUUGCCGGCUAUAUACCAAAUCACCAUAAGAUAUAGCAGCAAACUGCUCUACAAGAGUUUCUACAAAUAAUGAAUAACUUUCAUUAACUUCUGAUUGAAACCUCAGAAGCUCUACAUUACAGCUCUUUCCAGUUUCAGGUAAUAACUUCGCAUUUUUCUCCAAAUUGUGCUCAGCAACUCUACUUGACCAUGCUUCAUGCAGUAAUAGCCCAUAGUGCUUCUGUAAAGCUUCAAAUAUAUCUUUACUCUUUUCUUCUUCAAGCACACCCAUUCCAGCAAGUAGUGAAACAGAUAAAGAAUGCAAUUUCCAAAAUAAUGGUACACUCUGAACAGGGGAGGGGACUUUAGAGGAUAGGAAUGAGGCCAUAGCUUCAAUUCCGAGAAGAAAGAAAAGUCCAGCUUUUGCAACCUCGAGCAUAUUGGGGUCCAGAACCAUCAUCUUGGGAAUUUUUUGAAGACAACCAUGGUAGCCAUCAGAGAUGGUUGCAAUUGGACUGAGAAACCAAUGCAUGGGAAGAGGCAGUCUCUGGCGAGCCCACUCCACUGUCAACGAACUGCAGCAAUGAUCUUGGCCUCUAAUAUUUGAUGAGUCCAACUCUUCAGGUAUGGUAUCCAGAGAAGUACUUCCUUUCUUAUUGCCACGGCUACUAUUGUCAUCAAUUGCUUUAGAUUUUUUCUUAAUGUCCAACCAUCUACUUUUGAAGUGAGAAGCCAAUAUGUUGCUGAAGUGCAGGUAAUCCUCUUCUUUAAGUUCCCACCCAAAUAAUUUCAUUCUCUCUUUAGACUGAAGAAAACUGUGCAUAAACAGAGCAAGAGACUUCAAAACAGGAACUUGAACCAAAAUAUCAAAUGCCUUCUCUACAAUAACUUUAUCCCUUGGCCCAGCAGAUAAACAUAUUCCAAAGGCAGAAUCAACAAUAUGUGAAGCAAAAUUCAUCUCAUCGUUUGUAGAUAACUCAGAGACAGGCAUCAUUUGAAUAAUUUCAAGCAAGUCGAUGAGCAACCGUGCAUCUGUUUGUGCCAAUAAAACAGCUCUGGACCAAAAACCACCACCAGAAGCACCCCAGCCAACUCCCACACCAGGAGCAGGGCCACCUCUGCCAAACAUUUCAAUACACUGCACAAAGUGACACUCGGAUGAAAACAACUCCACAGAAUUCUUCAUCAACCAUCGCAAGUCAACCAGUGACCGCUCAAGGAUCCCCUGUUCAAGUAUUUUUUCUUCUUUAGAGAGACUGUUCCCUUGGGAAGCAGUAUAAGUGACUGCAGACUUACCUAACCGAAUCAACUUAUCAAUAGAAACAAUAACCCGAACUAGUCCAUGAAGACAAGACAUGGAUGCCAAGGAUGUUUCAUAUUCAUUUUGUCGUCUGAAACGACAUAGUUCUGCAAUAAAUGAGCAGCCUGGAGCAAUAUAACUUCCGUACUCUUUCUCAUUUACAACCAAGGAACUCAAAAACCCAUUCUUAAUAAUUUCAAGUCCAAGCUUGGGAACAAAUUCUGGUAACAGUGACAAAUACUGGCCACUUCUACGCAAGGUUAUGCCAUCUUCUGCAAUCACCCUCUCAAGAACUCUUGUAAGAAAAUGCAUGAUAGCAGAAUGCACCCACAACAAUGGAGAAACAGAUAAGCCUUGAGAAACUGACUGACUCCUGAUACCUUCAUGCCUGUCAGAGUCUUCAGACACAAGUAGAGUGUUCUUCAAAGCUAACCACUUAACCGCAGAAUCAAGCAUUGGAGCAACAUUAGUCCAGGACCAGAUUUCCAUUUCAGCACACAUAGGAUGCUCCUGAGAAUUGAAGUUUGGAAGCCACAUAGCCAAAGCCUCAAGAACAAGGUAAGCCUCUGCUGAGAUGGAAGUAAAUUCCCUCAGAACAUUAUUCUCGAUCAGUUUUUCAACUGAAGGUGGAAUUAACCACAGGCAUAAAGCAGGAAAGAUAUCUGGGAAGUAUGAUACACUAUAGCCAUUCUGAAUGCACACUCUCCAAAAUCGAAGUUGUUCAACCACCAAGCCAGAUGACAUUACACAGUUUUCCCUUCCCAACUUUAACCAUUGCUCAAGGGAAGAAAAAGGCCGAUAUAAAUGCCAUGUCAUGGCCCGGAAAAACCCAUUUCUUAUGUACUCCAUACAAGUCUUCUUAUCAGACUGAGCCAACACCUUUUUCAGGAAUAUAAUAAAAACAAUAUGUAAGUUAUGAACCAUCCAAUAAGUUAUUAGGACUAAACACAUAUGAUAGUCACAGUGUCAUUCCUUAUGUCACAAUUAUUUUCAGAACACAGGAUAGAAUGAACUCCAAAAAAGAGUAAAAUAUAAUAGACUUACCUUUAAGAGGCAAACAGAUUUGAUCUUAGAAGGUAGAACUUCAGCACUGUUGUUAAUGGUAAAUCUGUGAAUAACUGUCUCGAUAAGUCUUUCGCAAUUCAGAAUUGCAUUUGCACCUAUUGGUGAAUGCCUUGCAAUAGCAAUAAAAAUAGAAAUAAUGAUGUCUUCUUCCAAAGCCCCUGCACGGCAUGUCUGAAACCAUUUGUACUAGCUUAAGUUAGGAAAAAUAUAGAAUCAAGUUAAUCAAAUGAUGAAAGAUAGAGAAAUAAAUAAUUAAAUAAAAGUAUUACCAAACUCAUAUAGCAUCCAAGACACGCAUAAAAAUUUGCAGGGAGGAAGAAGAGAAUGAACGUGUGAAUUAUUAAUUCUCAUUUACACAUCUUGUGAGGAAAACCAGUAAUAAUCAACAGAAGAUUAUGUUAUGUGGCUUCCUUGAUUCAACAAAAUCAAGAAGAAGAGAUUUUUUUUGGGUAUAAUUAGGCUCACCUCCAAUAAAUAGAGAAGCUUGGGAAGAAUUCCCAUCCGAACCAAACCUGCAGCAAAAUCUUGUCCAGCAAUAACAAUAUCAUCCUGAAUUGUAUGCUCCUCAUCAGUCUCGUCAUACACAGUCUUGCCGAACAGAAGAAUAUUAGAAGGUUUGGCACUGUACUUCCAGUAUCCACCAUGAAGAAAACCAAGGGCAAUCUCUGGUUUACUGCGGAAUACCGGGGCAGUAUAAAUGUCCUUCCCAAAAGUUCCUAUUUUCUGAAGCAGAAUACAAAUUAAGAUUCUCCACAGAAUCAUGUUUAUAUGUAGGUGAACAAAACAUAUAAAAAUAAAACUUUACCUCUGAGAUAUUGAAGAAGUACUCAUUCAAGUCACAGCUCAGAGCACACUGAACAACUUUUAGACAUUCUAAAACCACAGAAUUGUGGUUAUCAUCAAGUGAAAUCCUACAAACAAAAUUUUAAUUAAAUGAUGACAAAAUCACCAAAGUGUUGAAACUUCAGGAGGGGCAGAGAAAAACUUGAAGGCAACUGGGUAGCAGAAAUUGAGUUACAAUUCAACAUACUUGCAGAUUCUUUAAUAACAGCAAGGAACACAGUCAAGAACAGAAUUAUAUGUUGCAAGUUAUAGGCAGAUAAUACAAUCAUUGUGAAAGGUUAGUAAGAACCAGCAAAAGAAGCCUUUGAAUGCAUUCUACCUCAAUGAUAAAACCAGUUCAGGCUCUGGGCCAAGAGCAUAAGCCCAAACAGCCUCCCAAUCAGUAGAUUUGUCAACCUUAUUACCAUGUCUCAAGGUAUGCCUGACUUGAUUUUGAUAGAUAUUGUGUAAUGCCUUAUCAAGCACAGAAUGAAGGAGCUUCAAUCCAAAGCCCCGUUGUCCAGGAACCUGAAACACCCAAAGGAAGAAAAUAGUAAUACAUGAGAUCGAUACGCAGAAAAUGAGAAGCAUACCAAAUCAUUGUCUCCAGAGAACCUUGAAUAUUUUUUUUACCAUUGACUCAAAACUUCAACCAGAAAAAGAAAAGGAAGAAGACAGCUCAAAGCUAGAUAGAUAGAAAAACAAAUUAAGCCAAACAAUAAUAAUAGAAUUAGGAAGAAGACAUAAUAAACUUACCACACUUCUACUAAGAGCCACAGCUUCUUUGGUAGUGUAACCUGCCGCAUCAGGGUCACCAUCAGUCCUUAGGUAAUCACGCUCACCAACAUUAUCAGCACUAAGCCUAUUUUGAGCAGAUGUAUCACCUGUAACACAAGAAACAUAAAGGAUAAGUCUGAGAAUGAAUUGAUCAGAUUCAUUUGAACCAUAUCUUAUCCCCCGGGCACAGAGCAAAAAAGAACUACUCACUUCAUCAACUUUUUGACCAAGGAACAAAAUGUCCAACAUAAACCCAGAGAAAUUGCAAAGGAAAAGCAUGGAUCCUAUCCCUUGUGGCAUUCCAAACAUCUUGAAUGUACUUACACUUUGACUAAUAUAUAAAUCUUGAUCAGAAAUCUACAGAAUUUACUGCUUGGUUGCAUUGAUUAAAUGUCCCAUAUACUUGAAAAAGAAUGAUAUUUACCCAAGUAAAUUAUGUGUACAAGAUGUCAUUGAAAAAACUAAAUAGGUGCAACAGGAAGAUUAACAACAGAAACAAAUUAGGCUUACUGGUCAAAGAUUCUGGGACAAAGUCAUGGGAAACAACAGACCCAUCCAAAGAAAAUCUUAAUUCCCGUACAGCCUCUACCCUCUUGCUCCAAGCAUUCCACAAAAAGCUACCAGAUUUGUCUAAAUUCUGUGCAACAUUGUAUAGAUCACGUUGUGAAGGAGAGUUACCCCCAAGAAGUUUGUCCCUUAUAGCUUUUUGGCUCUCAUUAACAGCAUUGUGUGGUUCUACAAUGUUGCUAGCAUUAACUGGGCUUGAGCUCUUUUGCUGCUUCAAUUUUUUCUCACCUCGCUUUUUCAGUAAAUUUAGUAAUGUGGGGUUCAUCUUGUCCAUUAUCUCAGCCUGUGCUUGAGCAAUUUCAUCAGGAGACAUGCUCUGCAACCGGGCACGAUUCUCUACAUCAAUCUCACUCUCAAGAGACACGGACUCUUGUUCAUUUCCAAUAUUAUUUGACCUGGAACUGGAAACUGUAUUACCGGUCCAAGAUUUUUUAUCCCUUUCAUUCAGCACCCUUACUAUUCCAGCAUCCAUUUUCUCAAAAUGAGCUUCCGCAGAAGUAUCAUGUGAAGGUCUUUCCACAACAUGUUGGCUGCCUAUGGGUGCAUGAUUAGAGCUAUCAUCUUCUGCAUUCUCUAAAUAGUGAAGUCUACCACUUUCAUCAAUCUCCAUGCCAACAGCUGAACCACUAGUCACAGCCUCUUUAGUUUUAUUUACAGCUAAGCACUUACUUGGACCAUCCUCAACAUCCAUUUCCAUGGCAACAGAUACAUCCAAAUCGACUAAAGAUGGGCCAGAAGACUUUUUUUUUGUUUCUAUUCCAUCCUUCUUACAUUUUCCAGUUUUCAUUAGGCGUGAGACAUUUGAAUCAUGAUUCAGGGUUUGCUCUUUCCAAUUGCUAAAAUUUAAACCUUUUUUCUCUUUCCUCUCCACUGCACUAGCAAAAUCUGCAAGUGACCGAGCAUCAAGGUCGUCAUCCUCUUCCUCAUCAUUAUCAUCAUUCUUGCCCUUAUAACUGUCUACUGGACCCCAAUACUGCAAAAUCACAUUCUAACAUCAGUUUCAAGUACAAUUUUUUUUUUACUAUUUUAAUGUUUUCAAGAGCAAUUUUAGCAUUACAAAAAAAAAAAAAAGAACAACUUUGUUGCAAACCAAAAUAAGCCAGAUAACAAAACCGAAUUAGCGGCUUACGGGACCGUGGGAGCGGUGGCGGGCAACGGGGAAAGGCAAAACGGAGGGUUUCGGGGGAGGUGUGGGAGAAAAAGGCUUGUUUUGAGGCUCAUCGGAGAUGCCCUUUUCGAGUAUACUACCAACUACGUGAAACGCACCGUCUUGACUGAUUUGAGGCUUGUUGGUUCCGAACGACUUUCGGUUUUGGCUUGACGAGGAAGUGUUUUUGCCCUGCUGCUGCCUCUUCUCCAUUAGUCUAUGGGGUUAUGGGGGGCUUUUCGCUCUUUCGGAAUUAAUAGUUUAAGAGUGCAUAGAGGGCUUUUGAACGAAAACGGACUUAAAACUUUCAUCGCUACAACUUCACAAGCGGUUCACUUGCUUACUCUUACAAAUAUAGUUGCAAAGACAUUUAUGCCCUUAUAUAGAAACAGAUUGGGCUCAAACUGGAUUCGGCCACUGGCCCAAACUCCUGCACCACAGUUUGAAGUUUUUAGCCACCGGCUAGCUGUAAAUUGUAAAAGCAUCAGGCACGGUUCUUCCUCUUCAUUUCCAUUACUUUCCGUUCAAUUCUCCUUCACUUCCCUGAGAAAAAAAAAUAAAAAAUAAAACACAAAGAAACUCUCCUCAUGGCAGACUGGUCGCAGCUCCCGACAGACCUCCUAGGCCUAAUUGCCAAACGCCUGGACACCUCCUUCGACCUCUUCCGCUUCCGCCACGUAUGCUCCACGUGGCGCUCCUCCGUUACACCAACACGCCGCCGUUUCCCUGGUCGAUUCCCGCUCCUCCCGAACGAAAACAACAGUAAGAAUUUCUUCAGCUCCUCGUUCGGUUUCUCCCUUUCGAAACGCACAGUUUUCGUCAUCCGAUCGCGGCACAACGCGACGAGCUGGCUGAUCAAAGUGAAAGAAGACGAAUCUAAUAGAAAGCACUUGCUGAAUCCACUGAAACGACACCGUUUCGAUUUUGCUAAGGUAUUGGACAUCCAAAAUCUCAGCUUGCUGGAAAUUGGACAUGAAUAUGUGCUGAAUUACAUAAAUUACCCUCCGAAUUCAUUAAAUGAUGCUUGUACUUUAUACAUGGAGAAGCUAAUUUUGAUGCAUUUAGAUCAAAAAAGUGAUCUUGGUGGAUUUGUGUUGCUUACUAUACACGUCUCUGGUAAAUUAGCUAUAUACACGAGUGAAAACAAAGAUUGGGUUAUAUUAGAACAGAUGCCCUCACCGUAUGAUGACGUGAUAUUAUUCAAAGGCAAAUUUUACGCUGUUGAUAAUACAGGGAGGAUUGUUUAUGUUGAUCAUUCUUGUUUUGAUGUGAAUUUGGUUGCAAAUCCUGUGUUUGGUGGCGACAAGAAGUAUUUGGUUCAGUGUAAGGGUGAUUUGUUGUUGGUUGAUAUGUAUUUGAGCAUUGAUGCCACAGUGGAUUCGAGUUUCUCGAAUGAAUAUUUUGAGCAUGAGCCGCAACUUGCUUAUUGUAUGAGUGAGAGGACAGUGAUGUUUAAGGUUUUUAGGUUGGAUUGGAAGCAGAAGGAGUGGAUUGAGGUGAAGAAUUUGAGGGAUCAUGUGUUGUUUUUGGGCGAAGAUUGUGUAUUUUCAACAUCUGCUGAUGAUCUUGGUGUGAGUAAAGGGAAUUGCAUUCUUUUUGUGGAUAAUCUCUUUUAUUUGAGUGGUGAAGGUGAUGGCAGUGAUUGCGGUCAUGGUGUGGGCGUCUUUGAUUUAGAAAGUGGGUGUAUUAAGCCAUUAGAGAAUUGCCCCGAGCUCUCCAAGCUGUUUUGGCCGCCUCCUGCUUGGUUCAGUCCGACAGUGUUGGAAGUAAGUGUUAUCUUUUUGUUAUGGUUCUUUGUGAAUUGUUUUAGGUAUAUGUUGUUCAGGAACAACUGUGUGCAUUGUUAUUAUUUUUUUUUUUUCUUCAAAUUAAAGCUCCGCUUCAUUUUCUAAUCUGUACAUAAUAUCAUCUCAAAUAUGACAAUUUGGUGAUUGCAACAGGUGUAAAUCACAUCAAGCAACUGCCCUAACAAAAUAAAAAUGCUGUUUUUCCUGCUUCUUGGCCUUCCUACAUAGCCUCAACUGAUCUAGGACACAUGUAUUUUCAGUUCAGUGACAUUUCAGGAUUGGAAAUCAGUGCUUGCAGAUCUUGCAUCUCAAUUGGGAUGACUAGACUUUGAUGAUGAAGCAACUUGAGUAGUGAACUAUAUGACGUUUGGUUUCAGUAUGGAGUAUUUACAUCAGUGAAUGAUCACUGUCCACGUCUGUGGAUAUUGUGUUCUAUUUCUGCAUGGUAAUAUCUCUAACCAGUUUGAACUCAUCAGCUAAUUCUGCUGGACUGGUGAUUGCUAGAGUGCUUUGUAGUGUUUUAUCUCUCGCUUUGAGCAAGGCUCCCAGAAUUUAGUCCUUAUUCUAGUUCUCUUUUCUUUUAUCUUUCUGCGUUUCUGAAACUCAAAUGUCAGAUUUGUACAGAACUGGAAGUCUGGAACUUAGGCUGUAAAUAAUGUUCAAUUUUUCGCAAGUUACUCACUAUUGGUUGCUGCUGCAGAGAAAACUUUGUUUUUUCAGUGUGAUUUUGUGUAUUCUCAAAGCAUAGUUGUGCAUGUUCUCUUUUGAUGAUCAUGAACUGUGUUGAGCAAGGAAAAACGGUUGGUCGAAGCUAAAAAACUGGUAUAAUGUAAUACUUGACUUGAAAUGAGGAAUUUAAGUACUGAUUCGUCUUGAGGUUGAAGCGCAUUAGUUUUAAAAAUUACAGUAUUAAAAUGUUCGAAAAAUAAUAGUAAUUGUAAUAUAAAAAUUAAAUUGAUUUAAUCUCACACUUAUAUAAUGUUACAUUUAUAUUUUAUAAUAUCUUUAUUAUUUUUAUUAAAAUUAUUAUUAAAAAUUAUAUUUAGGCUGUACGGCCAAGGCGGAUGUACGGUACAGCAGUUUCACUUAUAUAAUGUUACAUUUAUAUUUUAUAAUAUCUUUAUUAUUUUUAUUAAAAUUAUUAUUAAAAAUUAUAUUUAGUUUAUUUUAUUAAUUUUUUAUUUAUAAUUAUAAAUUUAUAAUUUUUUUUUUAACACAUCAGCUGUGAUCUAAAAUCUGCGUCAUCUCAAUAAAAAGGGGCGUUAAUCUGCAGCUAUAAGGGUAGAUCUAAGCAUUAAUCUAAUCAAAUAAGCAUGUCCCACAUUGCCGACACAAGACAUCAAAUUUCCUUCUCCUUGUCUUCUGGUUGAUAGCAAGAAUAAUUAACUUGUCGUACGCUUGUAACUAUGUAAAAGCGUCUUGUCAAACGUUUAGAAGAGAUUAAAGAGAAAAUUUUCACCGACAUUAGAUAAUAUAAUAACAUAAGCAUAAUCUACAGUCCGUAACUACCACCAGACAAAAAACCAUGACCAAAACAUUCUUAACAUGAUAUUCCUACUGCUAAACAAUAUACAUGAUUCGUUAGUCAAAUUGUAUUUCCAGCAUAUGAUCAUAACCCUACUGAACAUCUGUGCAACUUCUUUGAUGUUGUAAGAGAAUGCUGCAUCAGUUCUCGUCAAUCUCGCUCUGGAGCAUCUCCAGAAACUCUUCUCGAACUAAGGUUUCCAGCAUAUGACCAUACCCUCUCAAAUUCAGCUGGACAUGGCUUUUCCAACUUCCUGGGGGGUGCCUCCUUAAGACUGCUCCUCUUCUGAGCAGUUGGCACCCUUCCUGGACUUCCACCCACAGGAGUUGAUGAACAGAAAGUUGGAGUCCCAAAUGGAGAGGCAUAAGGAGUGUGCUGGAUUGAGAAGGGGCUGGGAGACAUGCGCUUCUGUAUAGGAAGGCCACUCAAACCUCCUCUGCUGAAUAGUGAGAUUGAUUCAGCCGCAGCACACCUCUUGGUUGCAUCAUCAACGAAAAGCACAUCGUCUAUUCUUGCCAUGAUAUUGAAGGCCAAGCUCUCCAUCACCCUUGAGUAGCUCUCAAGUAUUGACUGCCCUACAUCCUUUAAAAAAAAAAGGGCAGUAAGAAGGCAAGUGGCAAAAUUGCCAAGUUAUAAAAAUAAUGCCUAAUACUCUCAAACCCAUAACGUCACUGAACUCUAGAUGCAUGACAUAGCAGCAACUACAGAACUCCACUAGCGCUUGGAGUCAAUGUUAUAACUCAAUUUGUGCUCUUCAUAAACAUUUAUAGUUACAACUUUUGUUGCAUGCACAGGUCUCAAAUGCUGAUAUUAUGGAGAUCUAAGGUGGUGAAAUUGCCCAAGUUUGUCUCAGUUCUAACAUUCUAAGAAAUUUCUAACUUUUCAUGAACAAACAUUCUCCAUAAAUAGAUUGUUAUUUGACAGUAUUACAUGUUAUAAAUAGUAAGAGUCAGUUAUAUGUAAUAUGCAAAAGGACCGGGCUAAUACCUUGUUGUACUGAAUCUUGUUCAUAUCCAAUGCAGUCUGUGGGAGGCCAGGAAAUCGAAGCCUUAGGCUGUGCAAUAGAGUCUCGGCUCGAUGGGCCAGAGAAUGAUUCUUUUCAGAGUCGGCAACAAGGCCCUUGACUUUGCCACCCCAUGACGAGCGCCUAGAUUUCGAGUGACUUAAAUGUUUUCUCUGAUCUUUCUGCUUCCAUACAUGCACUGCUGCCUCAAUUCUGUUAGCUACUUCCAAAGUGUGAUGCUCUGAUGACAAGUCGAGGCAAUCAAGAAGACACUCAGGCGAGAACUGAUCAGCAGUUAUGUAGCGAUAGAUGAUAUCACCAAGACAAGCUUUUCCAUUCUGAUAGCAGUUCAAUUAACAAAAAGAAAAUGUUAAAACUAAUCCACUUAAUGGAAACAUUGAGUUCAGCAUAUGUAAGGUGAUUCAAAGCAGAUGCUGAAACCAGUGUCAUGCUUGAAUCAUGUUGUAAACAGACUAAUACAGAAAGCAAUACCUUGGGCAAGGUUUCCAAGUAUGCAGCUGGUAUCUCCAUCUCUGCAAGCACACUACUAUUAAUUGCCAUGGCCGCCUUAAGUAUCUGAUUUGUGCAAUCCCUACAUUGCUGCAAUUUUUUCCUUACGUCCUCAGACAACCCAUUUUGGGGCACUUUCGGACAUGGCAACCACCACUUCUCUUCAUGCCUAACAGAUGGUCUUCCACUUGGAACCAUUGAUGAAAAUGCAUCACGGUCACCUCCAUCACCCACAACAAUCCCUCUAUCAACAUACCAAAACUCCGUCUCACAAAAUCCAUCAAGCAUACCAAUCAACAUAGCAUCAAGCUUCUUGAGCGCGGGUAGAUUCAUGUAUAAAUCAGACCGUGGCCUUGUUGCCAUUACUUCAUACGUACCCCCACCUGGAAAUUGCUGUAUGGACGGUACAAGCUCAACAAUCGAAUCACUAACACACAAUAGCCACUGCAUUUCUCUACGCCACAUUGCCUUCUUUUGGGGUGCUAAUGGCUCUAAUCUCCACAGCUCGCCAAACACAGUCGCUGAAUGUCUCGGAACAAAAUAUAUAUUAGAAAUUUAGAAAAAAAAAUACUUGUACAUAUUUAACAGAAUGUUUAAGCAGAAGCACGACAGCUACCAACAUACCCCAAGACUUGGAUACGUUGACUGAAAAUUGACCCUAACCUGAGAGAUUUGUGAUUGCGUUUGAGAUUGCAAGUGCAGUACAAACUCCUUUACCACCACCGGACAUAUCUUCUCCUAAAAGAAGCUUGGCAAAUCUUUCUUUCAUCAUCUCAACUUCUGGAAAAACAUAGAUGCAUUAAUUAGUUAAUUAACAAAUAUUAUCAAUGCUUAAAUAACAUAUCACAUACUGAGAUCUCCAAUUAUUUCGCAUUUGAUAAUUUAUUAAAGAAAAAAGAAAUAACAGACUAAAAAUAAUUGAAAUUAACACAUAAAUACUAAAAGGCGUCAAUGUGAGAUCUAUAAAAAAAAAGUAACAAAAGAAAAAUAUUUUUUCUUGACGUUUCUUUCCCUCACCUUCUCGGCAACCAAACAGAGCCUUAGUAUACACUCAUCUCUAAAUAAAAUUAAUAACUAAAAUGAAAAGAAAAAAUUACCGGACAAGUCAGUGUCAGAUUUUUCCGGCUUCUCAUCCCAAACAACAACAUCUUUCCCGCCAAUAACAGGUACCAUAACCGGCACCGGAAAGCCGAAUCCUCUGGCGACCGGUCGCGGGGAUGACGUCAUCGAACUUGAAGCGCCUUCAGCGUCGAAUCUCCUACCCGAGAAACUACUACUACUACAACUCUCAGACUCACUGACAUCAGCGCUCAAAGAGUAGCUUCCACACCUCUCGCUCUGCUGAUCAGAAACGUCGUCGUCCGACGACACGCUCCCCAUUUUGCCUUGGCAAAGAUCGGACGGCUGACAAAAUAUCAAAAGAUCAAAAGAUCUCAGUCGCGGCUAAUGCUGAGCAUUUCCAGAUGAGAAGGAUAAAGAAGAAAGCAGAGUACAAACUAAAGCAAAUGAAGUGUGCUGAUUGAUUAGUUCACUUCAUUGACAUUGUUCGCUUUUUUUUUUUUUUUUCUUCUCUUUGUUUAUGUAGUGAGUGAUCCGUUUGUUUUUUUUUUACUUUUUUUUUUGUUUAGAUUAAAAAAAAAGAAAAGAAAUUGCUGCGGCCUUUGCCUGCUGCUGUCUGUUGUGUGGUACUGAUGAUAGCGAGGAAGGAAGGUGUGGAAGCAAAAGCAAAAGCACAAGCAGACGGGUUUAGCACUCGACACGGCCCUUUUUUGUGGGGUCCGCUCUCGGGCAGCUAAUUUUCUUAUGAUUUUCCAUAAUAUAAUUUUAUAUAAUAAUUACUGUAUUCUGUUAAGAAAAUGAGAGGAGUAAUACUAAAAUAAUUUGGCCUGGAGGAUUAAAAGUGGUCCAAGAGCAUGUGGUAUUUAACGGCCGUUGAUUUUGGAGGGUUUUGGAGGGAAUGGCGCGUGGAAGAGACGUGAAAGCGGGCUAUCUCGCUGUGGCGGCAGGAAAAUCGGAAGCGGGAAACCCCAGUUUAGGAGCCGUGGUCUCGAAUCUCUAAGCGUUCGAUUGAAUUAUGGAUUAGUGAGUCAAAAUGGAAUAUUACCAUAAUUAAUACCUCUUUUUCAGUGCGAGGGUCAUUAAAUUCGUAAUUUUAAAAAUUGAUUGAAACUAUGAGAAUUGAGAUUACUCAGGCGGGCCAGUAUCUGCUGGUCUUCCGUUCAUUGAGUUGAGAGUGAUACGCAAAUAAACAGACGGUCAAGAUCUUGUUAAGGAUAGCAUCUUUUAGCGGCCAAAAGUCUGACAUAGUGUGGAGAAGAAGCAUACGGUGUUGGAUAUGAUUACAUUACGUGCACCAUCCACCAUAACAAUGAUGUGUAGGUCUCAGAAGAACACGCGAAAAUGUUUUUAUGGUGUAAUCCCAAAAGAGCUCAACUAAACACGUGGCUGUUUCUUAUUCGUACGACCUCUUCGAGACGGAUUUCACUUGCGUCAUAAAAAUCAUUGGAUCAGAUGGUGGUGUGUGAACGGCCUUGAUAAUUUUAAAAAAGAAACCAUUUAAUGGCAAUCAAUUUAAAUCACAGCCGUCAAAGUAGGUCCCACGUGUGCAUGAUUGGUCGAUAAAAGCGAGCAUUAUAUUUUUACGAUACGAGUGAGGACCACCGUAGAGUUUCGUGCACGUGAUUAACCUAUCAGUCAUUGGACACUCUAGGUCGGCUGUUUCGGUACGCUAUGCGGGUAAAGCCUAUAAAAUAGCUGUUAGUAAUGGACUGUUUGGUUUAACUUCAGUAAACGACACAAAGCUGCAGUGAUAUUAGCGUAACGACAAACAUGGCUUUAUUUUUACGAGUUGAUAGAUAAGGCAAAUGUGGACCCUUGAUCUGAGUUUGACCAUGGGGGAUUUGAAGAUUUAUUAACAAUUAAUUUUGUCUGACUUUGUAACAUGGAGUUUAAUGAGACUACUGGUUGUGAAGGAAAUUUAAAUUAGUGUAAUAAUUGAGAAUCCCACCAGCAUUUACGGGAUUUUUUUAAGCAUUUAUAUUGUUAAGUUGAUGCAAAUGCACUUGGCCGACGAUCAUCAAGCUUCUUGUGCUAGGAGUGAUUUUACGAUCUGCUAAUGGUCAAUAAUUAACAUGUACUUUCGGAAAACAAUAAUAAUUAACAUGUAAUUUCAAAAUUAACAUGUAAUUUCAAAAUUAACCUGAAGUGAGUUGUAUGUGUUUUCUUUUACCAUUUUUUUUCUCCUCGGUCUAAAAUGGAAAUCUACUCUAAAUCAUUUAGAGAAAUUUAAUUUUACCCUCGCAUGCCACUUCAAAAACUUGGACUCUUUUUUAUCGAGUUACGGAAAAUAUAGUAAAAUUUUAAUAAAUUAAUAGUUUUGGAACUAUAAAAAAUCUAUUAAUUUAGUAAAUAUUAAUAAUAUAAAAAUAAUAUCACGUUCAUAAUGUGAAUUUUUACGAAAUAUGGAGGUAGUAUUAUUAGAGUAGUGAUUAGAGCUGGCAAAAUUUGACACGACCCGAUUACCCGACACGAACACGACAUAAAUAAAUGGGUAUGGGUCGUCAAAUUUAACACGAUUAUUAAAUGGGUUGGGUCCGGGUCAACACGAUUUUUUUCCGUGUCGGGUUUGGGUUAAAAUUCUUGACUCAUUUACCCGAUCAAUGACCCGAUUAUAUUUUCUAUUUUAAAAUAAUUUACAUAUUCUUAUAAUUAAAACUCAAAUAUUAGAGAUGAUUUUUUUUUUUAUUCUUUAAAAGGGUGAAUAUAAACACAGUAUUUUAUUUAUAAAAUUUUACAUAUAUUUAGAGUUUCAAUAGUGUAAAUAUGUAAAAAUUGAUAGACAUGUAUAUUUUAUAAUAUUGAUAUAUAAUAUAAUAUUAUAUAUACUGGGUAACCCGAUUAUUUUUCUGUGUCGGGUUUGGGUCUCAAUAUUUUGACACGAUUAUUAAAUGGGUCGGGUUUGGGUCUACCUAAAUUUGACACGAUACGAAACUGACACGACACGAACACGAUCCGAUGACCCGUUUUGCCAGCUCUAGUAGUGAUUAUGUUAAGUUGUAUAUUACAAUUCUAAUUUUGAGUGACGAUCAAAUUAUUAAAAGUGUAAUGGAAAAUGAUAAAGAGGAAGAAGUUGAAAACGACAAUUCUGUUAUAAAUUAUGGCUUGUGAAAAGCAGCACUUAAAGUAAUAGUAACAUUGAAGGUUAGUUUAGGAUUAUUUUUAAAACUCUAAAAGAUAAUUUUAGUGUUUGGUAAAAAAAAUUAAAAUCACGUUUGUCAAAAUCAGCUCCUCCUACUAGAGAUGGCAAUGGGAAUGGGAGGGAGGGGAUCAACAUCCCCGCACCCAUCCCCGAUAUUCUCCAUAUAUCCCCAUCCCUUCCCGUCCCCAUCAUAAUUACUUGAGGGGAUCCCCGUCCCCUCUCCGAAUAAUAAGAGGGGAUCCCGAGGGGUCCCUGAUCCCCAAAUAACUGAUACGUUUUUAAUUUUUGAACUUGAUUUAAUCACAUUAAAAUAAAAAUUUAAACAAAAAUAAGGUUUGACAAUAUAUCUUACACUAACACUAAUCCCACUACAAAAAUCACAUUACAAAAUACAAAUCAUCAGAAUAAUUAUCUUCGUCAAUCUUCAUAAUCCUAUAAUAAAAAAAAAAUUACUUUUAUAUCAAUAAUGAAAUAAAUGAAAUGGGUAUAAAUACUGAAAUUAAUAUUUUUAAUAAAAACAUUUACUCUUGCACAUUGUACUCCUUCUGUUUUUCCUCAAGGAAUGUGACAAAUUAAAAGAUAGUAUCAGAUUUCAAAUCUAAAAUAAUAAAAAUAAUAUAAGCAGUAUAGCUCAUAAUCUAAAAUAAGGUAUGGUCGAAUAGUAAUUUAACACUACAACUUGUUAAGUAUGCUUGAAAUUUUUAUAACAGAUUUGUAGAAAUAUUUUUAUAUUUAUUAUUUAUACUAAUAUUUUAUAUUUUAUAAUUUAAAUUUCAUUAUUCAUUUAUUAAUAAUUCUAAAAAAUAAAAUAAAAAUUAAAAGUUAAUACAAAGAAAUGGGGAAAUGGGUAGGGGAUGUGGAUGAGGAUUCCACCUCAUCCCCGUCCCUUCUCCGAAUAAGAAAUUGAGUAUAAAAUUGUCCUCAUACCCUCCCCGAAUAGGAAAAAUCCCCAAGGGUUCGUUCCCAUGGGGAUUUUUGCCAUCCAUACUCCCAUACAACUGAUUUUGAAAAACACGAAAUGAGUAGCUUUUAGAUUAUAAUUUUAAGAAUCAAUUUUAUCCUUUAAUAUAAUUCCAUAAAUAUACUUAAAAUUAUUACCUAAAACCAAAAUUAUCCUUAUUCAAAUUGGAAACAAAAUCAAUAUUUUAAUAAGUUUUUGUUAUAAUUGAUCAAUAUAAAAUUGUUGGUUGAAUUAUUAUUAAAUUUGUUUCACUAUAUUAUAAAUUCAAUUAUCAAUUAUUUUAAGACAAAAAAUUAAAAUCAAUAUACUAUAGAGUUUAUGUUUAGUUAAAAUUAUUAUAAUACACAAUUAAAAAUAUUGUAUGUACAUGUUUUUAUAUGUAUAAGUAAAUUUUAUCCUACAUUAUGUACAUUUUACUCAUUAGUCUUCUCUCAACAGUUUAACAGUUUAAUUGACCAAACGUCCAUAACUGUUUUCAAAACUCACAGUACUUCUAAAAAGAAAAUUUACCAAACAUUUAACUAAUUCUCUUCACAGCUGAUUAUUUAUACAACAUAGCUAAUAGCAAUUAUUUUAAAAGUUACAACAUUCUCAAAGUGACCUUAAGUACUAAGAACAUCUUCCAAAAAAUUUUAAAAUGAGAAUUUACUUUUUAUUUAAAGAGUUACAUCGACAAUAAAGUUAUAAAAAACUCUUCAAAUAAGUUUGUUUAAAUAAAAUUGUCAUAUCCUUCCUUUAAUAUUGAAGAGCGAUUUCUCCAUUUUCAAAUAAUAUUAUAUUAUUUUGUCAUCAUCAUUGUUGAAAAGAGAGAAGUAAUACAACCAUAUUAUUGAAAAAAAAUAGAGUAAUUAAAUUUAAUGAGAGAAAAUUUUGAUUAAAAUAAUAUAAAUUAUUUUUAUUUGAAGAAUUUUUUUAGAUAUAAUUUAUUUGUACUCUUCUAUUUGUCACAUAGAUAAAUAGAUAACCAUUUAAAUAUUAAAAUUAGAUGAAUCAUUUGGUAAUGCUCGGAGAAUUAUGUGCUUAUUGUACAAUUCUCAAGUCCUUAAUUCAAGUUGGAUUGAGGUUUGAUUUGUGAUUCCGUUUAUCUUCUUCAAAAAUAUUGGCAUUAAGCUGAAUUGUUGUAAGGCCCCUAAGAUCGCUUAGUGAUCUUUAAUCUCCCUCUUUUUUGCUAGACUGAGGCCAACACAAAUGGUUUAGGAGGGUAAUCUAGCUUUUUGAUUGUUGUUAUGUGUGUUAAUUACUUAAUUGUGGUUAUUUGGAUGUUUUUUCGUGGUGUCUUUGUUAAUCUUUUAGGAUUUUUUGUUCUAAUUUUACGUUGAGCCUCAAAAUAUUCUUUAGUGUUUUCUUAUUUUUUAGCCUAGUGAAGAUUUUCUUUACUUUCUCUCUCUCUCUCUCUCUUUCCUAGCAAACGUCAUUACUAUUUUAAAAUAUUAUCUUUUCAAAUUAUGCUGUGUACUUUUAUGAAAUAUUAUUUAUAGUAAUUAAAGUUAAUCAUUAUUAUUUAUUAAUGGAAGUGUUACUGUUACUCUCCAAACUAACAUAUGACUCAUGGGUUCAUUGUGGAAGUUUAGUAUUUUUUUUCAAUUUGAAUUAAGGUAAUAUUUGUUUUUUCAAAAUGUGAAUGGAGUGGACGUUCUUCUGGAUGGAAUUUAGACGAAUUUCAUGAGAAUUAAUAUAAAUUAGUUUUAAUAAUAAUAUAAUUUAUAAAUAUUAGUUAUAAUUUUAUAUAAUAUGAGUCGUACUCUUAAAUAAUAAUAUCAUGUAAUAAAAAAAAAGUUUAGCUGCGUUUAACCGAUAUAUUGACGUAUGUUUAAAUUAAUUUAAAAAAGAAAGUAAAUAAAAAUUCGGCAUUUUUUUUUUUAUCUUUGUAACCUAAACGCCGAAACUGACUUGAGCAAUUUCCUUUUCCUCGACGAAAUCGAACCCGCAAACACUUUCUGAUUAUUGAAAUCUCGAUCGAUCAAUAAUUGAUCGAAGAUGCCGAAGAAGAUGGGAGUGAACAGCAAAGCCGAGGAGGCGCGUGCUCGCAAGAGUGCAACGGAAUCGGAACGAAAGGAGCGCGAGGCGAGGGAGAAGGAGGAACAGUACUGGCGCGAAGCCGAGGGAGCAAAGUCACGCGCCGCGAAGAAACGCGAGGAGGAAGCCGAGAAGCGAGCCGAAGCCGCCGCGAAGAAAGCGGAGGCGCGGCGCCUGGCGGAGUUGGAGGAGAAAGAGCUCGAAAAGGCUAUGAAAAAGCCGGACAAGAAAGCGAACAGGGUUUCGAUUCCGGUACCGAAGGUGACGGAGGCUGAUCUGCGGAAGAGGCGCGAGCAGGAGCAGGCGGAGUUGGCGAAGAAGGCGGAGGAGGCGAAAAAGAAGCACAGCAGGACGGCGGAGGAGGAGGAGUAUGAGCGGAUGGUUUUGGUGACGAAUACGAAUCGUGAUGAGUCGAUUAUCGAGGCCAGGAGCGUUGAGGAGGCUUUAGAUAAGAUGAAGGUGGCGGAUAACUUGCCGGUCGAUAGGCAUCCAGAACGACGGCUGAAGGCGUCCUUUAAGGUGGGUACUAUAAAAAAAUUGUUUUUUUUUAAGUCUUGAUUUGUUAAUUAUUUAUGAGCUAGCUUUUAGUUGCAUUAGGAAAUUGUUAUAGGUUAUUGUUUGAUGAUAUUCAUUCCAAAUGAAAAAUGUGAACAAAUAUAUUAAACUCUGUUGGAAGGUUCAGUUGUUUAGUUUAAAUGAAUUCGUAAGCUGCAAAUUUUAAAUCCAUGUGGCCUGUAAUCCUUGCAAUUAGAAGAUUAGCAACAAUAUAGUUUAUGUUACAAGUUAUGGCUUAACUACACAAUGCCUAGUUUUUACAUUUGGAAGGAAAAUGGAUCAUUAUUGCAGUACAAGUAGGUUGAAAUUAAAGCGUGGUGUCGCAGGACGGGGAUGGAUAUGAAUACUUCUUGCACAGAUAAUAUAUAUUAGUUUUGCCCUUUUAGUUUAGGAUGAUAAUGCAAGCCAAGUGUAGGAAUUUGAAUUUGGCACCUCAAAUAAAAUUUGCCAAGACUUACCUUAUUCUGGAACUAGCGUGCUGCAUAGCUGACAUAGCCGUUCACUAUCCCUUUGGGAUAUACUUCUUUGUUCUGGUUUUAUUUGAUAUGUUUACUCAUUUUUUCAGUUUUCCCCACUUUCUUUGUAUAAUCUCCCAGGAAGCUUUCAUUUUUGUGACCACUUUUAGUUUGCCAAUUUUCUGAUGAAUAUUUGGGGUCAAUCUCUGAAAAACCAAAAUCCUGAACUAUAUUUUCUUAACUGUUUAUAUAGUGUCCUCUUAUUGUUUUCAUCCAGUUACAACAUAGUGACCAAGAAAUCUCAUUUUUGUUUUGAUUUUGUGCUUAUGAACUUGUACAGGCUUUUGAAGAAGCUGAGCUCCCCAGGCUGAAGGAAGAGAAACCAGGUCUUACUCACAAUCAAUACAAGGACAUGAUAUGGAAGCUUUGGAAGAAAUCUCCAGACAAUCCUCUCAAUCAGGUUAGUCUCAGACCUUGGAACCAUAUUUUUGGCACUGUUGAUAGAUAUUGGUUUGGUACUAUUUUAUAACUUGAUAUCAUAAGUAAUUCGUUAAUGUAAUAGUAGUUUGUAAACCUAGACCCUCUGUUGGCUCCUCUAUUGCUCUGCUGUGUCAACCAUCUAGGCCUUUGGGUUGAUAUGUCUAGUUGUGUUGAUGUCGUAACUAAACUAUUUAUUUGCUGUUCAUUAGUACAUGUUUCCAAAUCUGAGGUGGGCUUAUCAUGAUUUUUUUUCCCUCCUGUGCAGAUUACGGAGUGAGCAUCCUACAUUGCAUUGUUUGGAUCUUCAAGGUGGUGUAUCAGGCGAGUUCUCUGUGGGGCACAUUGUUGAGGAAUGUUCAAUUUCAUCUGCAGUGGAUCAUUUUGUACCGUAGAGACGCGGUUAUUGCAUGUGAGGUGCCCGGUUAAACGGAAUAAAAUCAGAGUCAAUUAACAUUGGUCUCUAGUCAUAAGUAAUCUAUUUAAGUCUCUUAUUAUUAUUUUUACAUGUAUGUGGUAGAUUCCUGCCCCCUUCCCCUCGCCACAAAGUUAAAUUAAUAAAUCACUAAUGUAUAUGCACAUAAGUACGUUCUGUUAUAUGUGAAUACUAUUUUUCUUUGUUUAUAACAUUGAAUUGUUAGCUUGGUAGUUCACAUUCUCUACACAUAGGAAUUGGUAAGACUUGGCUUCAUGUGGAUGGUGAGCCUCCCAUGGCCUGCUACUUACAUUAGUUGAGACAAUGGUCUUUGGUGAAGUUCUUAGGGAAUGUUGUCACGCGAAAUUUUUGGCCUAAAAUGUUGUUACCCUAAAGGAGGGAGUGAUUGGAGAAUUCCUGCUUCGGUAGAAUUUUUUUAACUUGGUCAUUUUGUUUUCUGUAGUGAAACUUUGAAGUGAUAGCUGCAGCUACCUAAUCUUCUAAGGCUUUAAGUCAGUUUUCCAGAUUUUGAUGUCGUAUGACUAGCUUUUGUGAAGAAGGCAUUGCAUCAUAGCUCUCUAGGAAGCCAUUAGUUCUGUAGGUAGAAACACUAUGUAUCUCCACUCGUCAUUUCUGUCAUUUCUGUAAUUACUGGACCCCGGAAUUAUAGUUGUGAUGUAUAUCAUUUUUAUUAGUAUGACCAUUUUGAAAUGCUUGUGCACCUUUAUUAUAGAGCAAACUCUGCGAUUUUAUUGUCUAUCUCAGCUGCGGACAUCAAAGUGCUUUGCCAUCUCUAAAAAAUGGAUGGUGUUUGUUUCAUCAGAAAAUAUGAUUCUGGCAGAUCAUACUGCCCUGCAAUUCAAAAUACAACAAUUUAAAUGUGAUUCAAGUGGUUUCUGACUUUCUAUUUGCUGAACUUUUAUUUUAAUGUGCCAUUCAGUGAAAUUUGGACUCUAACGUUAACUUGAGUUGUACUUAUUUUUAAAGAUUUCGUGUCAUAUGUGCUUUAUAAUAGCAUAUAGUUGAGAUUUAGUUAUUUAUAUAUAUAUAUAUUUAUUUAAAACCGUCAAUCAGAAGAUAAAAGCAGAAUGAUACGUUGGUAAAUGCCAGCAGCUUAAUCGAACAAUCUAUUUCAUAGGUAGGCCAAAAGAAUCCACUCGCAAAGUGGACAAAAAGCAAAAGUGGGUUGUGGCUUCAUUCUUAGUUCUGUCUUAAAUUGUUAGAUUUGUGCUCUAGAUGCUGGUGAAAUUGAAAUUGAAGAAAGAAAAUUCUCAAUAUGCAGCCAUGCCUAUAUGUUCCUUAAUGUUGUGACGUGGUUAUUAAUAAGCAUACGACGUUAGGUGCAAUAUGUGUGAUUCUCAUUGACGCCCUGCCCAACCAAAUGUGAAAAAGCCAUUUUAACUUUUUCAUAAUGAAAGAUGCGAAGCACAUGGGGAAUUUAGACUUAAUUACCACUACGAAGAAUUGGAGUGCUCUAAAUGUAUUAUUAAAUUUUCGUCAUUCUUGUUAAUGAAGCAGGAAAUGGAAAAUUCCCUUGCUGUUAUAUCAAUAGUCCAUUUCUCCUCAAUAAGUGCACCCCCACCAGCUAUCUCCUAUAAGAUCAACCACCAGGUUGCUGUUUGUUGAACAUCAAUAAUAGAUACAAUCACGACAAAGCAAAAGUCACUAUUCCCAAUUAAUGAAUUGGAUGCAAUGUUCUCCUUUUCUUGGUUCAAAAUUUAUGGCAGUCCGAAUGUCAGAUGGAUAUAUUGUUUGUUCCUGAAACUAAAAAAUGUGACAUUGUUUAUGAUGGUUGGGAAGUUAAGCAUUGAGAAGAAUUUCUUUUCAGUUUUGAGAACCAGAACAUUGAAGAAAAGAACAGUCAUUUUUGGUCUCAAAUCUGAUCACUACAGUAGAGAGAUCCUUCUGCAGUUGCUCACUGUUAUUGCGAAGCCGGGGGAUAAUGUGUUAGCAGUUCAUGUUGAAGAACAGAAUGAUACUCUUGAUCUCAACACUUUUCAUAUCCAUGAAGAUUUAUGCAAGUCCAAGAAGGUAUCAGUAAAAUGAAAAUAAAAUGGCAUUAGAAAAGAUUGGGAUAAUUUGUCUGAUUUUCUUUUUUAACCAUGGCAGGUGGAUUUUCUUGUUAAAGUCUGUAUUGGAGAUUCUUACAUUACUGAGCUAUCAAACCAAGUACGCAUUAGCUAUGCGACAAUUCUUGCACUUGGAUGCAGCCUUUCAGGGUAUUCAACAUUUUAAAAUGAUAACCAAAGCUUUUUGUCUUCUUUGUAUGCGCCUAUCUCUGAUGUGAAUUAGGAUUAUGUUAUGCAGGCUUAAAGAUUCAGAAGUACUUACAAGAUGUCUUAGGGCGUUGCCUCCAGCUUGUACCAUUCUUGUAAUGGAUAAUCUGGGAAGAAUCCUUGUCCAGAGACAGGGAACUUCGCAACAAGGAUCUACAAAUGUGCUACUUAAAUCUUCACUUUCUUCUUCAUCGAAAUACCCUGCAUUUGGGCAACCAGCAACAACCCGGCAACUACAGAAGUCGCUGACUGCACCAUCUUCCUCAACUUCAUCAACGACAAGACAAGAAAGUGAUGUUGGAGUAUGCAUUGCUCAGGAGACUGUGCAGGUUCCAGAAUCCAUAAAAAGGAAAAUAUUUGAGAAACUGGCAGUCUUAGAAGCUGAGGGAUCCAGUAGACGUUUCACAUCACAAGAACUCUGUCAUCUUACUCAUAAUUUCAGCCCCAAGAUGCUGAUAGGACAAGGAGGGAACAGUAAGGUCUAUCGCACCAACCAUGUGGAUGGUCAGGUAGCAGCAGUAAAAGUCCUCAAAUGUACGAACUGGUCAGAAGAGGAAGUUCUCCGAGAAGUAGAGCUGUUAUCGAGUAUAAAACACGAGAACAUAGUUCGGAUAAUUGGAUACUGUCAUAGCAAGGAAAUGUAUGCAAUUGUGUACAAUUUACUAAAUGGAAGCCUGAAGCAAUAUCUGAAACAACUCAAGUGGAAUGAGAGAAUGGAUGUUGCAAUUGGUGUGGCAAAGGCACUUGAGUACCUUCAUCAUACCUGUGAUCCUCCAAUCAUUCAUAGAGAUGUGAAGUCGUCCAACAUUCUACUCUCUGAGAAUUUCCAUCAUCCACAGGUAAGUUUUAGCACAACUUGCAUUCAAAUAAUUGCAUAUUUUGAUGCUUGGGCUAAUGGAAGACAGUUUCAUUCUCGUGGCACUGGCAUGUAUCUGGAUUUUUAUAUCUUAGCUCUCAGAUUUUGGAGCAGCAAUGGUACAUCACCAGUCUCAUCAAGUUUCAGAAAAUGUAAAGCCAGUAAAUGUUGUGGGGACUUUCGGAUACUUAGCUCCAGAGUACAUGAUGUAUGGAAAGGUUGAUGAGAAGAUCGAUGUGUACUCCUACGGAGUUGUGCUGCUGGAACUUAUCACAGGGAAAGAGGCGAUUCAAACAAACAAGGCAAAUCGUGAAAGCUUAGUACUUUGGGUAAUAUGAGAAAUCACUUGACUCGCUUAUAGCUUUUAUACUGCAUUGAAGUGUCUAUAUUUGAAAGGUUUAAGAAUAUGUGCCUAGUAUUAUGUUCUUGCAGGCAAGGUCUUUGCUCAGCAGUGGCCUAUGUGAACGUCUAAUUGAUCCUCAGUUGAAUGAAGAAUACAACAGGGAAGAAAUAGAAAUUGUGAUGUGUGCAGCACGGCUAUGCCUCUUGCAUUCGUCUUCUCGGAGGCCAACAAUGAAGACGGUGAACUUUCUUUUCCUGAUGUGAUGAAUAAUGAGCUCAUACUUUUUAAAGCCAUAAAAUUUGUUCAACUUCCUAGCGCUUACUUUGAAUUUGGUCGCUUAGGGGGUUUAAAAUUUAAUGUUUUCUGUUUGAGCAGCUAUUGAAGUUAUUCCAGGAGCCAGACUACUGGCUAAAGAUGAAAAGGGAGAAAGAAGAGCUCCUUAAUGAAAGGAGAUCAAACGGACCCGCGGAAACAUUGUGAUUAGUCUGGCUUUAGUAGUAUCUAGACAUUUCUCUUUCAACUAGACCUAGUUUGUCUUAUGUCUCCUGUUACAUGUUAUUUUUCAAUUUUUUACAAAGAUGGUCAAGAUCAGAUCAAACUGUCUCCUAUCGUCUUUCCCAUAAGGCAUCAUGCGUCAAAAUAAAGGUGAGAUGAAACCCUCUCUCUCCGGUAUCAUGUAUGUAAGCAAAUAAAUAUUCUCAGUUUAUACUAGCUGAUUUUGAUGCGGCUUUGUCAGUGUAUUCUCACAAAUUUGUACAAAAGCCUAUUUUCUGUUUUAAUAUGUGACAAGGUAUGCAGGUAACACUUUUUUAGUGCAGGAUUUAAUACCACAGUGGCAUGAUUAAAGAAACAGAAAUUCCCCAGGACUGCGAAUCAAGGUUAAGCUUUAACGACAUUCAACUGUGUCAUUGAGUUGGCAUAUUAUUCUUGUACAAGCAUAUCAUGAAUGUAUUUCUACAGUUCACUUGUUUGUCGUACUCGCAAUGAUUUUAUUUCAUUGGUCUAAGCUGCUGCCAACUGCGCAAAGUUAAUAGGGGAAACAAAUCUUGGUUCACCACCGUAGAGGGUCACAGCGGCUAGAUUCGAAGCAGCCUGUGUAGGGUGGAACAAAUCCCAGAACAAGUUUUGGUUUCUGUUCGAACAAAGAUUUGCUUUUGGAUCACAAAUUGAUUGUGCAUUGAACCUCCCAGCUCCACAGCACGCAGUUUGCACAUCCGUAAAAUCUGAGAAAUCAAACAAAAGUUAAUUUGAGGAAUUUGUCAAAACAAAAUGAAAACCUGUAACAACAAUAUAAAUUAUGCGUCAAGAAACUUACUGAAUAGAAAAGGGUUGUUUAAAACAUUUAUAGUCAUUUCAAAUGUGUUUCCAAGUGAAUACUUCAUGUCCUUGUGUUCUGAACUGAGCUUGCACAAGAGAGAUUCAAUUGAUGCGUGAAAAGCUCUUGCGUACUCAUUCAAUAUCUCCAAACAACCGCCGGUACUAUUGUAAAUCCUUUGAGAUGGGCAGCAUCCAAUUGGUGGAACACUAAUGAUUCCAAAUUUCCUUGCCCCAAGAUUGAGUAGUGCCUGAAUUAUAUAACACAAGUUUAGUUCCAAGUACAAGCGUACAUACAACUUUUGUUUUUGUGACUUCAAUGUGAUGAUGAUCAGAAGAAAUCUUACCUUCAGGUGCUUCUCAUAAGCAAGUCCUAAAGUUGAAAUGAACGUUUCUUUAGGCAUGGUACUACCAGAAUGGUAGUAUUCAAAAAUAUCAUUGCUAGCGGUACUGAUGAAGACCAAAGACUUUGAGAGAAAUUUCUUGGCUUCUGAUUUACCUAAAGCAGCCAUGAGAUGACCAUGGACUGCUUUAAAUUGCUUUCUCUGCUCCGUCAAUGGGAUGACAUUGGUCAGGUUGCUAUGUAAGUCAUCAAUUGGAACUCUCUCUGCUCCGAACUUCAUCAUUGUUGGCUGAAAAUCAGAUCAGUAGAUAAAAUGGGUCUUAAUCAAUGAGAGAGUUCUCCAAAGAUUACACACACACACACACACACACACAGAGAAACACACUACUAGUAAGAUAUAUUUACCAUUCUUUGUCCGGUUAAAUCAAGAAGGCCUGAGCCUCCAGAGGCGAAGCUUAUACCCCUGAAACUAUGCUUCUUGACACCAGCUGAACUUUUUAUUAGAGAAAGAAAAGGUGGUGGACUUCUCUUGUGUCCCAGUAGCUUGGCUGAACAAGAAAACAUACUUAAUGCGAUAUUGUGCCAGUAGUGAACUUUACACUGUGAUUAAUAUGACACAUUAAUUUACAGUGAAAACUAUACUAACCAAGAAAAUCAGCACUGUUUAGGCCAUUGCUGAACCUUCCAGUGGGUCUUGCGUGAGGAAAAUCUAUGCCAUUGUGAGGAAAAUUGGCUCUGAAUUUGCUGUGAGGCAAGAAGUUAUUGGUUCCAACAUCAGCCGUUGAGUCUCCAAAUAUGAAAAUCGUCGGCACCUCUGCACUUGCUGAGAUGAGAACCAUCAUAGUCAUGGCCAUGGCCAUGGCAAAAAGAACCAACUUCUCUGCCAUGAGAAAUAGACUAGUGAAUCUAUUCCUCUCUCCCUUUUUCUACAUUAAAGCACUUGAGAUGUUCAACUAUUUAUAUACAAAAUAUAAAUAAAUAAAUAAAUAAAAGAUCUGUAAAGGUACAAACAGAUGCCGAUAAGUUGGUAAAUUUCCAGCGAGCACAUAGCACACAAAUUUUACAAAAACAAAGUGUGAAGAAACCAAUUAAUUUGAAGAAUUUUUUACAUUAUAAUGACUCAAAGGUGCUGCCGUCUGUGAAUGACUUAUUACCAAGUUCUUAGCUGUUUGGUCUGAUUCUUGAAUUCUGGUAGCAACAAGCAAUAAAAUCCACAGUUCGUAUGAUAGAAACAAAGAGUCUCGUCCGUUCACAUACAUUUUCUUACAAUUCUUUAUUGAAUCAAUGCUUCAGUGAACGAAGUUAAUGGGGGUAAAAGAAGACAAUUAGAGAUGACAGAAAGAUGAAUUUAGAACCGUUCCUUGCUUUUCUUUUACAGUAGAAAAGCAAAUUUAUAAUAAAUUUACUAUGAACAAAAUAAUUGCUACACUUUGAUUAUUACAAACCAAAAAUACAAAUUUUGCUAAAAAAGAAUAGGACAUCAAGCUGGGGUCAUGUCAUACGUAAUUGUAAAUGUAAAUUCAACAUCUCGUUCUUUAGCAGAUUCUCUUAUAGAGAUCUUGUGUGUUUGCCUUUGGCCCUGCCGCAGAGAAGAGCAUUCUUCGGAAUCGGAUACUCAUCCCUGAUUGAUUCAACAGGUGAAUAAACUCUCAAAUAAAAUUGUUGUCCGAGAUAUUGCCGUGCCCAAAACUCACUCCUGACGUUCCACAUUCCCACAUUAUCAAGUGCUACAUAAAUAGCAGUCCAUGACUUGGGAUAUACCUGUAACACACCAAAACAAGUAUUUAUUUUCUGCAACAUUUCAGGUGAUUAGCAUUAUGCAACAAAAUUUCCUUAAGCAAACAUCUAACCUGAGUUGUGCAACGUGAGACGGCAUCUCUCAAAUUGUACUCAUUACGACUGGCCGGUGUCCACACUCCACCAUUCAUUCUGCAAUCCAAAAAUAUUCCAAGAUUAGUUCACAAGCACAUUAAUAUUUUUCAGUUCAGUAUGCGUGCGGAAUCAUUCUUACCCGACUACCCAGAAGUUGUAUCCAUCAAUGUGCCAGCUCUGUACAAUAUUUUCAUGAUUUUGGAACACAAUUUCAAUAAAGCCUCUGAAGUCAGCACCCAUAACUGAUGUGUCAAGGUAAAUGUUACCACCGGUUGGCUGAUCCUGGAUGCUACCGACGCGAAAAACACCUCCAAUUUUGAAGUAAUCUGCUAACUUCAGGGGAGUGUCAGCUGGGAUGAAAGACACACUGUUAACUGCAUAUCUCUGCUUGCCAUUGACUUGACCAGCUGAACUUUCUAGCUUGAUAGUUCUUGAAAUGUUAAUAAGACCAUAGUGGUAUGAUCCUUGUGGGUUUGGUCUUGGUCCACUUGCUGUCAAAUUAGUCCUGUAAUGUGACCGAAAAUAAUCUCACUUGGUAAAAAUGAUUAUAUAAAUAAAAAUAUUUUCGAUUAAAAAAAAAAACACGCUCGAAUUACCUAAUUGAACGGGCCUGGUUAAGAGACCAAUCAAUUUGGGUGGUGGGCCCCCCGGGAACUGGGCCGGAAACUGGGUGGGCCGAGUUACUGUAGUGGAGGGUGCCAGUGCUGGUUAGGACCUUGUUGGUGAACCGGGUCGAGACUGCAAUGUAGAAAUCCUGUGGGGGCUGGUCCAUGGUAACAAGCACAGAGUAGGACUGACCCACGUGAACAUCAAGGGAUGAAUAAGUGGUUUGGAUGGUGUGGGUUCCUUCAACUUCAACAAGCUUCAUCUUGUGGCCUUGAAUGCGAAAAUUGAGAGAAUGUUGCAGGCCCACAUUUGAUAUCCUGAACCUGUAGGUUUUUCCUGAAAUGUCCCCAAAAAAAGAAACAUUAUAAAAAAAGAAACAAGAAGAAAAGAAAUGAUUCAAUUCAAUGUAGCCACUAGCCAAGUUAAUAUGGUCACAAGCUGUGUAUGAUUUGAAAUUUACCUUGCUCAACUGUGAAAGAUGCACCAUUGGAUCCAUGACCAUUGAUCAAAAUGCCAUCAGGGGAAGGCAGCCUGUGGCCUCUAUCCAGAACAGACUUCAAUUUCUGUAUCAAGAACAGUAGACCUGUUAGGAUCUUUUGCACGUGGGGGAAUUGAACUUAAGACUAUAGUUGUGAUAUAAUGUUAGAGGCUAACAACAGUAUCAAAGACAAGUGAAUAAAUUGUUUCACUUACAUUGUGAUUGGCCUUGUACCAAUCACCAAUAAGAACAGUGAAAUCUCCAGCAGGUUCAGGGAAUGGAACAGGAAUCAAGGGCCUGCUGAGAAUCCUGAUGCCUCCAAAGCCACCAGCUGCCUUUUGAAAGCCAACAGAUGGGAAGUAAAAAUAGCUUCCGAUUUGAUCUUUCACUUGUAAAAUGUAAGUGAAAUUUUUUCCUGGAGGAAUUGGACAGGUGGUACCGUACACUCCAUCUUCAUAUGAAUUUCUCCUCUGCUGCACGCCAUUCCUGAUUCAAUUUGCCAAUCACAAUGCAAAGUUUUAGCCAUAUUAACCAAAAAAAAAAAUUACGAAAAGUAGUAUGACACGACUGUUUGAUAGGAAACAUAAGAGUGUUGAUUAAGAUCUUUUAGGGGGUGGACGUAUGUAUUCGAACCGGUAACUCUCAAAUAAAAAAUCGUCAACUCCAAUGCAUGGAUUAUUCAAAGUUCAAAGAUCACAGAAAUGCUAACCAGGAGAUGAGGAAAGGCUCUGGUAAGCUGUUAUGAACAUUGAUGAUUAGAUUGUCAUUGGUGACAGAAUAAAUAUCAGGCCCUGGAAACUGUCCAUUAAUAAGAAUACCCUGGAAACAAAAAUGCAAAUCCUGUUCAAUAAUUUUUCAGAUCAAAAACAUCCAAAAUAUGAUCAAAACUUUCAAAUUUUUACAAACCUGUUGGCGAACUCCAAGUGGGUAUAUGUCACCAUAAGUUACAUUCCAUGUGAAAAACCUGUAAGGACUUUCAGCCCUGGCAACAAUGGCGAACAUUGCCAAAAAAUAGACAACACAUAGCUGCCAAAUCAAAGCACUUUUUGGCAACAUUUUGGAAAGAAACCGAAUCAAGAAGUAAAGAGUUUGUGUAAAUGAAUGACCAAGGGAAGGUUACAGAAAGCACACACUUAAAUAUGGUUAGUGGUAACUGAAAGAUGACAUGUAUUUAAAGAACAAUUCAAGGAGGGAAGCUUAUAAAGAAGUAGAAGCCAAGCCAAGCCAACCCAAAAGUGCUUCCUGUCACAUUACCAAAUACAAAAUGCUUAGUGGGGCAGCAAUAAAAGCAGUGCUGGGCCUGUCUAAUAUUAGGAUUUUUCAGCCAAUGGGUGUCCUCCACGUAAGCAAAAUUUGGGUUCUAAUGACCUUGUAAGCAGCUUAAUAAGACCGCGUUUGCUUGCUUUCACAUGCACAGUACAUAUUGAGAUGCAGGUGUGUGCCCGUGAUUUCUGACGCGACACACGGUAUUUACAUGUGCCCAUUUUCUCGCUCAACUAACACGCCACGCCACCUUUUGGAGGAUCCGCACUUGGGGCAAUGGCCAUGGUCAACGGUGGAGAUUGAUUCAUUUGUUAAGACCCACUUGGAAUCAAGGGUUAUAAGUGAUGAUUGACUGUUGAUAUAAUUUUACGCGGAAACUAUGAUGGUAAUGUGGAAAGUUCCUGAAAUUGCAUUUGCUGAUUGCAGAUUGCCUGGCUGACAGGGGAAUGACAGUGAAUAAAUUAAUGGAAUUUUUGUUGAUUAAGAUGCUGCUUUAUCGUGUUAAUUAAAAUUAAAUAAAUGACUCAUUUUAUAUUAUUGUUCUGCAUUCACAUUCGUGCCAAAGUUGAUUUAAUUUAUAAAUGGGACUUGCAGUUAUUCUAUUUUAUGGACUGACUUUUCUUUUGUAUAGAAGUUUACAAUAUCUGUAUAUUCUUUGCUAUAAAUUCCAUGCAUGGGAAAAAAAAAAUUAAAAAAGACAAAAGGGUUAGUCAAUAUUCCAGUAAGCCACAGCUGGUUGAGGCCAAUCAUCAGUCAAAUAUAUUGUGCUUUCUUAAUUUUCAAAAUACAUUCGGUUUGGAGCUGUAUGAAAGUGCUUUCUGUGAGUAGCUUCCCGGAAAGUGUUUUUUGUUUUACUUAUGAAGCUUGAAGAAGCGUCUCAUCAAUAGAUUUUAUAAUUAAUAAUAAUAAUUUAAAAAAAAAUCAAGUAUUAUUCUUUGAUUGCAAUCCCUUUUUCUUAUAACUCUAUCCUCGCAAUUGUAAGGGCAUGAGUUCGAGACUUCACAAUGUAUUUAUAGGUUUAAUUUCCUUCAUUAAUUUGAGUAUUAAUAUAGUAAUCUCAUAAAAGAUGAAUGCUAAUUUGAGUAAUAGUCUCGUAUAAUUUUUUUUUUUUAAAUCUUUUCCCCCACUUUAAAUCUAUUUAGCCUAAAUAUAACAAAAUGAACAAAUCAAUGUAUAAAUUUGGUUAUCUUAUAAUGUCUAACUUGCAAGGAUGAUGAUGUACUCGUUGAUUUUAACUUAUCUUGUGAUGAUAUAGAUUUAAUGCUUUUCGUGUUGUAAAAAACAUCCACAUAUAUUGAUGGUGGAGAACUUGGAAUGUAAUGUGCUAAUCAAUUCUAUAAGGACACGGCUAACCCAUUUUUUUUAUUGUUGUUAAAUCAUUUCAAAAAUGGGUUCUUUUCAUUAACUUAUUGUUGAUAAUGACCUUAUUACCAAUAACUUUAAUACACAGAGAAGUUUUUAAUGUCAUUAACAAUCGACCGCACGUACAUGGUAGUGAAUGAUGAUCGAUUCAAACAGUAGCAUCAAUAUUUUUUUUUUUCAAAAUUUUGAACUUAUUAAUUAGUCAUUUUCUGAAUUCUUACUAUUUUUAAGUAUAAUAUGUUUGCUUGCUUAUACUUCUUGGCUGUAAACAUUCUAUUCAUAACAAGCUUUAAUUAUUUGAGGUGGAUGAGGUCCACAAUUCAUAUGCUUCUCCGCAAAUAUAAAUAGUUGGUGGCCUUGCAACGAUUAGGCUAUUAGGCGCAAAUGAUGACCCAAAACAAAACUUAAUUAAAAGUCUCAACUUGAAGGACAGCAGCGCACUCAAGGACUCUCCCAAAAAUGAAUUUUUACGUAGUGGAUAAUUAUAAACUAUUCUAAUAAAAUUGUCUCUGUUUCUAUUCUUUUCAAAACUUAUAUAUAUAGUAGUUUUUUUUUGUUUGGGAUCUUAAAAUGUAGGAAAAGUUUAAAAAAACUUUAAAAUCGUGGGAUUUUAAAAACUUAAAAUUAAAAGCGCUUAAACUACACAAUUUAUAUAUUUAUUUAGAUUUUUCCACACUUUAAAAUUUUAAAUUAGAACAUUUUUAUAUAUUAGUAGUUUUCCAAUCCAAGAUCUUAAAGUAUGAGAAAAAUCUGAAAAAGCCCUAAAAUCAUAGGAUUUUAAAAAUUUAAAACUACAAGCGCUUGAACAACAUAUUUAUGCGUUUUUCCAAACUUUUCCGCACUUUAAAAUUUCAUAUCAGAAUAUAUAUGUGUGUGUGUGUAGUUUUAUUGUUGGUGCAUGGUUUAGAUAGCGUAGAUUUGUUGGUGGCAGCAUAACGCCACAAGCAAUGGAUUGGUGUCCAACAAGAUUAGACAAUAUUUCAAUAGUUUUCUUUCAUUACUUCUUAGUUUUCUAUGUUCAUUAAAAUAUUUAAGUUAGAGUAUACCUUUGUGAGUUGUCUAUUUUUUAACCGAUAUGAAAAAAAUGAGAAAAAAAGAAAAUGCAUUCUUUUAUUUUAUUUUAUGUCUGCGAGUUACUACUUAGUAGGGGCGGAUAAUACAUUUUAUAAAAUCAAAAUAACUAAAUAAAUUUUAAAGAAUUGAGCUUUUUACACAUGGGACAGACUAAAACUUUUCAAAAUCAAUUGGAGUAUCUUCGUAGUUUCAAAACUUACAAAACUAACUGUUACAAAAUUCAAAGAAAAUAAGAUCUUUUUUUUUUCUUUUUUAAAUUACCCUUUCAACUUUUCCAUAGGACGUGCCCCAACUGGUGUUAGACGGAAUCUGUCAUGAUAGUAGUGAAAAUAACAGAUUUCACAGAAAACAUGAGGGAGAUUACCAAAAUUUCCCCAUUUACAUUAUAGAAAUAGAUUACAGGCCCCAACUUUAGUUUCUCACACUGCAGUCGCACAUUUCUAGCCACAAAAAUAAAUAAAAAAAGACUUUUCUAUGUAAAAUGUUACGUGGACAAAACAAAACAUAAUCCAGAACUAGAAGAUUGCGUUUCUUAUCCACUAACAAAACACACACACACUGUCUUUCCCUGUCUUCAGAUUACACACAACUUGAACUCGCCAUUGAUGUCAAAUACUAAACGCUGAAAACUCACUCCAUACGCAAAAAUAUGUGCAUGAUCAUAUGAUAUGAACAAGUAAACCCUAGUACCCAGUUCAGCUCGACUCAAUCCGACAUUGGUAAUUAAUAUGGGGGACUCUCUCUUACUAAACCAAUCACUCGCCCGCCUCAAACUCCUUCCCAAAAUCCCACCUCCCGCUUCUCAAUUUCUUCACAUCAAACCGCCACAACCCCACGGUAAGCUCCACUCCACUGCUUCUUUUGCCAUCCAAAACCAACAGCAGACGCAGUACGGCACAACAGAUCAAAACGACGACGAAUCAUACGGCGAAGUCAGCAAGAUCAUCGGCAGCAGAGCCCUCGAGGAUGCCACCGGCAUGGAGUACCUAAUCGAAUGGAAAGACGGCCACGCCCCCUCCUGGGUCCCACAGGACUACAUUGCCAAAGACGUCGUUGCCGAAUACGAGUCUCCCUGGUGGACUGCCGCCAAGAAAGCCGACGAUGCCGCGUUGAAGGAAAUCAUCGAAGCCGGCGACGGGCGCGACGUCGACGCCGUCGACAACGACGGACGGACUGCCCUGCUGUUCGUGUCCGGGCUCGGGUCUGAGGCUUGCGUCAGGGUUUUGGCGGAAGCUGGGACCGAUUUGAACCACAGGGAUAGCGGAGGCGGGUUAACGGCGCUGCAUAUGGCGGCUGGGUACGUGAAGCCCGGUGUGGCGAAGCUCUUGCUCGAACUGGGAGCCGAUGCUGACGUGGAGGACGACAGAGGGUUAACGCCGUUAGCUUUGGCUAAGGAGAUCUUGCGCGUUACGCCUAAAGGGAACCCAAUGCAAUUCGCGAGGAGGCUGGGGCUGGAAGCCGUGAUUAGGAACUUAGAGGAGGCGGUAUUCGAGUACGCUGAGGUGCAGGAGAUUCUGGAGAAGAGAGGGAAGGGUGAUCAACUGGAGUAUUUGGUCAAAUGGAGGGACGGCGGCGAUAACGAGUGGGUCAAAGUAGGCUUCAUUGCUGAGGAUUUGGUGACCGAUUAUGAGGCUGGCCUGGAAUACGCAGUGGCCGAGGGUGUGCUUGGGAAGAGAAUGGGGGACGAUGGGAAGAGAGAGUUUUUGGUUAAGUGGACGGAUAUUGAUGAGGCCACCUGGGAGCCCGAGGAGAACGUUGAUCCUGAUUUGAUCAAGGAGUUUGAGGAUAGUCAAAGUGACGGUGCGGUCCUGUUAAAUGAGAAUCACAUCGGGGAUGCAGUUGGGGCCCGGGCCCAAUUAAGUGAAGGCGAUGCAGCCCCUGAGUCCGCUAGAGUUUAGGUGUUUGGAAGCGAUUACUCGUAGUGGCUUGAUUGUUAUUUUCUAUAUUUAUGAAAGCAAAUUAUAACUUUUUUUAUUCUUCAAAAUUUUGCUUUCAUAAUUCAACUCAAUUGAGUUAUUGACGAAAAACAAACUCCAAUUCUAAUUAUACAAGAUCAACCAAUAAGUUUGCUUAAAAAUUGAAUUAUGAAUCGAUUUACAUUCUAUAUCUUCAAUAGAAACGAAAUGAAUCAAUUGCUAAAUCAUUAUUACUAGCUACGAGAUGACAUAAAUCGAAUAUUAAGCCUCAUAAAAUAUAAGGGGGGACUUUGAACUCUUUAUUUUUUAAAUUUUGAAAAAGAGAUGGGUUAUCAUAGUUCCCUACUAUUACCUCUUUUAAUUCAC